This 95948-nucleotide long non-coding RNA is filed under the name Populus tremula. RNAcentral describes it as "long non-coding RNA (PTRE_LNC000309)". The stretch from base 9934 to 10088 matches the Rfam family "MIR2912 microRNA precursor family". Lineage: Eukaryota; Viridiplantae; Streptophyta; Magnoliopsida; Malpighiales; Salicaceae. The record is from RNAcentral.
GCUACAACGGGUAUUUUGUCAAUGGAUAUGUUUUCCAUACUGAAGAAUACGGGCAAGGAAGAAAGACAUACAACUGCGGUGUUUGUGUUAAGGGAUCCACAAGUAGCCAGUUAGAAGUUGACUACUAUGGUAGAUUAGAAGAGGUCGUCGAACUGCAAUAUCAUAGCGAGCAGAAUAAAGUGUUUUUAUUCAAAUGCUAUUGGUAUGACACGACGGACAGAGGAAUCAGAGUUGAUCCGCACCAUGGUCUGGUCGAAAUCAACUCAAAAGCUAGACUCCGCAACAUAAACGAUGUCUUUGUUUUCGCAAAGCAAUGUCAACAAGUUUAUUACACAUACACCCCUUCAUUUAGAAAGGAUCGUUCAAGAGUUGAUUGGUUGUCCGUUUUAAAAACGAAACCACGGGGUCGUGUCGAGGUUGUUCAGGAUGAGAACGAAGACACAAGUGUGCGAGAUGAAGUCUUUCAAGUUCGUGAGUUGGUUGAACCAUAUCGAGUUGCUCCUUCGAUUGAAUUGGAAGAAAAUUCAAAUUUUCGAGUUCUCGAUGAUAGUCUUGUUGAUAUUGACGGAGAGGAGUUGAAUGUUGUUCUCAGCUCUAGCGGACAAGCAAAUGUCGAUGAAGAAGAUGAUAUCCAUAUUGAAGAUUGCGAUGAAGAUGAUGACAAUUCAAUUGAUGAGGAAGAAGAAGAAAAUUCCGACUAAUUAUGAAAAUGAAGCCCUAUGUAAAAACAUUUGUCUCAUGUAAUUUAGAUUAUUGAUGAUGUAUUUUGUAAAACAAAAUAUUUACUGUUUAAGCAAUGUGGUUAUUGUUUUAUGUGAUGGACAGUUUAUCAGUUAAGUUUUGCAGGAAGGUAAACAGGCAAUACAAAGACAACCUUUCCUGCAUAAUGCAAACUUACCGACGUCCAUACCGACGGAUCACCAUCCGUCGGUAUCUCACAGAGAGUUUAUUUACAACAAAAUGCCACAAUCACCGACGGCCAUACCGACGGAUCACCAUCCGUCGGUAUCUCACAGAGAGUUCGAAAAUAUUUACAACAAAAUGCCACAAUCACCGACGGCCAUACCGACGGACCAUCCGUCGGCAUCUCACAGUAAGCUCGAAAAAUAACACACCAUCGACGGUAUUACCGACGGCGUAGGUCCGUCGGUAAUUUGUCGGUUACCCAUUUACCGACAGAAUUACCGACGGACCGCGCGUUUCCAAAGUGCGUUAAUUAAUGCGCCUCUGAACUUGUCAGAUUACCGACGGAAUCACCGACGGACUGCGAAAAUUUUGGAGGGCUUUUAAAAAUUCGGGGCGAAAUUCGAAAAAUACCGACAAAAUUUUGACCUUUUACCGACGGAUUUGUAACCUGUUACCGACGGAUGUUAAUUCCGUCGGGGAUUCCGUCGGUAAAAUUGUAAACUGUUUGUGGAGACGCACGUGCGGAGGCAUGACCGCCAAAAGGGGACGCAACAGUUCGUUGACAACCGUGCUCAACAGUUUGUGGUGUGUUUGUUUAACCAUUUUAUUUUGUAAGUUAUUAUUAUGUUUAUUGAAUUGAAUAUGAUUUUUUUUUUCAGGAGACCUAUAAUAAUCGGUUGAGGGAGAGAUACAGGGAUGAUCCUUCGACCCAUCCGGAAUUCGAUCCGGAUUUGUGGAUGGAGGCUGGAUCGUCAGGUGGACCCGAUAAAAAUCGGGUUUACGGGCUCUCCAACACUACCGCUGCCAAGUUGCGGUCGACCGGGUACUGCUUCAACUGGUGGGAGCUCCCAAUCUGUAUCGAGCUCCCAAUCUAAGGAGUUUGUGGCCUUGCAGCAAAAGUGCGACCACCUAUCAGAGGCGUACACACAACUCAAAGAAGAGCAAAGAUUGGCGACGAACAACACGGAUUGGUGGACGAACAACGCAGAGCAGAGUCUGAACAACAAAGAGCGGCCUAAUGAAGAGCUUCGUCAAAUGGUCAUGAACAUGACACAAGGCGGAACAUGUGCGCUUAAUCCUUUUUGGCCGCCUAACCCCAACCCUCCCUCCUCCUCCUCCCUCCUCCUCACCUUAUAUUAAUUGUUUUUUUUUAAACACAUUCAUUUUGUAAUGAAUAUUAUUUAACUUUGAGUUUUUGUUGCUUAAUAUAAAUUUUAUUUGCAUAAUUGGUUUGUAUUACUAUUAAUUUAUAUUAUUUUUUCUAAAUAAUUAAAAAAAAAAAUUACACAGGGAUUUACCGACGGAAUAAAUCCGUCGGCAUUGGACAGUGUCUGAGGUAUGCCAUCCCAUCACCGACAUACUCACCGACGGAAAUAAUCCGUCGGUAUCCAAAUACCGACGAAUUUACAGACGGAUUUAUUCGGUCGGUAUGAAAUAUCACCGACACUUUUGCCGACGGAGUUAGUCCGUCGGUAUAUUCCAAGCGGGAAACUUUUUUUUUUUGGCGCGCACAGGCCGUCGGUAAAACCGUCGGUAAAUGUGUUUUUUUUAUUACCGACGGAUAUAGCGACGGAAUGUGGGAUCACCGACAAAAGGUAUUCCGACGGGAGUAUUCCGUCGGUAAUAUAGUCGGUAAAUAAUUUACCGACGAACGUUCUGUCACACACCAACGGAAUAUUUCCGUCGGUAAAACUGUGAAAUCUUGUAGUGAAAGAAAACGAAAAGGGAGCAAAGUUGCAUGAAAUUGAAAUAGCUGUAAAAGAUAGUUGCAUAAAUAUUGGAUACUAAUAUUCUAGAAAUCAACAAAGAAAAAAAAUGAAGUCAAAGGAAUUUAGGCAGUGUGUAAUACUGUGAUCGGAAAGUAUUUUUAAAAUUUAUUUUAAAUUAAUAUAUUUUUGAUAUUUUCAAAUUAUUUUGAUGUGUUUAUAUCAAAAAUAAUUUUUUAUAAAUAUUAUUUUAAUAUAUUUGAUAAUAAAAAAUAUUUUGAAAAACAAUAAUUACCAUACUUUAAAAUGCUUAAACUUAGCAUUAAAUGAAAGAGAAACCCAAAAAUCCUAUGGAAGGCUUAUCCCACGUGAAUCUGAUUAUAUAAAAGAUUGUUUUUGCUUAUUACUAUUUUUUUUUAAGAAAAACAAGUUGGUAAAAUAACACCACUUAAAAAAAAUUUAGAGAAAUAAUAAUGCAUGUGAUGAUUGAAAAACACAAAGUUUCAAAAAAUAUUCAAAUAAGCUAGCACAAAUUAUAAUGAAGAGAGAAGAAAUGGAAGAGAAAAAAACAUAGAGACACCAAGACGCUAAUUACAACUACUAUUAUAGAAAAAAUCCCAAUUAUAUAAAUCAAAUAACACAAAGAAACUUAUAAAUGGUGAAUAAAAUGAGUUAUACUUGCAGCAAAAAAACAAAUGAGCCACUCCACCACAUUUGACAUGAUAAAUGUUGCACACUUAAUUUACUGAUAAUGAUUUUUUUGGUAUUUUUAGAUUUGUCUUUCUAAGAUUUUUUUUAAAGAUAUUAGUUGCGUGUUAUUGGAACUUUAGUGAGACUCUGUAGAUUUUUUUCCUUUUUUUUUUUUUUCUAUUAUCAUAAUUUAUAUAGUUCAAUUCAUAAUUUAUUUAAAAUAUUAUGAAGAACAAAUUUGUCGUGAUUUCAUGAUAUUAUUUUUCCAAUUCCUUUUGAAGCCAUUUUCUUUUGUUACUUAAAAAAAAACAUUAUACAAAGCAAAAAAAUAAAGUGAUUUUUUUUAUCAUUAUAAUUUUUGUGAAAGCAACUUUAUAGCACAAAAAGGAAUUGAGAGGACAAGUUUGAGAAAGAUCUAAGAUUCUCUUUUUUCAUGCAUAAAAGGAAAUAUCUUAUUGCUCAAAUAACCUUUUGAUGUUUAAAAUUCACUGUGCCUCUGGAUAAAAUAACUUUUUUUUUCUUUUUGAAGUAAUUAUAAAUAUUUUUAGUACAACCAGCAUGUUCGAACUACAAAUGAUAUGUUUCUAUAUAUAUUGUCUUAACAGUGUAUUAAUUUAAUAACAGUAUAAUAAAUCCUUCUAUAAAUGAAGGAAACAUAUACUUAAUUAAAACACCAAGUCAGGAACCUUAAUAACGAGAUCUAAGUGCUAUUAUAUUAAAUCACUGAGAAUUAUCACAAGCACGAUCGGCUGUAUCAAAAUCUCGAUGUUAUAUGAGAAUAUUCAUAGCAAUAAAAAAUCCAGAAUGGCUUCUAGAAAUGUAUAGAAAAAUUGCAGCAGCGAGCGGGUAAUUUAACAGAGAAGUAAAAUAUUUAUGGGUACGCAAAUAUUACAAUUUUAUUGCCACUACCCAUGUCUGCUCUUGGAUUAAUAUUAUGAUUGCCUCUCAAUUUGUAUCUUUCUGAUACGUCUUCUUUUGUCCCACGUCGUCUCGUACAAAACGAAAACUGAAGACGUGGGAGAAGACUUGAUUGCCGUUUUAGUCAAAGUUCGAUGAAAACCCCCCUCAAUUCGUAUCUUUCUGAGACGUCUCGUUUUUUCGUCUUGUGAGACGUUCUUUGACCCCCAUAGCCCUUCUUUUGCUUGCAGCACCAAGCUUCCAAGAAAGCCCACCAUAUAUAUAUAUAUUGGAGAGGCCUGGGCACCAUCUCAUAACCAAAUUGAGCUCCCUUCCCACCACCCCACCAACUGAAGAGACUAUAUUAGCUCUGUAGAGAGGGGAAAAAACGGAAAUGGCUGACAGCAAUAGCCCAAAUCUUGCUUUUGAAAAAGAAAGGUUAGUUUUUUUUCCAUUCUCAGUUUAAUUUCCUUUUCCGUUUAUUGAUCUUCACUAACAAAACUAGCCUUCCGUUGUCUGUAAAGCUCUGUUGGCCCCAAGGCCUAAACAGAGGACACACUAUUAACUACACUAAGCUUCUAAAAGUAAACUAUAUCGAAUAUUAACUGGUAAAAAACCCUACUUUUACUGACCUCAUGCACCGUAGAAAAAUAUAGUGUUGAAUUUUAGUGUCUAAAACAAUUUUAUUUUGUUGUGAUGACAGCGUCGUUAUUGUGCAACAUGGGAUCUUUGCCCUUCUCCUCAAGACGUUAAACGAUUAUAUCCAAGUGAAGUACCAAUCGAUUCAAGCGUCUCCCUGGGACACACACCAUCUUAUCAUGUUCCUUUUCCUCCUGGCUCUAUUUACAUAUGCCACGGCAUUGGUGGUUGAGGUUAUGCUCCGAGCUUCUGAAUCAAUCUAUCACACACAUGUUGGCAACAUCCGCCUCUUUGCUGGUGGCUUUGCUGCAAUUUUGCUGUUAGCAAUUCUUUAUCCAAUCUUGGGCUGCAUCAUUUCCUUGAUGUGGGUCUGUUUAUUUGUGAAAAUAGCAUUCGAAUCAUUCCAGGAGUUGUACAGCAUUUUAUGCCAAACAGUUGUUGGGGUACUCCACAUGUUGAGCAGGCUCAUCGGAAGUGUGAGGUGCCUUGAAGAAGAGGAACCACACCAGCCGCCUGCGUAGGUCCUUUAAAAAUCAUGGGUUGUGUAGAAAUAUAUGUUUUUGUAACACAUGUCAUUGUAUUUUGGAGAUAUGUAUGUCUUUUACUUGAUUAGUGGGUCAGUAAAUAAUAGUUUUUACAAGAGAUCGGUGUUAAAGAAUCUACUUGUUCAUGUUAUCUGGAAAUAGAAAUAUGAGAAUUACUGCCCCUGGGUCAAAAGAGAACAUGCUUCUCAAUGCCUUAGCCAUCACAAAGUAGAUCACACAAGCAAAUCAAUAGCGCACACAAACAAAAUUACCUUCUUCUGCUCAGCUAUGGAGUAUGUCUCUUCGAAAGCCUGGAAAGAAUCAUGCCGCCGUAUCUCAUCCUUCUCCGUAUACCCUAGAUGGCAAUCCGUUGCAACAAGUAUUCGAAGCGUAUUUGCAACAUCAUCCCUGGGAAACCCAUUUCAAUAUAAUCACAAAGACAAAAAUUCUAAAAUAAAUGUAAAAAAUUCCCAGCUACCAAGACUUGCUAACAGUACAGUAUAAUGAGAUUGGAAAAAAAAAAUCAAUUUUUUAGCCAAUCUAAGCCUCUUUGGUUUAAAAUUUCAUCUUUUUUUAAAUGCGAUUAAUUUAUUUUUCUUUCUAAUAUUAAAAUAAAAAAUAAGCAGAGAGAGAGAGAGAGAGAUUCACCUUGACAAGUCUCCCAUGGUCCUUCCUCUUCAAAAACCUAAAAACACAGAGCAAAUAAAAACAACAGUAAUGUAAAUUAAAAUAUUAAAAAAGUACCAAGAAUCCUAGAUAGAAACUCAAAAUCACUUAAAUUUAUCAAAAGAAAGUUCCACAAAUCAGGACUUCUGAUGAUACAAUAGCAAGUAAAUACAAACACGAAUGAAAGAGCUAAAAAACAAGGAAGCACACGCUGUUCGGUUGCCGAGAAAAGUAAAAACAUUACAGAGAGACAUUUUUUUACCGUUUGAUUUUGUGAUUGAAAGGAGUAGAAAGGGUUUUGCGGUGGCGGUGAAUUUCAAAGCAGAAAGGAAGACACUCGGAAAAGGGCAGAAAAUAGUUCCACACUUCUCUCUCUCUCUCUCUCUCUCUUAUUUUUGUUUUAUUUUGUUUUGUUUUUUUUUACUGGUUGCAAUUUAAUUUAAUUUUUUAGAUAAUUGUUUAGAUUUUUUUAAUAAGAAAAAUAUUUAAAUAUUAUUAACAUGUUUUUUAAUAAAAAAAUAUUUAAUUAUAAAUUUAAAAUAUAAGGUGUAUUUAAUAUAUUUUUAAAUAUUAAUAUAAAAUCAUAUUUGAAGAAUUUUUUAUUUUAAAUAUUAAUAUGAUAAGAUAUUAAAUCAACUUGAAUUAAUUGAUCAAAUUCAUAAUCUUGAUCAUAAAAUUGUGAUAAUCCUAUUAAAAAUUAAGAUAAAUUAUGAAGAUAAAUUCUUAAUUAACUUAAUAUUAAAAGAUAAAAUUAAAAAUAAAUAUAUCAAAUUUAAAAAAUGACAAAAAAAACUACUUGAGUCAACCUGUGUUAACUUGUUAAAUCCUCAAUCUGGUUUAUGAGAUCAAGAUAAACUCAUAUAAAGUAAAUUGAAAAAAUUUACAAAGUUUAAUUUUCAAUCAAUUCAAUAUUAAAAAAUAAAAUUAAAAAAUUAAUUAAAAAAAACAAGUACUAUUUAAACACACUUGAUCUUCAAUUCUGACACACCUGGUAUUGUUGAAAAAACUCUCGGUAAGAUGAUUAUAUGACAUAUUGGAAGACCACCAUAAAAUGACUAAGUGAGCCUUACGUGCCUCUCAAAAGAAAUGGAGUAGCCUACGCCCUAGCAUUUGCAUUGCACGUGUCAAAAGGAAAAAAUAAAAAAUAAAAUCAUCUUGUUUGGGUCAAUAGCUUAAAUAGGGUGCUUUCACCUUCUUUGAGCUGAGGCUCAAAGAGAUGCCUUCAAUUUAUUUGGCCUAACAUCUUAAAAGAGGUGUUUUCAGUUUGUUUGGACUACUGCCUAAUUGAACUGUUUUAAAUCCCUUUAGUCCAUAAUACAAACAUAAUGCUUUUUAGUUCAUUUGGACUGGCUAGACUCUUUCUUCUUCUUCUUGUUGUUGUUGUUUUAAUUUGAGAAAUUAUUCAGGCCUCGACCUAGUAUCAUGAAAAAUUCUCAGCUCCUACACAUAUUUGAACAUAUUUUUUCAAGUUUUAAGGAGUUAGAACGCGACGUCGCACUGCCCACACACAUAAUAUUUUUUUAAUGAUUAACUGAUAUAUUCUUUGAUAUAUUUUCUAUAAGUGCAUAUUUUUAUAUUAGGUUUACGCCAACUUUUCUAGCCAUAGUCGUAGUGCAAACAUGCUCCAUACUCUAUAAAAAUCAGGCACCUCCUUUUUAAGCUAAUGAAUAUAUUUUGCCAAUGACACGAUCAAAAGAUUGAUGUCUUCUUCCAAGUGUAGGAGUAUCGAAGUAAUAAAUAACCCGGCAAGACCGGGGUUGAACCACAUAUAUGUUAACUAUAUAAAUUAUAAAUAAUAAUAAUAAUAAUAAUAAUAAUAAUAAUAAUAAUAAUAAUAAUGAUGAUGAUGAUGAUGAUGACGAUGAUGACGAUGAUGAUGAUGAUGAUGACGACGACGACGACGACUUUGAGAUGUAAGAUUAAUGUGAAGAUUAAACAAUGAUAAAAAUAGUUGUCAAUGUUAGAGGAUCAAUUAAUGGUAUUUCAAAUAAGUAUAAUAUAAACUCUUUAUAUUACUCAACUGGAAACCACACACAAAGGAGGUUCCAAUCAGAUGAUUUGUCAUUAAUAGCUUAUUAUAAAUUAUUAGCACGGUCAUAUUAAUUAUCUUAUUUAAGUAACACCAAACUUUUAAAUAUUAUCAGGAAUUCAUGAUGCUAACUUAUGUUAAUAACAAAUCAAGUUCCUUUCAUAGCACGUUUGUAGGUUAUACCAUACGGUUGACAUGAAAGUGCUAAGCAUUUGUUAUACCAAGUGUUAUACAACAUAAAUCUAGAUUAACCAUUUAACAAGCUGCAACCUGAUUGGUCAAAAAAGAUCUCCUGAUCUAAUUCAGGAAACUGACGAUGCCAAGCAUCUUACUUUGACUGAGAGUUUGCCAUAAGAAUAACGAGCCCUAGGACCCAAUAAAGGUGUAGGUCAAUUCUUCAACAUGUCAUGAGUUACAGAAUAUAGCCGGGAUGGUCGGAUAUUGCAUGAAACCAAAUCAGAAUCAAAGCCUAAGUUGGAACAAAAAAUUACGACAACAGCAGAAUCAGUUUUUUUAGUGCAACUUUUGAGGAAUUUAUCCAACCUUAGAGACCAGAUAACAAAGGAAUGAAUUUAGCAUUUUAAAGACUCCUAAUUAGCCUAAGAAUCCUAACAAUUUCGGUAGCAAAGGGGGAGGAUAAGGAGAGCAGAUGUCAGCUGGAACAUGGUUCGAAAAACAUUUCCUUCUCCUUUGUUUUUGUCAAUCUCCCAGCAACCUUAAACUAAACUCUUACCUUCAAUUUAAAGGGGAUAUACAACAUCUCCACUAGCACGUAUGACUAAAAAAAAAGAGUAAUAAUAAAGAUUUAGCCAUAAAUAUUUGUCAUUAAUAUACAUUUGGAGACAUGAAGAUUUCAUCAUCAAGAUUUUCAUGGAUACACAUUUGGAGAUUUCAAUGGAGAUUUUUGUUGAAGAUAUUAAAGAUGAAGAAAAGUUACUGCAUUUAUUAAAAGUACAAAAGAUAGAGAUACAAUUCCUGGAGCUAAUUUGGAGAUUAUUUGAUCUCAAAUAGAUCAUUAAAUAUGUAGAAUUCCUUUCUUUCAUGCUUAGGUUUUCUUUCUUUUUUCAUGGAUUGGUGAAGAUAACUUAUAAUGAUUAAUUUUUAUAUCUCAUUUUUCAAGGCAUGUCAUUCCUUGGUGUCAUACUCGUGGUCACAGUAAAAAAGGCAAAAUGUAUUUAGGUUCCUGGUGUUCGCACUAUAUUUUAUAGGAUGGGUUAUAAGAAACUUAAAAAAUAUCAAGUGAUCAUGAGUAUGUCAUUUGGUGCUCUUUUUAGAUGCACUAGUAAGAGAUUGAUGAUGUUCAAGAGACACUACUAAUUAGAUAUGUGGAUGACCCUGUGUAGUCAUGUUGGCUUAUUCCUCCUUAAUCUAAUUUUAUUAUUUAUUUUAUAUUAAGUAGAGUCUUAUUAGAGAGUGCAUACAUGGGUUUUUAUAAUGAAUAGUUAGUGAAACCUUUUCACUUUGACAUAAUAAACUUAGCUAAACAUAAUGAAGAAGAUAAACAUAAAUAAACAAUAUAAGAAUAUAAGUAUAGUAAAGGAAAUGAAAAGUAUAAACAAGAGAUUAAAUAAAAUAUAACAUUGAAUAAAACUCGAACAUUACAAAGUACAAAUAAAUAGAGCAAGAGCAAGAUCUCUAAACAACCAAGAUGCCUAAAUGCAUGAAAAAUGCCUCUUUUUAUAGGCCAAAAUUUAAAACUAUUGAUUUGAUGACUAAUUGUUGAGUGGAUGGCUAUAUCUUGACUUGGUGACAAUCCUUAUCUUAUUGUCUGAACAAAACAUCAUUGCUAACAUUAGAAUUUGAACAGAUUUUGUCAUGAAAGUUCUAGGAAAUGGUCUCAGCUUUCUAAAAAAUAAAGAAUCGGUGCAUUUGGACUUUUAAAACUUGAGAUAUGGGCUGAAUACUGAACAAUGUUUGGGCUGCAGGAUAGAUUCGGACUUCUCCGUUGUUGCUAUAAUUUGAGCUUGAAAACGGCUUUUUUUAAUCUUGCACUCCCAUAAAAGUUUUAGGCCUAUGUUUUAGCUUUCCAUCUAUAUAGAGCAGACCUAAAUCCAAGUUUUACAGCUCUAGUUAUGAUCCAAUAACCGAAUGGUGUUCCAGUUUAGACUGAACCAGCAUCUCUUUUCUAAACUUAGCCCUCUCUAUUUCUUCUCAAUUUCAGUAGUUAAACUCAUCAAUCAAUCCCUUGAUUUUAUAUGAUAGGCUUGCAUUUAAGAUGAACAUUUAUCAUAAAUUAAAGGUAUCUUAUAUUAUUAGAUAUGUUAUUAUAAAACAUGCUCUAGCUAAGGAGUUAUUGAUACUUCAUGUGCAAAAUGAUGAUAUAAAACCUUGAUAAAAAUGCACUUUUAAGUACUAAUAAGCUAACGUAUCACUGACAUUCACCAAACACUUCACAAUUACCUUGCCAGACAUUACUUCCUAUUGCGGGCACCAAUAUUUUUUUUUUUUCCUGUUGUUUUGAUCUGAGAAAUUAUUCAGGCCUCGACCUAGUAUCAUGAAAAAUUCUCAGCUCCUACACAUAUUUGAACGUAUUUUUUCGUUUUAUGGAGUUAGAAUGCGACGUCGUACUGCCCACACAUAAAUAUUUUUUUAAUGAUUAAUUGAUAUAUUCUUUGAUAUAUUUUCUAUAAGUGCAUAUUUUUAUAUUAGGUUUGCGCCAACGUUUCUAGCCAUAGUUGUAGUGCAAACAUGCUCUAUACUCUAUAAAAAUCAGGCACCUCCUUUCUAAGCCAAUGAAUAUAUUUUGCUAACGUAUCACUGUCAUUCACCAAACACUUCAUAAUUACCAUGCCAGACAUUACUUCUAAUUGUGGGCACCAAUAUUUUCUUCAAUUAAUUUUCAUGCAACUCCCGAGGUGAGCUAACGUGACCAAGAUCUAUAAAUACCUUAGGUCACCAAGUAAACAGAGAUGUUCACACUAGUUACAAUUUCCUUAAACUGAACAUUUCACUUUCAUUCUUACAUUUACUAACUUAAGCAUUGAAGAACCCUUUGGUCUAUGAGGAACUUGUUUUUCAGGUAUAAUCAAGCCCAAACACCAAGACCAUAUUCAAGUCCACAUGUCCUUGCCCAAGAUUGUAGCCCGUGAAAAGUUCAAUUUUUAUUUGAAUUUUUUUUAUGACCUCAUCACCGACAUCAUUUAUGAGAAAUUAAAUAAAAAAUUGGUUUAUCACCUUCAUCUCUCACCAAAAAACUCUUUUCAUAGAUGACAAAACUUCAAAAAAAAAAAAAAGAGUAAUUGACCUCCUUACUAUAAGGACUUUAACUCCUUAGAUCUCCUAUAACUCACUCAUUAAGAUUUUAUGACCAUACGAAAACAACUUCACACUAUUCCAUUCCACCAAUAAGAAAUUCAACACUUAGGUCCAUUACAUGUACCAGAUAUAUGAAGGCCACUCGAGUUUCAUACAGGAACUGGAUAAAAUAACAUCCAAAAUAUGCAUGACAUUCUCAUACUCUAAAAAAGCCGCUCUCGCCAUGAAAAGCACUCCUCAUUGGAUCCUAGCCUUAGGAGUGACUAUCUUCAUCAAUCCUCCUCUAACUCUUACUCGAAUACUCCCCGAUAAAAAAAGAACUAGACACAAGAAAAGAUUAGCUCCUAAGAAUGAACACUAAUCCCAUCAAGUAUGAUAUUCUCCACUUUAUCACAAAGUGUUAUACACUAAUCUUUUCAAAGAAUGUGUCACUACGAAGGUUAACUUAGAUAACUAUAAUGGCCUUACAAAUCAUAAAGAGCACAUAAAAAAUAUCAAAAGCAUUCUAGAGCUAGUUAUAAUAAAGAGUGAUGCCAUGUGAAAGCUUUUCCCUAUAAUUUUUUGUGGAUCCGCCAAAGUGUGAUAUAAUAGCCUAAAACUUGAUUGUAUCAUUGGCCUUCAUGUACUUUAUGUUAAGCUCACCUCUCUUUGUAGCAAUAGCAUUCUAUAAAAAAAAAUGACAAAGCUUUUCACCAUCACCUAAUAAGAAGAUGAGAAAACCAGAACAUAUCUCUAGAGAUUUAAUGAAAACAUGUUUAACGUAAAGAAUUUGCUUGAAUUAAUUGGCACUAAGGUACUGUUCAAUGGUGUUUCUGUACUUCAAAAUGAAUUUAUCUCAUUCUUAAUCCUUCAUGAAAGUUAUAGUCCUAUACAUGUAGAUGAAUUUUGGUUUUGAAUCGGUUGAUUUCGAUAUCAGAAGCUCAAGAUAUCCCCGUUUGAAUAUCUCAAUGUGAAAGUAGAGAAUUCUGUCGCCAGCAGGAUUCUGACCUGAAUUUUGCACUAAAGGCUCUACUUCCAUUAUGAUUUUGCUGGUUGUUAUUCUUAGGUUAUACUCUCAGUCAUAUCAGGAUGCUCGACAUUUAUCAGUUUUUGAAUCAGAUCAAGAGAUCAUUUUUACCAACCAGAUUGCGGCCUAAUUAUGUUAUGUAAACAAUUUUAUCUCACCUUGAAUCCUUUAUAAAAGUUGUAGUCCUACAUGUGUAGAUGAAUUUGGGUUUUUGAAUCGCUUGAUUUCGAUAUCAAAAGCUCAAGAUAUUCACGUUUGAAUAUCUAUUGAGGAAGCAAAAAUUCUGCCGCAAGAAGGAUUUUGCCCCCAAAGUGAGCAGGACUGAAUUGAAAAAAAAACUAAAAUAAAGGAGUUAAUUGCAGAUGAAAUUUGGAAGAAACUUAGCUGGGUUUUGGAAGAAAUAGAAAAAACAGGGUAGGAUUAGAAAAUGACAAAAAUUCUAACACGAUGGGUUACAUUUCUGCUUCAUUUCUAAACGACACCAUCUCUGUUUUUUUGCAUUAAUUCUCUUUUUAGCUAGACAAUGCCGUAUGAGAGCAACCCCAUUUUGAAUUAAUGAGCAUGGUACUGUAUGCCCGUCUGCAACCUUUUCCCUCCUCUACAAUUGUUCCCUACCAUUUUCUUUUUUUGGCAUUUCUCUUGUCCCUGCAUUACACAAAACAGUCCCCCUUUUCAUGCUAGGAUGGCAGCUGUGAGAGGGAACGACUUUGUACCUCCAAUGCUAGCUGGGGAAGAGGACGCAAAGGGAGCCUCGCCAUGAUCUAAUGGUUGGAAUUGAUUCCCUAACAAAGACGGCUAGGAUGAGAGGGGGUUGAGUCUGGUCCUCAAGUUUCUUGCUUGGCUAUAUAAGCAAGCUGUUAAGUAAACAAAAGGGAGGAGAAAGAAAGAAAGAAAAGGGAGGCGGAGAAGAGUAAAAAACAGAAAGCUAGCAUAAGGCUGAGGUUAGAGAAGCCGAAAAUCAAUUAGAACGAGAGGAGAUCACUUUCAGCUCAUCCUACCUUGCCGAAAAGGACUUCACAAAACUCUAAAAGGGUUUUGAAAAAAGCUCCUAACGGUAGAAAGACGAAGUCUUUCUUUGGUUACCAGAGGCGAGAAGGCAGAAGCUUUGUCCAUCAGUUUGCACGUCAUCUUUUACAUUCAAAACAAGCAAUAUUGGCAGGUGACAUGACCAAAAGAUUGACGUCUUCUCCCAAAUACAGGAGUGUCGAAGCAAUAAAUAAUCUGGCAAGACCGGGGUUGAACCACAAGGAGAUGAACUAUAUAAAUUACAAUUAAUAUAUAUAUUUAAUAAAACAAAGAGUUCAUGAGAAUUUUAUAGGAUAUUGAUGUAGGGAUUAAACAAUGAUAAAACAAUUAUCAAGGUUAGAAGAUCCACUAAUAGUAUUAGAAAUAAGUAUAGUAUAAACUCCUUUUAUUAAUUAAUUGGAAAUCACACACAAAGGAGGUUCCAAUCGGAUGAUUUAUCCUUAAUAAUUCAUUAUAAAUUUUUAACAUGAUCAUAUUAAUUAUCUUAUUUAAGUAACACCAUACUUUUAAAUAUUAUCAGGAAUUCAUGAUGCUAACUUAUGUUAACAACAAAUCAAGUUUCUUUCAUAGCACAUGUGUGGGUUGUACCAUACGGAUGGCUAUGAAAGUGUCAAGUAUUUGUUGUACCAAGUGUUAUACAACACAAAUUUAGAUUAACCAUUUAACAAGCAAGGUAUUAAGAAUUAGUAAGGUAAAAAGAUAAGACAUGUUAAUAACAAACUUUUUUGGAUAUAAACAUUGAAGUCUAUGUUGAGUUUAUAUUAUACCUAUUCUAACACCAUUAAUGAAACCUUUUCACCUUGACAUAAAAAACUUAGCUAAACAUAAUGAAAAAGAGAAACAUAAAUAAACAACAUAAGAACAUAAGUAUAGUAAAGGAAAUGAAAAGCAUAAACAAGAGACUAAGAAAAAUAUAACAUGAAAUAAAACACUUAAACAUUACAAAAAUAUAAAGAAAGAAAUAAAGAGCAUGAUCUUGAUUUGAACAACCAAGAUGCCUAAAUGCAUGGAAAAUGCCUAAUUUUAUAGGCCAAAAUUUGGAACUAUUGAUUUGAUGACUAAUUGUUGAGUGGGUGGCCAACUUUUGACUUGGUAAAAAUUCUAUCUUCUUGUCUGAACAAAACGUCAUUGCUAACAUCAGAAUUGGAACCAUAUGUACGCAUGAAAGUUCUAGGAAAUUAUCUUAUCUUUCCAAGAAAAAAACAUUGAGGACAUUUGUACUUCUAGAACUUGAGAUAUGGGCUGAACACUGAACAAUGAACAAUGUCUAGGCUGCAUAACAGAUUUGGACUUCUUCAUUGUUGCUAUAAUUUGAAAUUGAAAAUGAACUUUUUAAAUCUUGGAAUCCCAUGAAAGUUGUAGGCCUAUGUCUUACCUUUCCAUCUAUAUAAAGAAGACCUAAAUCCGAGAUCUACAGCUCUAGAUAUGACCCAGUUACCGAAAAGUGUUCCAGUUUGGACUGCACCAACAUCUAUUUUUUAAGUUUGGCCCUCUCUUUGUCCUUUCAAUUUCAGUAUUUAAACUCAUUAAUCGAUCCUUUCAUUUAUGUGAUAGGCCUGCAUUUAAGAUGAACAUUUACCAUAAAUUAAAGGUAUCUUAUAUUAUUAGAUAUGUUAUUAUAAAACAUGCUUUAGUUAGGGAGUUAUUGAUACUUUAAGUGCAAAAUGAUGAUAUAAAACCUUGAUAAAAAUGCACUUUUAAGUACUAAUCAGCAGGUAUGAAUCUUAGCCUCUUUCUGCCUUGUCAUAUGUAUAGUUGAUGUCUGAUGUUUUUUCUUUUCAAAACUUGUUUCUGCUCUUAUUUUAGACAUUCAAGUUCUGUUUUGGCAAUAUAAUUUGGAGUUUGCAUGCAUUUUCUUCCAUAGCUGUGAGUAAAUAGGCGUUUAUGUUAAGAAUUGUUGGUUACUUUCUUUCCCUUUUGUUCUUGAGGAAUUGGGAGCCUUAAGGGUCCUCAUUAUCCUUCAUUUCCUUUUUUUUUCCUGGGUAUUUCUAUGUUUUAUAAUUCUCUAAGGAAGGGUUUUUGCUCCUAAAGGUUAUUUGUCUAGAGGAGAAAGUGAAACAGAAGGGAAGUCCCUUUACGUUUGAAGUAAUCUUUUGGGCAGGUUCAGAGGCUCAUGUUUUUCUUUUCUGCUCUAUGAAGAUGAAAUAAUUGGCUAUGUUGUUUUGGGUUUAAUCUGUGAUAUAGGUGGUAUGAAAUCAUGCUCUUCAAGUUGUUUCCUUUUGCAUGAAACUGGUAUGACGAUUUUCCUAUAUUGGUAAAAGAGGAUAGGUCAUGAGUCACGAACACUGCAUUAGGAUUUUGAGUUCAAACUUUGGUUUCAGAACUUUGGCUCCCUUGUGCAUAUAGACGUUUUUCUUUUCCAAUUAUAGAAUUUUAAGUUGAGUUGGCUUUGAAUAGUUUUUUAUGCAUUGUUUUAAUUAAGCUUCUUGUAAAUCUUAUAAUAUAUAUGAUGGCUUGCUACCUUUAUUGUGACAUUUGCGUUUAAUUGUGAUGCUUGUGUUUUGACCAAAUAUAAAAAUGUUUUUGUGUGUUGCAUACGACCAAUACCCCAACAUAUUUUUAAUUUCUCUAUAUAAAAAAAAUCAAUAUUCAAAGUUUUAAAAAAUGUGUUUUAGCAUGGAUUUCUUAAAUAAAUAAAAAUUAUUUUCUUGCAUCUUGGAUUUUACAACAUAUUUGUAAACUCCAAAGGGUGUUGGCUAAUAUUCCAAAAAUAUAAAAAUUUUAUUUUUGAGAAUUCAUCUUUAUUCACUAUUAAUGUUUGGAUAAAAAAAAUCUCAAAGGGUUAAUAUCCAAAAUAUUAUUAGGAAUAAUUUGUUAUUAUUCACUAUUAAUGUUUGGAUAAAAAAAAUCCCCAAAGGAGUUAAUAUCCAAAAUAUUAUUUGGAAUAAUUUGCUAUUAUUCAUUAGUAAUGUUUGGAUAAAAAAAAUCCUAAAGGGAUUAAUAUCCAAAAUAUUAUUAGAAAUAAUUUGUUAUUAUUCACUGUAAAUGUUUGGAUAGAAAACCUCCAAAGGGGUUAAUAUUCAAAAAUAUUAUUGGGAAUAAUUUGUUAUUUGUUCACUAUUAAUAUUUGGAUAAAGAAACCUCAAAUGGUAAAUAUCAAAAAUAUUUUUCUAUGAAUAACAAGUCGUUAUCCCUUAAUAAUAUAAGGGCAAAUAAACCUAUGAAAGGUAAAUGUUCAAAAUAUUGUUAAUAGGAAUAUAACUUGUUUAUUUUUAACAUAAGGGCAGAUUUAUGCCUAAAAUUUUAUUUAGAACAAUUUAAUUGCACAUCCUUGGAAGAAGCCUCAAUUAUAAUUGGGGACAUUUUAAAUUUUGAUUCCACAAUUUAUGAGUCACUAAAAUAUGAAAUACUAAGGCAAAAAUGAGCAUUUAAAGAACCUUGAAUUUCCUUAGAUUUCUAACUUAGUUUCUUUUCUCUUUCUUGCGAUUUACGAGUCGCGAACACUUGAAAUGCUAAGGGAAAAGUGAGCUCUUAAGCACAUUGAAUCUCCCUAGAUUUCUAUCUUAGCUGUCUCUAAAUUCAUAAAUUCUGAAUUUAUUUCAAAUCAAGCAUAGACUUCAAGAGAUCUGCACCAUUUCUCUUUGGCACUCUAUAGAUAUACCUAAAGGUAUGAUCCAUAUUGGCCAAGGGUACUUUCCUUUAAACUUUGAACGUAAGUUCGUACAUCAUAGCAGACUUAUCCUAGGAAAUUGAUGGGAUUAAAGAACAUCUACACUAUAGCAAUUAUAGACAAACUAAACACCAAGCAGCUUACCUUAGGUAGGGCAUACUAGGGGUGCUAAAACCUUCCAUUUACACAACCAUUAACUUGCCUUAGAAUCUAUGAAAAAACCAGUUAGGUUUCCUAGUGACCAUAAUACUAGUUGAUAACUUCUUUUUUCACAAAACAAAGACCCCAACAUCAAUCCCCGCUCCAGGAAGGGUCGCCUCGAAGUCAAGCUCUCUUAAGGGUACGACAAUCUCUAUAAAAUAUUAAUGCAUGUCUUUAAUAUCUUCUAAAGGAUCAGGGAUCUUUCUUUAGGUCCUUGUGACCACUUUUUUUAAGGUCUUUAUGACCACAUUUCUCUAGGUACAUGUUACCACUUGUCUUAAAAAGGAUCAAAGAUCAUUCUUCAGUUUUUAAGGCUACUCAUAAAAUAUUUUCAUCUAUAUACACAAACCAUAUUACUUUCAAAUUUAUUUUUUUAUCAGUACACUACUUGUAUUUAUAAGCAACAUUAUUGAAUUCUCCUAUCUCACACAAAAAAGUUAAACAAAAUUCAAGAAGAAAACUCUCAUGUUGGGAACUUUACAAAACAUAAAAAAGCCAACAGCCAAAUGUCGGUAACACUCUUAUAACCACAACAUGUAACAUCAUUUAUACAAAAAAAAAAUGUUUUCUUUUCCGAACUUAUGCUAGUUAAGUAUCAAACAUUUAUGUUUUAAAACCUUAGAGAGGUGAGGAUUAAUUAUGGUGCAUGUAAAGAAAACCACUUUGUUUGGGUUAUGGCCCAAACAAAGUGAAAUAAAAGCCACUCCAAUCGGUCCAUGGCCCAAACAGGGUGAAAUAAACAAUCACCCCGUUAAGGCUCUAUCCUAAAUAGUGUGAAAUAAAAAUUAAAAUAUUUUAAUGGCUGGCAUAGUAAGGAGAGAGGAAAUAUAAGAUAAGAAGAAAAAAGAGAAGGAAAUAAUAGGUUAUCAGGGACACACCUGAUCUUUGAUUUUGAUACCUAGUAUCAUUAGAAAAAUCUUGAUGAGACAAUUAUAAUGGUACCUUGGAAAACCACUUAAAGGUGGUGUGGGUCUUACAAGUUGCCUCAGGAUAGAGAAGAAGUCCAUUCCUUAGCACGUGCAUUGCAUGUACUACAUGAAAACACACACACACACACACAUAUGCACGUCAUUUAAGCCAACAACCUAAAUGGCCCUGGUUGGGCUUUUUCCCAAAUGGACUACUUAUAGUCCCUUUAGACUACAUUCUAAACAAAAUGCAUUUUAGUUUGCUUAGACUAGCCAAACCUAUUUUUUUCUCUUUGUUUUGAAAAAAAAUAUUAUUUAUGCUUUAACCUAACACAAAAUUCCUAACUCUUAUACAAAUCCUGAUGUAUUUUUCAAGUUCUAAGGAUUCAAAACACAAGUCCAUACUACUCAUACAUAAGAUAUAUAUUUUUUUGAUUAAUUGACAUAAUUUUUGAUGUAUUCUCUGUAAAUGCAUAUUUUUAUAUAGGGUUGGUGCCACUUUUUUUAGCCAAUGAUCGUAGUGCAAACAUGUUCAAUGCUUUAUAAAACUUAUGUCUUUUUUAUUAGCCAAUGAUUAUUUUUUUUAAUAUGUCAUUGACAUUCAUUAAACACUUUGCCAAUACUAUGCCAAACAUUACUUCUAAUAGUGGACACUAAAGUCUCACCAAUCAAUUUUCAUGCAACUCUAUAUGUGAGCUGAUGUGUCUAAAGUCUAUAAGUAUCUUGGAUCAUGAUGUAAACAAAGAGACUCACAUAGGUUAUAAUUUCUUUAGACUUAACAUUUCAUUCUUAUUUUUACAUCGUUCUCAUUUCUCUCCUGCAUUUAUCGACUUAAGCAUCAAAGAGUUCCUUGUUAAACAAAAGAUUUAUUUUUCAAGUAUAAUCAGGUCUAAACACCAAACCCAUAUUCAAGCUCAUGUGUCUUGGUCUAGGAUUGCAACCUGCAAAAAACUAAUUUUUAUGUGCAGUUUUUUGACGACCUCAUCAAACUUAUUAGUCAUAGCCUCAAACAUGCUAACAAAAGGUUUGAUGGCCUAAGGCUUAUUUAGGGCCUAAAUACAAAGUUUGUGUUAGUUAGACUAGCAAGUGAAAAUAUUAUAUUCAUCAAUCUACAUUUGUUAGUUUGACUAGUAAGUUAGAAUAUUAUAUUCCUCAGUUUACAAAUCACAAUAUAUAAACUAGUAAUCAAUUAGGGCUGUCAUGAUUUGAGGUUUGUUGAUUUUUAAAUAAGGGUUGGUUUCAUUUCAUUAUUUAGAAUACAUUAAAAAAUAGGCCAUUUUAGCAACUACAUCUUUUCACAAGUUAUGGUUUUGUAUUUUUUUAAUCAUAAUUAAAAUUUAAAUGUAUUUUUUUUUAAAAUAGAUCAUGUUAUAAGUGUUAAGGAAAUAAAUAAUGUAAAUAUUUUUUUUAAUCAAUAGAAAAAUAAAUUAAGGAAUCAAGUAAUUCCAAACAAUUAAAAAACUAUUGCAAUCAUCCAGUUAAAGAAGAUGAUCAACCAUUAUAUAUAUAUAUAUAUAUAUAUAUAUUAUUUCUUUAUAUGUCUUGUUAUAUGACUAUAUAAACUUUUUAUAAGUUAAAAUGUAACUCACAUAAAUAAUAAAAUUAUCAAAUAAUAUCAUUCUCUUUUAUUUUAAAUUUCUAUAAUAAGAAAAAAUAAAACACAUUUAAUGGUUGAGGUAAAUUUAAAACUUAGAGGUGAGGGGAAGGAUUUUUAAUUACAUGCCAUAAAUUACAAAACUAUUAAAUCUAUAUCACCAAUAAUUUUUAAACACAUGUUUUAUUCUUUAUUUUAUUGUGGUUGAACACUUGAUUGAUCUUUUAGUCAAAGUCCAAUGAAUGUUGAUCAAUCAUUUCCUAUAAUUUAUUUUAUUUUUUUCCUUAUAAAUCUUGUUAUAUGACUAUAUAAACCCUAUAUAAGUUGAAAUUCAAAUUACAUAUAUAAUUAAAUUAUCAAAUAAUAUCAUUCUCUUUUGUUUUAUAUUUCUACAAUAAGAAAAAAAAACACAUGUAUUGGUUGAUGUAAAUUGAAAACUUAGAGGAGAGAGUAAAGUUUUUUAAUUACACGCCAUAAAUUACAAAAUUGUUAAAUCCAUAUCACCAAAAAAUUCUUUGUUUACAAUGAUAUAGCACUUAAUUGAUUAGGGAUGGCAAUAGUUACUCACUAGUUGGAUUUCUUUAUAUACAUACUUUACCUAUUACCCAUAAAGUAAAAAAAUUCGAUAUCCAUCAAGGUUCGGGUAUUCAUAUGAAUAUUCAUUGUUGGACUGUUAUUUUUUAAAUUUUAACACGCUAUAGGUGCGAGGGGAAAAGCAAUUAAGUGAUUACAAUUUUAAAUUCUAUAUUUUGAUAUAUACUUCAUUAUAAACAAUAUCCUCAUUAUUAAAAAGUUCAAGAUCCCAUAACAUUAUAGUUUCAUCAUCACAAUCAUCAUCAAUCUCAUUGAAAUUUAUAAAAUUUAUAAUAAAAAUAUAAUCAAAGAAUAAAUAUUACAUGUUAUACAAUACUUUGUUUAAAACAAAUCAAUAAGUAAAGCAUCGGUCAUUCAUUAUCAUCAUUGAAAGUAUCUUUAAUAGUCACUAUUGAUAGAUCAAGGCGAAAACAUCUACUUCUUUAGUUGUUAAGGUUGAUGGAUCAUCUUCUACAACCUAAUUAUCAGUAUCACAAAAUGCCUCAAAAUUGAUUGGAUCAUAAUUUCACCAUUUUUCAAUAAUUCCUACAUAGUCAAAGUAAAGAUUAAAACAAUAUAAAGAAGCACAUAAAGCUUACUUUCAUUAACCACUUAUGGCAAGUAAUAACCAUGAAGGGCAAGAAAGUAUGGUCCUUUAUAACUAGGACUCAUAACUGUUACAACGUUUAUGACAUGCUAAUAAUUAAUAAAGUUAACAAUAUCAAAUGAUAUACUUGCAUCAAUCAUCCAUUUUGCUAUAGGAAGAUAACACCAUUCAAUUGUUUCUUAAUUUAUUCUGCCAUCAACUUUAGAGAGACUUUUGAGCAUCAUAGGUUGUUCAUGACCUAAAAUAUACAUCUACUGUUGCAUUUUCUUUAUGUUUUCCAGAACUCGUGGUUGAUUGUUUUUCUUUUCUGACAUUUUUUGAUGGUAACAUCUUCUUUUUAUAGGUAGCAUCAACAUUAGCAUUGUUUUCAUCAUUUUCUAAUUGUCUAAUCAUCAUUUCUUUAUUCUUCAUCUGUUAUGCACUAUAUAUAUAUAUUGAAAUUUGCUUGCAUUUCUUUAACUCUUUUUUUCUUCUCAACAUUCCUCUGAAGUUUAAAAAACAUUUGAUGAUGAACAUCGAGAGGACAUUUGACGCAUUGUUCCACUUCUCUUUUGGUUCCAGCUAAAUACUUUUUGGAUCAAUUAAUGGCACCACUCGCAAAAACUUAACUAUAAUAUAAACGUACUAAUUAUAUAUUUUUACAUCCCAUACCUAGUUUAAGAGCUUUUCUAUAAUAACCCCUUGCCACAUCUAUUUUUCCUCUUAUACCACUUGAUAUGAAAAUUAAAGGAUGAGAUGAUUAUGUUAUUGAAGGAUCAAUAUUUGAAGUACUAUUAUGCUAAGAAGACAUUUUACAUAAUUGCAAUAGGAUAAAUGAGAAGACAUUAAUAUAUAAUGCACAACCCAUUCCACAUAUCACAAUUUCCAAACUUUAUGAUCUAUAAAAUCAAAUUUCCUAAAUAUCACAUUAUAUUAGCAUUAUCCUUUUGGAUAAUUACCUUUUUUUUUCCUUUUAAAUUCUAAUUAUAGCUUAUAUCAUCAAUUCUAAUCAUGGCUUGCGCAAUUAAGUAUACUAUUAUAUGACAACUUACAAAGAAAAGUUUAUCCAAAUGUUAGACAACUAUAUGUUUAUCCAAAUCCCACUACAUUUAUAUGAAAUUUCUCAUCAAAUUUUUAAUAAAGAAAAUUUUAUCUAAGCAUAUACUAUUUUUAUUUUAGGGUAUGUGUUUGGAAUCUAAAAGAUCUUAAAAAGAGGAGUCAAAUGGGUGUUAGUACCUUUUUUAUUCCAAAGUUAGGCAUUGAGGUUUCCAUCAUAUACUUGUGCUAGUUGGAAUUCUACGUGGAAGUGGGUGAAGAAGUUUCUACUAAACAAAUGAUGAUAAGACAAAUCUAAAGUAAUAUAAUUGAUAUGGAUAAUGUACAUGGUCAAUGACUAAUGAAGAUUGUUUUUUGUUUUUACUUUUGUCCUUAUCACAUGAUCUCCAAAGGGGUUUUGUUAGUUUCUGAAGAAUUAAAAAACUAAAAAACUUGUUGCCUAGCUUACCAAUUAAAGAUGAUUUUAGCCAAAACACGAAUUCCAAUUCUAAUAGCAAUUUGGUCCUAAUAUAAAGGCAAAAUAAUUUCAUAAAAGGUUACAAUCAUGUGUUUUUUUGUUUUUUUUUGAAGUAGCCAAUCGUAGCUUAUUUUUUAAACAAUUGGGAAUUCAGAAAUAACAUUAACCAUGGAAAUAUUUUACUAGUUUUUGAUACAAACAUCAGGUGAGUUGUGUACCUAAACUGAAGGACACAAAGAAAACUUAUAAACUCUAGCUACCCAAUCACUGAGUUUGCCUCUAUAGCAAUACAUUGAGUUUUCCAUAACUCAUCUCAAAUAGAGAAGGCAUGUUAUCGAUGCAUGAUUGAAAUCAAUAAUGGCACACAAUAAAACAACAUGAGUUGUAGAUAUUUUUUCAUGGAAAGAGAAUACCAAUGCAUUUAUAAGUUGUUUCAAGAACAUAAUGAGGCUAGCAUAAUAGAAAAGUUUUGUUGCAACCUAAUUUCUGAUAAAUUUUUGAAAACAAAAACUCAAAAAUAUGUUUUUGAUAUAUUUGCAUCGUUUGCGGCGUCUUUUCCAAAUAAUUUAAAAUAAAAAAAGAGAGAGAAAGAAGAAAAAAUACAUUGAAUUUUUUAGUGAUCUAAUUGCAAUUGCUGAAGGGAGAGAACCAAUUUAAAAAUUGAAAACCCUCUCACUAAGCAACCCAUCUUUUUUAAUCAAAUGAUCUACAAUCAAUUCUCUUAAUUCAAGGGUUUAUUUUUCUUUGCUUUGUCUCCAAGUUAGCAAAUGAAUAGUUGUGAUUUAUUCUUAAAAUCCAAUGGUUGCUCUUGGUUUCCUUUGCCUUCAAGCCAAAGAAGAUUUUUAUCUAUAAAUAAAUAGGUUACACACACACUUAUGAGAGGGAGAAAAUUUAAGAGAAACCAAAAAAAUAAAAAAUAAAUACUCACACAUACUCUCCCUCUACCCACACAACAAAAAAAACCCCUAGACCCCAUCUUUACACUAGGACCCACCAACAUAAAAAAGCAAAAGAAAACCAGCAACAUUUGGCAACCUCUCCUAAUUGUCUCCCUUCAUUAUCCAUAGCCAUCUCUUAUCACACUAGUCUUCCUUUCUUGGCAAAAAAAAAAAACCCCCAUCAUAGAGGUCUCCCUCUUUUUCUCUUUACCAGCAACCCCUUCCCCUUACAUGCCACCUAUUUUUCACCUUAGCUCACUAGCAACCCUUUUCCUUGGUUGAACCACCAUUCAACCGUCACCCACCAUUCCCAGACCCAUAAAAAAAUCCAAUCUGUGUGUUUUUCUCUCCGUGACAACCUCUGUUCUCACUCCUUAUCACUGCCAAUGACAACAACAACUUCCUCACCGCCUCUAACCACUACAACUUCACUAUCAUUUCCUCUUCCUCAUCGCUAGUUACCCUAUAUUUUCCACCCACCCUCUACCUCUCUGGGCCACGACUGAAAACCCCACCAUGAACCAAUCACUACCUCUCGGUCAUCAGAUCUAAAAAAAGAAAAUUAAAAUCAAAUGUUUACGUGGUUUUUCUUUGUUUUGCAGGUAAAGAUCAAGCUCACCGCCGGCCAAGGAAGAAAGAAAGAAAAAAAGUAUCAAAGUUUUGAAAGGCCAGAUCUCUCUCCGCCGAUGAGAGUGUGUAUUUAUAUUUUCUUAUAUGUUUUAGAAUGUUUAAAACUAAAAAGACAAAAAAAAAAUAUUUUUAAUUAUAAACGGUCAAGUCUCUCAAAAACAUAAACAGAAUCAUAUAGUCUAGUAUUUACAUAUGAAGAAUUCAAAAUACGUAUUUUGCAUGCAUUUUAGGAUUUAACAAACAAUUUACUAAACCCAUGAGAAUUUAACCAAUAUUUUAAUAGAUCCUUAUUUUUUUAAUUCAUUAGAAUUAAUGGUUAAAAAUCCUGGUAUAGAAUGCUGGACCUACAAGUGAGGCUGAUAUUUGAAAUAUCGGGAGUUGACCAGAAAAUUCUCAGAGUUAUUCUAAAUAUUCAUCAAUUUUAAUUUGGAGUAUUUUUCAUCAUAAUACAUAAAUUAUGAAGAACCUUUUUCUAAGAAUUUAUUUGGGCACGAGUCCAAAAUAAAUUCAUAAACACAAGAUUUAUUCAUACAAGUAAAUUUUAAUCCUAAACAACAGAUAAACCACCAAUCAGAAAACCACCAAACCUUUAAACCACAUCAAAUCACACAAAGUAGCUUAAUCUUAGGCAGGGUACUCUAGGGGUGCUGAUAGCUUCCCUGAUCACAACUAUUCCCUUACCCUCGAAUUUCUGAUAAGACCAAUACACCCGGGUUUCCUAAUGACCCUAAACUAAACAACUAGGUGGUGACUCUAAAUCACCCCCUGACGCCGCGUGUCCACGUGCGACAAGUUUAUCCAAACAUUGACCAUUUUUUCCUUAUCAUUAUACACUAAAAAAAAUAUAUGUUUCACUUGAGAAAUUUAUAAUCAUUGAAGAUGAUAGCCAAACCUCAGCUGCAAUGAUCCACCGUUAGACUUUUUCUUAAUAGUAUGGAGAACUAGACAUGUGAGCUUGUUCUUACUACUCAAAUAUAUGCAAAUAGACAAAAACAAUGUCACAAUUCACCAUAGUAAUCUUUGUAAAAACUUCUUGUUGUAAAUAUAAGAGCAAGUUAACAUGCAAGAUAAUAAGAUUUGGCAAUAGCGGGAAAAAAUAAAUUACAAUGAACUUUUAAAGUAGUAGUUUAAAAAAUAAAUGAAGAACAAAGGAGCGAGAGUGGGGGAUUGGACUGAGUUUUUCAGUUUUUCCUCAUAGAUGUAAAUGUGCGAGAACAAAAGGAAGAAGAAAUGAAGAAAUAGGGGAAGAAAAAAGGGAGGUCGGGAUUUGUAUCUCUAAAAAAAAUGACAUUGUUUUCUUAAUGGAAAAAAAUAUAUGCUGGGUCACCUGAGUUUCGGGUUGAUCGGCAAGUCACUCAAGUUUCGCCUUGCCAAUUGCAACUCUAGUUUUCACCUAUGUAAAACUAGCCAACGCUUUAAGUCAACUGGGUUCCGGAUCAACCUGCUGAGUGAGGCCAUGUUUUACAACUAUGAUACACACACACACACCAAUUUAUUGAUUGUGCUCUUGUUGUGGCUUGAACAAAAAAAAGCUUUUGGAAUGUAAAAAAUAAUAAUUUCUAGACCUUCAAUUUUUUUUUUCUAGCAUUGUCAUUAAACUCAAUACAACAAUUCAAACUUUAAGAAUCUCAACCCAACUUUUUACUUAGCUUGAGUCUUAAAUUAAAUCGUGUAGAAAUUGUUUUGACGUAACCUUGUCAGCCAGUCAAGUUCCAUAAAAAAACCAAAGACAAAAAAGAUUAGUUUCACCCUAGCCAUAAAGGAGGCCAAAGAGCAAUGUCAAAAGGAUGUGGGGGUGGUGUCAAAACUCAAAAGAUGGAUUUAGUGGAAUAAAUCAAUGAUUUAGAGUUAGAUAUGUUUCCUUUUAUAUUUUGAUUUUUUUUAGUCAUAAUCAGAUCUAAUAGAACUAAUAUGGUUUGAUUCGGUUUAAUCGGCUAAAUUUUUUUGAAAUCAAAAUCAAACUAAAUCGAUUGAUUUGUCUGAUUUUUUAAUCGAUUUAAUUAAUUUUUUCUAUCAAUUUAAUUUUUUCAGUUUAAUCACUCGACUAUAUUUUUUAUUUGAAGAGCCCUAAUCAAACCUUGUGCAUUUUGGAUGUUUAAUGGUAAUAAAUUUUGAGGAUAGGAUCGUGUAAGAAACUACCGUGGCUUUUAGGCUCAAUUACCUACGUCUAUGGCGGAAGGGAACCAAGGUCUGCUAACACUGGUUUCAAGCUUCAACUAGGAGUGCAGUAUUUUAGUCUUCCUCCUGAUGGCAUUUGUGAUCUCUUGCAUCAAGAGGCCCUUGGAUUGCUAUACCCAGAUUUUGUAUUUCUUCAAGUUACUUUUCUUUUGUGUUCAAACCGCCUUAUUUACCAAGAAAAAGAAAAUACUGUCCGGUCAAUCAAAUAUUUCACUUUCCAAGCCUGUUAUACUUUUUGGGCUUUCUGUGCAGCCCUUUUCUGAUUAGCGUUGUGGGAUGGUGGUGGGCUCGAGGCAUCUUCUCUUUAUUAAUGAUGUGGGGUAAAUUAUAGUAUUCAUUUUUGAAUUAUAACUUCUUACUUUGAAUCAUAGCAUCAAUGAAGGCUUUUUUUUUUUUUUUUUAAUAACAUAUGAUAAAAAUAAACUUCUUACAUUUGACAUAUUAGUAGUUUAAAUUGAGUGAUAAACUAGAUAAAGGGAUUAUAUUUGACUGCUUUUGCCAAGCAGAAAGGAUAAAAAUAAUGUAUAGGACCUAAUACAAGUAUUUUUCUUGUGUACACGUGCUUGAAAAAAUCAUUAGUAGCUAGACUUGGUAAUCGAAUUUUCCCAUGAACUCAAUUGAAAUUCCCUAAGCAAUCGGAUAUUGUAGUCCUGUAGACGCUGGAAGCAUCCGUUAGCUCUCUCUCUCUCUCUCUCUAUCUAUCCAUGCAUACGUACCAACAAAACAAAUAGCUGAAAGACAAGAAAACCAAGAACCUUAGCUUAUUCAUUUAGUGCUGUGUUUGAUAAAAUAUUGCAAUAUCUAUAUUCAUUACUUUCGUCAUGCUUGAGUGUGAAAGAGCUCACCAAUUAGUCGCUGUCCUCUAACGAAAGCAUACGCCAACUAAUCAUAACCAUAUAUUCAACCAAUUUUUUUCUUAAUAAUAAUCAGAGCCAUAUAUAUAUAUAUAUAUAUAUAUAUGUACUAAUAAUUGGAUUUAUGGUUCCUUGAGUGAUUUUCAAGUUUGGUCUACUUUUUGAGUGGACUUUCGUAAGGAUUUUGACAAUGGAGUCCUGUUAUUUCAUGUCUGUUUUGACAUGUUAUAAAUCAUAUAAAAGCACGCCGGUUGAAAUGUCAUAUUAAUAUAUGCUGAUGAGGGGUCACACAUCUAAAUGAUUUAUUUGGAUUUGAGUUCAUUAGUGUUAUAACAGACAUGUUUAUAACUCCUUCAAAGGUCCAAGUCAGAGGCUAGUUUUUUUCCCACUCUCUUUACCUAGCCACACGUUGAUUUUCAAUUAUUCGUGGAGUAGUAGCCUUUUUGGAUUUUGCUGAGUUUCCAUCUUCUCCGUGCUUUUUCAUGUCUCGAAUUCAACUAGGUUGUUUGCUUGUCCUCGUACCAUCAUUUCAAUGAUCAAUUGCAUCUUGAAUUCUUUGAAACUAAUGUGCAAUUAUGAAUAUCGGGGCUAAUAAUUGUUUAAUUUUCUAAAGAAUUAAGAGCUGCUAGCUAGCUAGCUAGCUGUGCCCCCGUUUUCUAAGUUGCUACAGGAAUUCAGAUUUAAAAUGCGACCAGAAAAAAGCUUGCAGAAUUACUCGUUGUUGUUGGAACCUUGUGGCUUACAGAGACCAGUCGAGUUAAGCACAUGAGAGCUUGUGUAUAACGUUAGGAGCUAGUAGGCUAUCCGCUUGUUCAUGUUCUUGGCUGAUAUGGGAAUUAAACCAUAGGAUAUAUCCAUCUUAUAUGGUUAGCCCGUCACCCAUUAUAGGGAAUUUGAAAUGAUGGAAGGUGUUCAUGUAUACAUAGUAACUCAUCGCCCAUGACAACGAGUUGAUAAGAUGGAUUUCGUUGACAUUUUUUGGGCAUCCAAUGCUUUGUAGUGAGAAAAAACUUACGUGGCGGAAAAAUAAAUAAACAAGUUUCUUCUUUUGAAAAGGGAAAAUGGCAGCUUUAAAACAUGGAGAUUUGGGAGGAGUAGUAGACCGAGGAAGCUUCGUAUGCCAAACUGUGUAUAUACAUGCAAAAUACAGUGUAUUUGCAGUCAAAUACGAAGGCUCACUUGACAAAAUUAAGGAAUUUCAAGCCUUAUAAAUGUACGUGGGGUCCUGUAAGGUUUGCAUAUGCUGUUGAAACAAGUCAUCAAUUUCCUGUUAUUUGUAUGUACCCACGUAUAUGGACCUAGAAAAGCAAGGAAUGUUGGCGUGAUAUAUGUGUUGUGGGGCCACUCUUGUCUUUUUCUUUCUUUCUUUGUUUUUUUUUUUUCCUAUCAAAUAUUCUAUGUCAUAUAAUGGGGCCAGCAGAAUAUUUUCUUUAUUUUAGAGGAGGCAAGUGAAAAUCCAAUGCGCCAAAUCCAUUGAAUUGAUUGCAAAAAUAAGAUCCAAUCCGGUAUUUUUCACUAAGAACUGAAAUAAUCCAAAACUUUUAGGUUGAGUUGGGUGAGCUUGUAAGUAACUCAUGAUUUUAAAACAUGAGUGGUUGGUGGUAGGAAAAAGAGAAAAAAAGAAAAAAAACGUUAAGUGAAGGGAAUAAAAUAGACGAAGAAAGAUAAAUUUACCUCUUUUUUUAUUGAAACAAAGGAAAAUUAAAGGAAUAGAAAUGGAGAAUUUUUACCUUUUAAGGAAAUGAGAAGAAGAGGAAUUAGAAAUAACAUUUUAAGUAGUGAAACUAGUCGAGGCUCCACAAUUGGAGAAUUGAAAAAAAUUAAUGGAAGUGUCAACGAAAACUAUUCUGCCUGUCUUUAUUUAUUGAUAGAAUUUGUGAUGGAAAAUCUUAGUCAAUAAUUUUCAUCAAAAAAUAUUUACUGAUUAAAUUUGAUAAAAAAAAAUCAAAGGAGAGUAAAAUUAUAAAAUAAAUUCAAUCUAAAAUAUGAUUUCAAAUAAAAACUUGUCAAAGAUAAAAAAUUAGCAAUCAAAGAAUAAUGAUUAAAUUUGAUAGGAAAAAAAACCAAAAAAGGGUGAAAUCAUAAAACAAAAUCAAUUUAAAAAAUGAUUCCAAACAAAAAAUAGCAUUAAAAAGAAUGAGGAUCAAAUUUAAAAGAUGAAAAAAAUUAAAAAAGAUGAAAUUAAAAAGACAUACCAAUUUUAUAAAUUAUUGAAGAUAAAAAAACCAUAAUAAAAGUCAAAGGGACCAAAUCUAAAGAAUCAAUAAAUUAAAGGUUUGCUUUCGAAUUCUUAAGAGGCUAGCAUGAAAAUCUAGGUUGGGAGAGAGAGAAGAAAGGAGAAAAUGGUCACUACUGUCAAACCAUUAUGAAUCUUGGAAUACGCGCCACCUCAUCGGGUCGAUGACGUCGAGAACUUUCAAACGCCACCCCGUAAGAUGACACUUGAUUAUUAAACGACCCUUUUCUGCAUCGCCUAAAUGGCACUAAAAUCGUCCACAAGUUGGCACGUGCUCAACAUGCGCUAACAAGUUUUUUUAAUUAUAUUUAAUAUAUCUAAUUUACUAUAAUGCCCAUGAAUACCCUUGGAAUUUACAAUAAAAACAAUAUAAAAUGAAAUAAAAAAAAACCAUUGAAUGAAAGUUUUGUUGGUUGUCUUCAAAAGUAUCAAAUUAAUUACACUAUUCUAAAAAUCUAAAAAUAGAAAAUGUCCUUGAGAAAUAAGCAUUAGAUUAUUUUAUUAUAUGGUUAAAUUAGUAAUUUAACUAUGAAAAACAAAUAACCAAUCUAACCUGUAUAAUUUGUAAAAAAAAAAAAAAAUUGUAUCAUGGCAGAAAGAUUAUCUUACUUUUAAUGCUUAGUUCAAAGUUUAAAUGAUUAAGGGACAAUUUAGUUAUUACACUUUAUCAUUAAUAUGUUUUUGUUUUGUGUGUUGAGGGGUAUAAUAACUUUCCUUCCACAUUUAAUUUUUUUAAAAAUAAAUUUGAUUAAUUUAUAUGAAUUCGAUGUUUAUGAGUAUAUUAAUGAUUGUUUUUUAAAGUGUUUUUUACUUGGAAAUACUUUAAACUGAUACAUAUAUAUAUAUAUAUAUAUAUAUAUAUUUUAAAGAUUUAAAAAAACUAAAAAAAAUUAAUUUAAAGUAAAAACAAUUAAAUUUUAAUAAAAAAAACAUAUUAAAACUUAAUACCAAACAACUCCUUUACAUAUAAAAGUACAUACGGGUUUUGGGGGCAAUGAAUUGAGAGGACAAAUCACCCUUUCAUAUCCAGACAAACCUCUGCAUCUUUUCAAUAUCCGAUCCUGUGCCGGUUGAUGAUUUUCAAGCAACUUGAAACUUCAUUCCAAAGGAAGCACUCGGACUAGACAAUACUACCAUCUUUUUUUGGUUGAUAAUUGGAAAAAAAAAAAAUGACUGUGGAAGGAAUUAAAAUUAUCAAAUUAGGGUCUGUUUGAUAUGUUUUUAAUUUGCAAAUUAAUUGAUUUUUUUUUUAACUUUGAUAAUCAUAAGACUGUGUUUUAACUUAAAUAAAAAAAACUUGAUGCAAUAUUUGGGUAAAAAUCUUGAUUUAAUCAAAGGAUAAAACUUGUAAUUUUAAACUAAUUAAUAGAUUCUUGAAAGCUAAAAGCACGUAAUUGAAAUAAAAGUAUUUCAUGCAAAGAAUUAUUGGGAGAGAUGGAGGGAGUGCUGUGAUCUCACAUCAAAGGAGAAUAUAUACAAAUGCAGAAGAAGCCAAACACAUUCGCCCUCUCACGACGGAUGGAAACUCGAAUCAAAAUCUUUACUGUAAAUCUUUUGCUCGAGGUGUCAAUCUACAGACUAGAAGUCCUUUUCUCAAAGAAAUAAAUCAAUAACUAAUGCUGGGAAAAUUAGAGAAAUUUAAUGGUACGAUUAGUACGUUUUGUCGACUUGCUAAUAUGUCAACUUAACUCCAUAUAUAUAUGGUCCAUUUUAUAAUUUAAUUGUGGGGAAGAACUUAAUUGCAAGAAAUAUAGUUUUUUUAAAACAUUUUUAAAUAAUUACUGAUAAAAUUAAAUACAGUAUUUUUCUAAGAGAAUUACUGAUAGAAUGAAAUAAGUAAUUUUUUUUUGCUCAUUUUUUUCAUCAGUAAAUCUAUCGGUAAUAAUAUUUUGUUAUUACAUACAGAUUUAUAGAUAAAUAAAAAAUUACCGAUAAAAUUUUUAUCAAUAAAAUAUUUUUAUUGAUGAUUUUAUUAAUAAAUUAAUUAUUAAUAAAAUGAUAGUACAAGACAGAAAAUUUUAUCAAUAAUUCUAUUGGUCGUGGUAAUGAAUUCUGUAAAGUUAAAGCAAGUAUAUAUACAGAGGAGGAUGUUUUGUCCAUAUGUUAAUGAUAUGGGAUGGUCUCAGACAAAUUAAUCCUCAAUAAGAUGGACGUAGACAUUGCUCUCAAAUCAAUAGGAUGGUGUGUCAUUAUUACUGCAUAUGCUUGCUGGGUUCAUGUUUUUUCAAUGUUCAAAGAGACAUGAGGAAUCUUUAAAUAGCAAAUAACAUUUAUAAUUGAAGUGCUGAUGACACUGACAAUCUUACAAUAUCUUCGAUAUUUCUAAAGUUGUUCUUAAAUUCAAUCAUAGUGCUAUCUACCACGCGGGAGCAUUUUGAGAAAACGUAUGAAGUUCCUUUCACUCUUCUCUUGUGACUUGAUGAAUAUAUAUAUAUAUAUAUAUCACACACAAUACUAAGUAAUUACUUAAUUCAAGAACAUAUAUGAAACGUUUUCGCUCUUUUAUUACAUUCAACCAGCCAUAUACCCGCAUCCUAUUUUUGUUAACUUUGCAAUAAUCCAAAUAAUAUUUUUAAAAAUCUAAAUGAUUUUAAUUAUAGAGAAAAAAAAUAUUUUCUUAGUUUAAAUUUAAUUUUCUAUAAAUGUAUUUCCUUUUGUAUUGUGACAAAAUAAGUAUUUCUUAUAAAUAACUUAAUUUUUCAAAUGAAAACCUAACAAAAUUAAAAUAAACAUACAUUCCUCAAAAAAAAAAAAACAUAUCCUUUUUUUUACUAGAAAUAUAAAAAAUAUUUCUAAUAAUUUUAAUUAGAGAAAAUUACUUUGAUACUCCUAUAAUUUAGUUAUUAUUUUUUUAUUUUUCCUUAAUUUUUUUAAAAUUAUAGUUUAUAUUUUAUAGUUUAUAAUUUGAUAAAACUUUACAUACGCAUAAAAAAUGAAAUUAUUUACAAGAUUGAUAUUAUAUUUCAAUUAAUGAUUAAAAAACCUUACAUCGUUAAAAUUUCAAAAUUACCAUAAAAAAAUAAUUUUCCCAAACUCUCUUCCCCACACCAUAUUGGAACCAACCUCAUCUCCAUCACCUUUCAAACCAUAACCACAAUCCAUCACCUAGAACACCAUAGUUACCAUCAUUCCAGUUGCCACCAUAACUUUUUUUUUCAUGAACAACCACGACAACAACUCUAACCACCUAUAAAUUAACAUAAAAUCACCAUAUUCCCUCUCUUUCACCUAAUCUAUUUUGUAACUAACCUCUCCAAACAUAACCUCAUAUCCUCCAUGUAUUUUGUUAGGAUCUAAUUGGCCAUCUAGUCCCUCGAAGAAGCAAGAAUAACAAGCUAGCAUCAGACCGACUCUGUAUUUAUCAAAACAUCAAUUAACCUUCCACUAAAUCUAAUAAUUUUUAUCUAAAGUAAAAUUUUACUCAUAUUAUAAGAUAUAAGAAUCCAAAUGAAAGAUUAACUUUCAUGGACAAAUUGUCUCCAUCUUUCCUAAAACUACCAUCAUUGUCAAACUACUCAAACCUCUCUUCCCAUCGAGUAAGCCAACCAGCAGUGAAAGCACAACCUCCACAACACAUUUCUCUCCACCAAUUCAUAGUCUCUAUCACGACCAUUUUCUCCACGCGUUAACUUGCUUUCGAUCCACCCAGAUAGAAACCCUCUAACUCAAAUAAAAGGCGAAAUCGAGUGUAAAAUCCAUAACCAUAUAUUUCCCCAAAACAAUUCCUACUUGAAAACACCACAAAACACCCCAUAAAUUUCAAGUCGCCGGCCACACAAGAAACUUUCCUCACCAACACAUUGUUUCUCUCAACAAGGAAAUUGAUUUUUGUAUAGAUCUUGGCUUCCUCUCAACUUUGGGUUUUCUGAUAUAAUAUAUACGAGAUUAUUUUAUUCAUUUUGACUGAUUAUGAUUUUUUAUUGAUCAAAGAUGUUUUCUAUUAUUUUCAAAACAAUGGAAGCAAAAUGUAAAAUAGAUUAAACUAUAGGAUGCUUAUGGUAACUUUUCCUUUUAAUUAAAAAAAAUUAUUACAAAAUUUUUAAAAAAACAAAACAAAAAAAUAUAUGACCAAGCAUGUAGGCCUUAAAAGCCAGACUUGCAAGUCUUGCAUUCAGACAAAAGCUUAGGUGGUUACACCUAACAAACCAGACAUGGCGUCUGUUUCAUUUUCUUCUUGUUUUUUUUUUUUAAAUGAGGUAAUGACAUAGAAUUUGCUUUAUGCUUUGACCAUUGUAGAUGGGUAGGAAAUCAGGAUCUAACAUAUUUGAACACUAAACGCUUAGUUUCCACCUACAAAAUCUUGAGACUGGGUGCUCGAUACUAAUUGAGAGCUCCCAACGGUUGAGAUACUAAGGUUUGCUUGCAACUUCUCGGCCUUAAUGUUGGAGAGUCCGUACACCUGAUUUUUAUUGGGUCUACCAAACGAUUCUACCUUCAUCUACAAAUCCGGAUUUAAAUCCGGGUGGGUUGAAGGAUCGUCCCCGUAUCUCUCUCUCAAGCAUCUAUUAUAUGUCUCCUGAAAAUUAAAAAAGAAAUCAUCAAAUUCAAUUCAAGAAAAUAAUAACUUAUGAAAAAAAUGGUUGAAGGAACAUACUGCAAAGUGUUGAGCGCAAUUGUCGACGAACUGUUGCACCCCUUUUUAACGGUCUUUACUCCGCACGUGUAUCUUUACAAAAAGCUCAAUUGGGCUCGACUCAUGUCCAAGAGACGUAGCUUGUAAGAAAAAAAGUUGCAAGUUAAAUACAUUUAUAAAUAACAACAAGUUAAUUAAAGAUAAAUGUCAUUAAAACUAAUCUUACCAUCCACUUUGCAUAUGUAAUGAAUGGAAUGGAGCCAACGAUGUGCAUGGUAACCGAACAAUGAAUUUUCCAGUUCUGGUUCUUCACAUCGGACUGUGAGCGUCGUAUGAACCGCUUGGACAUCACGUGCUAGAUAUAUUGUGUCCACUCGAAGCCAUUUCACCUCCAUCAUCAUGUCGUGGAACACAAUUGAUUUUCUUUCUCAAAUAAAACUUGAAAUAGUACGAGAUAAAUAUUGAGAUCUUCUAAAAAAUAUAGACCUCACAUAUCAAAGCCUUCAUAUGCAUCUUGCUCUUAACCUUUUUUUUAAAAAAAGAUUGAACAAGUACCUACAUGGAAUUAAAAAAAUAUUUUAAAUUAAAAAAAAACAAUGAAAAUACAUUAACAAUACAUUGCAUUUGUAAUAUCUAACCUCUUGAAUGAAUACAUCCAUCUAUACUGGAUUGGGUCUCCAACUUCUGCCUUAUACAAUAAAUGUAUGAGUAGAUGCUUCAUGUACCAACGAAAUGUUUAUGUCGGUAUAUACAGAUGAUUUUAGCAAGGGAAUUAAUUCGGUCGGUAAAUAUCACCAUAAAAUACUGAUAGAAAAAUUAUGUUGGUAAUGUUGUUGGUAUUUGUUGAAUUUCUAGUAAUGCGCAUCCAUUUUGUAGCUAACCUUCCCUGACAUAACCUCUUAUCCAUUUUGGAGCUAAAAAUUCCAUGUAUGCUGUUAGGAUCUAACUGGCCAUCUAGUCCCUCAAAGAAGUAAGAACAAUAAGCUAGCAUUAGAUUGACUCAGUAUUUAUCAAAACAUCAAUUAAACUUCCCCUUCAUCUAAUAAUUUUUAUCUAAAGUAAAAUUAAGCUUUAUGGAUAGACUGUCUCCAUCUUUUCUAAAAUCACCAUCAUCAGCAAACAACUCAAACCUCUCUCCUCGCCAACUAAACCAACCAGUUGUGAAAGCACAACCUCUAGAACACAUUUAUCUAUGCCAAUUUCAUAGCCUCUCUCACGACCCUUUUCUCCACACAUUUACUUGCUUCUGAUCCACCCAUAGCUCCAACUCAAAUAAAAGGCCAACUCCAUUGUAAAAUCCAUAGCCAUAGAUUUCCCAAAAAAACUUCCUACUUGAAAACACCACAAAAUAUCUCAUAAAUUUCUUGUUGCCAGCCACCUAAAAAACUUUCCUCACCAACACGUCGUUUCUCUCAACAAGGAAAUUGAUUUAUGUAUGGAUUUUGGCUUCCUCUCAACGAAUGAGAGUUUUUGUUUUAUUAAUUCUAAAUAGAGAGAAGAAGUCACAAGGUGAGGAGAGAGAAGUAUGAGGAUGUUUUCUAUUUUUUUCAAAAUAAUGAAGGCAAAAUGUAAAAUAGAUUAAACUAUAAGAUGCUCAAGGUAAUUUUUCCUUUUAAUUAAACAAAUCAUUACAAAAUUAAGAAAAACAAACAAUUUUUUUUUUGAAGACCAGGAGUGCAGACCUCAAAAGUAGACCCUCAAGUUUGGCAUUUAGAAAAAAGCUUGGUGCUUAGGCCUAACAAACUAGACCUAGGUCUCUAUUUUAUUUUCUUCUUGCUUAUUUUUUUUAAAAAAAAUUUAGGCGCCGACAUGGAAUUUGCUUUACACUUGGACCAAUAGAGGCGGGUAGAAAAUUAGGAUCCAACAUAUUUGGAUAUUAAAAACUCAAUUUUCCACCAUAAAAGACACAUGAGAAUCAUCAUAAAAAGCUCAAUAACCAAUAACAAACCCAAAAUUCCCUCUAAUAUGCCUAAAAACUCAAAAUCAAACAAAAAAAUUUCCAAGCUCAAAUCUUUUUUUUUUGGUGUAAGUGAAGGUGUAAAUCAUCACCAUUAAGUUUCUCUCUUGAAAACAAAUCCACAAAAUCCAAAAUCAAAGUUAAUAGUGGUCGUAAUCCCGCCACCCAAGAUCUUUUUCUCUCCUCAUUUUUUUUUCUAGUUAUUCUCUCUUUACUCGCUCAACUUUCAAUGACUGAAAUAUAUUGAAAAUAAAGUUUAGAACUAAAAUAUAAUAAUAACCUUAUGUGCUAUUUAUGAAAAAGGGCCUUGUGUCCCCUUUUAUGUCGAUCUUGAUCCUCAAUUUCUUAAUUUUAUUUUUAAAAAGAAGCCAAAUGUAUUUUAUAAAAUUAAUUGCAAAUUUAAUACGGAAAUGUUUAAUGACACACUAAUAAAAACGAGUGAAGAAAGAGCAAAACAAAUAAUUUGAGUUCAUAAAAUUACACAAACAUAGCUUUAAAUGAAAAUGAUGCAAUUGAAAACAAAAGGUGACAUGCAUGAUUGAACUGAAAAAAAAAACUAUAAAUUAGCUUCAAAGACCAAAAUGUAAAGAAGUGAGCAAAAAUGCUUGUGAGAGCAUGAACAGGAAACACAAAACAGUAAAAGAACAUAUUGUUUUGGUUUAUUUGAUAACAAACAAGAUCGCGGGCAUCAAUAUUGAUACAAAUUGCACGGAACUGGCAGUAAUUCGCCACAAAAUCUUCGUUAAUUGACGACUGUUUGUAGCACAAGAGAGCAAAGAAUAGAAAGGCUAAUGCCUGACGACGGAAAGCAUCCAAUAAUAAAUAAUAAAGGCACCCAGACCAUUCAAUGACGAGAUCGAAGACCCCAGUUUAGCAAGCAAAUCAAUCACCACAAGACUUUUCCUUUCUUGCUCAAGCCAUGUUUGAAAUUGAAUCAAACACGCCAAUCCCUAACAUGGCGUAUUCAGCAUUAUGGGCCAGAGAUCCCAGCCGAAUUCUGCAGAGCAAAAUGUCUGUAUCUGGGAAAAUGCAAUAAAGUAUAUACGGGGCAUCUUCUAUUUGUAUUAUGGAAGCUAGCCACAUUACAAACUCUUUGUUACAUGGAAAGAUCUCCAUCUUAUCGUCUAAGAUUUGGUUGCUUUCAAAGCAUAUAAAAUCUCUUUCUACCUAGAAGCAAAGCCUACAAUGAGUUUCUAAUUUAUCUAUCAUAAUAAAAUUGUAUUUUUCUCUUUUUUUUUAACAUCCAUCAACAAGAGCUCAUCCAUGUGCCAUGGAGUCACGUUUGAGGGCCAUGGCUAGCUAGGUGUGUACAAUUGCAAUCUGUCUUGUCCGUUUUCUUGCAUUAACUCUGCAGUCACUCACAUGCUUUCUGAAACAACAGUCUCGCUUUCCAUUAACCAUUCAAGUUGGUACGAGUAUAGAACAAGAGAAGGAGAUGAGUCGGGCUACUGAGAGAGAGAGAGAGAGAGGAUGUUUUGUUCUGUAUAUGCUUAGGGCAGUGGUGUGUUCGAAGGGCUAACGGCUCUUCAUCACUGCUUACCUGUUAGUUCUUGGUGGCUAGCUGGAUGAAGAAGUUGCGUCGUUCACGUCCAUGAAUUCCUAGGUAUCAAAAAGAUAAUUGAUGAGCAAACAGACAAAAGGGACGAAACUGCAUGGAACCUGCUGUUGUUCAAACUUAUUUGUGAAUAAGACCGCAACCGUCCCCCAGUCCUUUUUCUUGACCUUCUCGCCUUCCUCACGUAUAGUUGCUCUUGUCCUCCCCCUCCGUUUCUCUCUUUUAAGUUUCCUAAAAUGUCCCCGUGCUCUCACAAAUUAAUCAUAUCCUUCAUGGAUCGACUCCGAGCAUAGCCACAAGCUCUCUCUCGAUUAUUAUAAAAACGAGCUUAGCCUCCGCUCCCCUUAUCAAUCAAGCUAACGUACAGUCGCUUUCCUAUUGAUUAAAAUUUGGACAGGUGCUCAAAUAAUUCCAAAUUCCGUGAAAGAAGAAGAAAAUGAUUGAUAUGAAUAGCGAUGGUGUGUGUGUGUAUACUAAAAAAGCAAAAAAAAGAAAAAAAAAACGGUGAAUCAAAGCUCAAAUGAACUGAUCAAUUCUUAGAAAUGAUUGUUUACACAAUAAAUUAAAAAGAAAAACCGACUGGAGGAUCUAGUAAAUAAUAUUUAUCAAACUUAAAAGCAUAAAUACAGACUAUUCAAGCUAACGAAGUUUUCUACAACGCGGAACCUCACAGUUAGACAGCGCCGAAGAAAGACAUGACAGUGUGAUCAUUAAAGUGAAAACUUGGGUUUCCCAGCAUUUUGGCACAGCAUGCAUGAACAUAAAUGUGUUUUCUAUUCUAAAGUUUUGACAUGACAGGAGUGCCUUGCCUUCAUCCACACUCCUCAGUAUCAUCAAGGGAAAAAAACAGAUUAAAGUAUAGAAGCUAAAGAGAUAUAUAUCAAUUGUCUUCUUGUUUGCUGGUAAAUUAAUGGCAUAACAGUUGUUGCACAGUUACUUCUCACGGGGUGUUUUUGAGUAUAAUAUUAAUUAUAAUUUAAAAUAUUUUUUUAUUUAAAAAUAUAUUAAAAUAUUUUUUUUAUUUUUAAAAAAUUAUUUUUUAUAUCAGUACAUCAAAAUAAUCUAAAAAAUAUUAUAAAAAAAAUUUAAUUUUUAAAAAAUACAGUUUCAACCAUGUUUCCAGACAUCUCCUUUAUAUGUUAACAUGGUUUAGUGUACAUUUAUCGAUAGUUUUUAUGAAUAUAGUUUAAAAAUAUAGAUUUUUUUUUAAGUUGAAAAUUACUGUUUUUUUUUUUUUCAAUUAAGAUUUAAGAAAAAGUUUUUACUAUAAUAAAUAUUUUUAAAAUUAUAAUUGAAGUGAAAUAUAAUUUUAAUUACAUUACACCAUACUCUUAACAUGAUUUAAAAAAAAUAAUACGCCCCAACUUAAUUGUUUAUUUUAGAUAAAGAUACUCAUCUAUAUCCUAAAAAUUAACCACUCAAUCCAAAGCUUUUUUUUAAGUGUUAGAUAUUCUUAUCAUUUAUUUUCAUCGAUUGAGACUACAUCCCUUUCUAAUUAAAUUGAAUUUCUGCUAUAGUAGCGUUCUUUAUGGAGUUGAUAAAUAGUUUGUAUUUUCCUCCCGUUCGGGAGAAUUUCUCAAUGAGCUUGACUUUUUAUAUUAUAAAAAUCCCUUUCUAAUCAAAUACCAGACAGGACAUACACACUCGGGAAAGCGGGAUUAAAAGUUUGUAAAUAAUGAUGCUAGGCCCUCUCGUGUUUUUUAACAUGAUUUAUCAUAUUUUUUUAAUAUAAGUCUUCUAAAAUAAAUGAAUGUCUCUAAUUAGUUAUUAGCAGCUAAUAUUUACUUAAUUAAGUAUUAAACCUGAGACACUUUGUAUUAAUACUUAACUUUUAACUUUAAUAUAAAAAAUAUAGAAAAGAAAAAGGGAAUUAACAAAUCAUUAAAAAAAAAGAGCUAAGAUUCUAGUUCUCAAUAUAAAUUUUUUGCCACAUUAUUACUAAACGCUAAAAUUUUUUUACACAAGUUUCUAGAAUCAAGAGUAUCACGGGAUGAAUGUUUGUUGAGUUUCUUUAUACUAUAUUUUCAUUCCUAUCUAACCUUUUAUUUCUAGAAUCUCAUGACCCACAAUGCAUAAGAUAUUUCAAUUCAAAUGACGGUUUCAAUAAUCAUGUAUACGAAAAAAGAAGAAUUAAGCAAUGUGAUGGACUAUCAUUAUUUUUUUUUUGUCUUUCCCUGGAUUUCUUUUUAUGAACAAAUCAACAAAGUUUUAGAGUAUUAACCUAUCAUUUUUUUAUUCAACCAAGCAUUAAGCUCAGAUUUCUAUAGGUCCGAUGAACUAUCAAACUGAUCAUUUAUGAACCUACAAAGCACUGAGCUUGAACAUCUAUGAGUUUGACAGCUCGCUAGACCCAUAAUUUUUAGACUCAGCCAAGUGUUGUGCCCAUAAUUUUUACUCUAAUGAGACAUGUUUUUAUGUCAAGGAUAUUUUUUCUCUUUAACACAUAUCUCAAAGAUAUUUUCCAUCAACCUUAAUACAUAUGUCAAUGAUAUUUUCUUCCUUUAAUAUAUAUGUCAAAGAUAUUUUCUAUCAAUAUUAAUAUAUGUGUCAAGUAUAUCUUUCCUUUUUAAUACUACUAGGACAAUAUCAUGUUUUAGCUCCUUCUCUCCAUAAAGAGAUUUAUAGGCUAUAAAUAAACCAUGAAUCAUUUAACCAUGAGAUUUAGAACAUCUAUUCUCUAUUGCAUAUUUAUUUUCUCUAUAAGAUUAUUACAUUUUCUCUAAAAAAUCACUAACUUAAUCAAUGGAGAGUUUCAAAUUCAUCAAAUGAGAUCUUUUUAUAGGCACUAGUCACCAAUCACCCGUCACCUCAAGGGAAGAAUGAAUUAGAUUUCUAGAAUGAAGUGAUUAACCAAUUAUCCAAGACAUAAGCCUUGCCCUUAAGCUGCUUGGAUUUUUUAGGACAUCAUCAGUGAUGUCGUAUGUGGAAAACAUUAAAAACAACCAUAAAUUAUUCUUCCAGGGCUGUUUAUUGACAUCUCAAAUCAAUAUUGAAGGCAAAGAGCCAAGACCCUCUCGAAAAGCGACCCGUUAUGGACCUCAUUACAACCAUAAACAUAUUCGCUUCCCUAGAGCCUCAACAUUCUUAGAUAAGAAGCAAAAAAAUGUUACGUAACAAAUUCAUUGCCCAAAAUCAGGACAUGAUUUUUUGUUCUUGAUCAUGGACUUUAUAAAGACAAGCGAAUAUGGUCUAUGAGUUUGUUAACUUCACAGAUGCAGUUGGAGCCUCAAACUUUUGGAAAGUUUUCAAUAAGAAGAAUAUAAUGUUGGUUUAAAGUGUACAUCUAGAGAAGUCUAUAAGAAGAACACCUAUAAAAAAUUUACGGUAGAAACUCUAUUCUCUCUUCCUAGAAUUGAGACUAUAACCCCUAAAAAAAGUCUUAUUAAAGUUGAUUAUACCUCAAAGGGUGAUAGCAAUGUACUAUGGUUAAUGAUUAAGAAUAUAAGUUCCUUAUAUAUAAAUUAAAGGGUUUAAUGCAACAAUGUUUUUAAUUCCCCAGGUACUCUCCUCAACCUUCCAAUGAUAAUCAAAUUUACUCUUCCUAGUGCGAUAAUAUAUUUACUUUGAAAAGAAUCAACAUCUCCUUAGUGCUAUGAUACAUUUUACCUCAAAAAAAAAUUGAUUUGGUCUCCCUAGUGCAAUCAUACAUCUCUUCAAGAAUGGGAUAGACAUUACUUUAGCAACGGGGAUGAAUAUGGUCUUUCCAGGGCAACAACCCUUCAACCUUCCAAGGAUUGGAUGAAUUUACUCUUUCUAGUGCAAUGACUCAUUUACUUUUGAAACAAUCAAUGUCCCCCUAGUGUUACGAUACACUUUACCUUGAAAGAUAUUGAUUUGGUCUCCGUAUUGCAAUCACACAUCUUUCUUAAGAUGGGAUAGACAUUUUCUUAGCAACGGGGACAAACAUGAUCUUCCUAGAACAACAACCUUUUAACCUUCCAAGCGUUGCGCCCAUGAUUUUUACUUUGAUGAGACAUAUUUUUAUGCUAGGGAUAUUUUCUAUCUUUAGCACAUAUCUCAAGGAUAUUUCCCAUCAAUGUUAAUACAUAUGCUAUAGAUAUUUUUCCUUUUUAAUACAUAUGUUAGAGAUUUUUCUCAUCAGCAUUAAUACAUAUGCCAGAGAUAUUGUUUUUUCCUCUUUGAUACUAUCAUAGCAAUAUUAUGCUUUGGCCUCUUAUCUUCAUAAAUAGACUCAUGAGCUAUAAAUAAACCAUAAAUCCUUCAACUAUGAGGUUCAAAAUCUCUAUUCUCUUCCGCAUAUUUAUUUUCAAAGUAUCUCUAUAUAAGAUUAUUAUAUUUUUUUCUCAAAAAGUUACUAACUUAAUUAUUAUAAAAUCCUCAAAUUCACCAAAAUGAACCUUUUUACAAGUAUCAAGCUUCAGCCACCAGUCAUCUCGAGGAGAGAGUUGAUCAUAUUUUCAAAAUAAAGAGAUUAACUAAUUAUUUAAGAUAUAAACCUUGCUUCCAAGCUGCUUAAAUUUUUUAGGACAUCAUCACAAAGAUUUUAUUAUUAAGAAUUUAAAACACUACCAGAAAAUUGAUAAAUACAAACAGAAAUACUGAGGGAAUAUUUUUGUCGGUAACUUUUCGAUGCAUUUUACCGAUAGACAUAUACUUUCGGUAUAUACCGAGAGAAUUACAAUGUCAAAAAAAUUUAAACAAAGCAAAAACAAACGAUGACAUGUCAUUUUUUACCAACAAAAUUACCGACGAAAUAAAUUUCAUCGGUAAUUCCGUUGGUCAAAUGUUAACAUUGUUCAUCAUGUUAAUUACAAAUGGAAUCACCAAUAGAAAAUUUCAUCGGUACUCUCCAGAGAGCUCCGGAACUAUUCACUCCCCAAUUGCACCGUUAAUUUUUUUUUUUUAAAAGACAAAAUCACCAACGAAUUAAAAAGUCGUCGGUGUUAUUUGGCAAGUUUUUAAAAAAUUUUGAUUAAAUUGAAAAUUUAAAUUACAUAUUACAGACGGAUUGAAAAAUCGUCGGUGAUAUUUGACGGUUUCUGAAAAAAAAAUUAUUAAAUUAAAUAUUAACGACGGCAUCACCGACGAAUAUUUAAAAAUAUUAAUAUUUAAUUAUCCAUCGGUAAACACCUCAAUUAAAAAGCUGGAAUCCUUAAUUUCACAACAAACAAGGCUCCUUUCUUCUUCUUCUUGUUCUUCAUAUGUAAAAAACAUCAACAUCCAUUCCUUUCUUUUCUCUUCUCUUGUCUCCUUAACUCCUUUUCUUCUCCAUGCUCAAGUAUGUAUUUUUCUCCUUCUUUUUUUUUUUAAAUUAAUAUACUUUAUGCUUCUUUUUUUUCUCUUCUUAGCUUCACUUGCAACUACAUUAAGGUAAGAUUUUUUUUUCUUCUUUUUUCAUGUUUUUUUUCACUAUAUUUAUUUUUAUUUUGUUUUUAAUUUUUUUUGUUCUUAAUAAUUGUAUGAAUGUUGUUGUAGGAUUUGUUUUUCCAUAUGAGAUCAAUUUUUAGUUGAUUUAUUUAUAGGAUUUUUAAAUUUUUAGCAAUUGCAACUCUAUUUUUUUCAUAUGAAUUUUUUUAGUUGAAUUUAUUUUUUCUUGUUAUUUAUUUGUUGCCAAUUUGUUUGAGUUGAUUUGCUUUUUUUUUUUUCAAGUGUUUUGAGUAUAUAGAUUGUUGAUUUAUAUUAAUUUUGUUAUUUUAUAGUUUUGUAAAAUAUAUUUUUAAAUAAUUAUCGACAGAAUUACAUACGAACUUACUGAGAAAAAUACCAACAGAAUGAAGCGGAUAAUUUUUUUUUGCAUACUUUUUCCAUCGGUAAAAUAAUUUUUUUAUUACCAGCAGACUACCGACGGAUAAAAAAUUAUCAAUGAAGGAUUCACCGACGGAGCAUUUCCAUCAGUAAUUUUAUUAAUAAAUUAAUUAUUAACAGAAUAAUAGUGCAAAUACCAACAAAUAAUUUUAUCAGUAAUUAAAUAUAAAGAUUAUGGUAGUGAAAAUUUUAUAUUGUAUCGUUCUUUUAGAAUAUUUUUUCUUGACUAUUGUAUACAUUUUUGUGUCAUUUUCUAUGUUAAUUCUACUUCUCAUCUUAAAAGAAAAGAGUUACUGGUUUUUUUUUUCUUUUUUUGAGAAAUCUUGAAUUUAAUUUUCGAAAUAAUAAUGUAGAAAGUAAUUAAUCCACUAGCCAUCAAACCCAUAAGGAAAUAAUAUCAUUUGAUAUUUUUGAUGAAAACUCAGAAAGUAAUAUUUAUUAAUACAAUCGUAUUUAUGGCACUGAAAUUGUAUUUAUGUUCUCCAUAUAUAUAUAUAUAUAUAUAUGACGUUUUGGAAAAGGUUUACGAGGUAGGGGUAGAAACACUUUUUGACAUUUCACAUGGCGUCGUUGAAGAGACAUGCCAAAAACGUGUUGGGUAAUUACCAUUGCUGUUAACGCAAUCAAUUAUCCAGAGUUAAUGCUGACUUUUUAGCUUUAACUCAUUUACUAAUAAUUACUCAUCUGAUUAAGUGAAGGGUUAGAGGCAGAUAAUGGAGGAACAGAACACCACCCUAAGGGCAUUUUGGUACUUUAAUAAAAGGAUCUUGUUUCUCUCAAGUUCUAUCUCUACAGUCUACAGUUGUGUCCUUAUUUCUUAUACAUAUCCAUGCCCCCAAAGAAAGUCAUACGUGUAUUGCUCUCCCCUUACCAACCUAAACACCUCCUCCAGCUCCCUCUCUUCACCUCCUUUCAUGGCUAGUGAGCACCAAGAAAACUCAAAUGCUGCACAGUACUUGCAGUAUUUUACAGACGAAGACAGCAAAAGUGAAGAAGAUGAAGGUGAAGAUGAAGAAGAAGAAGAAGAAGAUGUGGAGGAGGAAAGUCCACAAGAUUGCAAAGGCAUGUUCUUGAAUCUGUGCGGUGGUGGUUCUAAAAGAAGAGGGUGGUCUCUAGGACAGGUGUUAGACCCUAGAGGCAAAUGGGUUCAGGAAUGGAAUAGGGUUUUUCUCCUCGUGUGUGCCACAGGACUUUUUGUGGACCCUCUCUUCUUCUACGUCCUCUCAAUAAGCGACACCUGCAUGUGCCUAUUCGUCGAUGGGUGGUUUGCCAUCACGGUCACAGCUCUCCGGUGCAUGACUGAUGUUCUGUACUUGUGGAACAUGUGGUUGCAGCUGAAAAUAGCCAAGAGACCACAUGGUGGUGGUGAAAAUGGUGGAGAUGGAGAAAGAGGAGGGUCCCGAGUUGCCGGCCCUUGCUCCUCGGCUCUGAGGUACUUGAAGGCUAAGAAAGGAUUUUUCUUUGAUCUCUUCGUUAUUCUGCCUCUACCCCAGGUAAGAUUUUCAGCAAAUGACAACAGUAAUUAACAUUAAUUACCAUUCAAGUAACCAUCACCAGCAUAUUGAAUCUGUUAUGUCAUGACAACUCGUAUAUGACAGUGUUAUACACUAGCUGUUAAGUACAUUUUUUGUAUGCUAGUGUUUGAGAAGGUGACAAAUGCAAAUCCAUGCUAGUAGUUGUUUUUAGCCAUGGUUUCUUUUGAUAUGCAGGUUAACUCUCUCUCUGUAUAGGGUAGUGUAACCAUGUGAUCUAGCCAUGUCGUUUUUUCAAUUUAGAAAAGAAAAAAAAGGAUAAAAAUGGGUAAUGGAAAACAAACACAACGGUCUGUUGAUCAAUUUGAUGCUUGGUUUUUGGAAGGAACUCUAUGGUUUUCACUUUCCUAAUUAGGCUUGUUGGGAAGUUGACUUCGUGCCAUAUUAUAUAAUACAAUCAAAAGAACUUUUUCCAGGUUUUUAUAUAUGUUUACACACCUCACUAACUAUAUAAUAUAUAAUGAUUUAUAGAUAAUGUUUGUUAUUGUAAUGCAAAUGCUUUUUAAAAGUUUUUUUUUUAAACAAUAAUUUAAUGUUUUAUCAAGUGAAAUAUACUUUUUAAAAAUCUCGAAAAACAGAAAUUACUGUAUUUUCAAGCACUCAAUAAAUCCCAUAGAUAUAAUUAACCUGAACUAUAAAUAAUGAUUCUAUAAUUUAAUUUUAGAUUUCCGAAACAUACACUGAAUUGAUAUAAAUGGAAUGUUUCACUUUCAUAAAUCACUUAAUUUAAAAUUCAAUACUACAGAUUACAGAAAUUUACACUUUCAUUUUAAUAAAUUACCUGCUGAUUUUCCAUGAGAAAGUGACAUGGAAGCUAAUUUCAACGGAGUCUUCAAUGCUAUUUUGCCAUUCAAUAGUAGUUGAGGUCAGCUAUAUUCCUUAAUCUGGACUAGCAUACAAGAAAUAGAAAAUAAAAAUAAAAAUCUGGACUAAACUCUUACAAAUUAUGCGCAUAUGAUGAAGCAUUCCAUGAGUGCACUCAUGAUCUAGUACUAUUUCUAGAUUCCUGAAUUAAACUAGUUCUCUGUGUGAUUGGAAGUGUAGACGACGAUAUUUUCAUAAACCAAAUUCAAGGCUAAAAGGUGUCCAGGCCCCCACAUUAAUUAUCAAUCAGCUAUAAAUAUUCCCUAUAGGACGUAAAGAGUAGGUGCAGAUGCUGCCUGAAUAAAUCCGGUUCUGAAAUUGAGUCUCGACUUAGCUUUUCAUCAUCCAAGUUUCCAUUGAUUUCUUCCUAUACACGUGUCUGUCACAUGUCUUGCCGCAAAUGAUAUUUCUGAUGAGAACAUAAGUUCAGUCAGUAGAAAUAUUCGAUUUUAAUUCAAUAGCUUAGCUAACUUUUAGCUAAAGCUCUAAUGGCGGGUGAAGGUGAAAUAUAUAGUUAAAUAGAUGAGAUUAAGGAGGUCUGAAAAGGAAAAACGAGAGCGCUGUUGUUUUUCAUGUCCAAGCAGUCGUUAUCAAAUUACAUGUUUCUAGGAGACAGGGGUUCGCAGCUGUUUGGAAGGCAAGUGGUAGACAGAAAAUUGUGGGUACAAAUAAAGUUACUUUCAAAUGGGAACUUUAGAAAGAAAAUUUUUUUAAGAAAAGGUUGAGAUUUGAAGAUUUCUUUUUAAAAAAAAAAAAUCAACUAAAAUCUGCUAAGCAGAGAAAAAUUACUUAUAAUUAAUUGUGCAGUAAGAAACUAAAGAAGUUUAAUCUGGACAAGAAUAUUUGCUUACUUUUCAAUAUGUCAGUAGUUGCUGCAAGGAUAUCUAUAUAUUAGCUUACAAGUCAUAUCAAAAUAAUUCUAUACUUGCUAGUUUUGAUGACUCACAUGUUGGAUGUUCUUGCAAGACAUAGGUUAUCUCUAGGCCCUUCUAGCUCAAUGUAAUUGAUCCUAGAGGUGCUUUCGACAAAAAUAAAAACUGCUUUUACAAAUUCAUUUUUUAUCUUGGCAUUUCACAAAUAUAUAUAUAUAUAGUAGCAUUUAUGUUAACUUUAGUGGUGGUUAUGGUAUAUUUUCACUGAUAUUGACUCCAGCAUAUAUAUUUAAGCAGAAUAUUAAUUGAAUUUGACAGAAUUACUGUUCAGAGUCAUUGUCGAUCGUAAGAAAGAGAUACAUAUAUCAGUUAAAGUAGAUAAAAAUAUCCCAUAAAUUAAAUAAAUAGUGCUGAACAUAUACAAGAAAAGCAAAUAUUGCUUGAAAUGCCAUUGCAUGUAUCUAUAGAUGACGGCCCUCUUAUACGCUAAGUGAAAGUGACAAAGAGAAUGAAAGUGUCCAUGAUUUGCUGAAGUUGACACACACAGGAUCAUAUAUGCUUGCUUUCCUCACUGCAGAUUGUAUUGUGGGUGGGAAUUCCAUCUCUGCUGCAAAAAGGAUCAGUAACGCUACUGAUGAACGUGUUUCUGAUCAUUUUCCUCUUCCAAUAUCUCCCAAAAAUACACUAUUCCGUCUGCCUCCUUCGACGCAUGCAAAGUAUCUCUGGCUAUAUAUUUGGAACUGUUUGGUGGGGAAUCGCUCUCAACAUGAUUGCUUACUUUGUUGCAUCACAUGUAAGUUUCCCUUAUCUAUAUAUCUCCUAUAUCUUUUUAAUAUAGCUGUUUUAAGCCUUCCUUUUUGUAUGUUCUUGAGUUUUGUGUCCUUAAAGUGAGAUAUCACCCUCGCAUGCUUUUGGCCACGCAAAAUGGAUAUAUACAUAGACGCUAAGGGAAAUUCACAUAAUCUUUUUUUGGUGAAAAAAUUUACAUUUGAAAUUUUAGAUAAUCGUAUGCAUGUGAAGAGGAAGACAAAAAUGGGUUAUAUAUAUAGUUGUGUAUUUUAAGUUAAUAAAUAUAUUUUUUCCAUAUUAAUUCAUGAAUGUUCCACUUGUAGCUUAAAAUGUUUCGAUGUUAACUCUAUAGUUUUUAAUUUUGUACUUUCCCAAUAUAAUACUAAUAAAAAAAAGCUUGGUACGUUUUUUUUUUAAUUUUAAUUUUAAUUUCUCCUCUUUUUCUUCUCAAAUUAAUCCUUAUAAACAUUAUAAUACCUCACACACUUAAACACUUUAAAUAACUUAAGAAAACCAAAUUAAGAACAGAAGGUUGUUUAACAACUACGUAUGGUAGCAUUGGGAUUUUUAGAAAAACAGGAGAGUAAUAUGGAGAAUUCCUAAUUAAAGGAACAAAGAUCUAAGUAUGUGCUUAAUAUUUAAAAAAAAAUUAGAAUUUUUUUUAUUUUUAAUAUCAGUGUAUCAAAUAAUUAAAAAAUAUUAAAAAAUAUAUCAAUUUAAUAUUAUUUUUUUAAGUAAAAUACAUUAAAAAUACGUACCAUUUUUCACGUUUUGAACUUCUUUAUUGACUGUGAAAACAAUUUUAUCAACUGCGAUACUCAGAGCAGUAAAAAGUCCUAAAAGGGAUUCUCAAAAGAAGUAAUUUAUCAGCUUCGAUUUGUUAUCUUUUGAACUUUUAAUUAUUUAGGCCCUGCUGGAUUCUAGUGCCAUGGAAGUAGUGAAACUAGUCACGAAGCAAAGAUUCUCCAUUGAAUAAACAAAUAUAAUUUCUUAUAUAAAGAAGCCUUUUAAUCAUAUAAAGAUGAAAAGUAAAAGAGCACGAUAAUUGAUCUCUUUGACAGAUAUCGAUCCAAAUUAUUUUGUGAGUUUUUUUAUAUAAUUAUUAAUAAAUAAAGUAUAAAUAUAGUUAAAUCCCACUUCAAAUUUCUUGAUUCGAAUCUAAACCAAUACAUAUAGCAUAAAUUGUCGUUUAAUACAAACAUAAUUUAAUUAUAUAUUAUUUUAUUUCAUAUUAAAUAAUAAAUAAUAUUUAAAAACCAAUAAUUAGGGUUUGGAUAUAAUAAAAACCCAAUCCACCGGUAACCACUGUCAUCCUUACUCUUUCCCAACUGUAAACCGUAAAGUUACUCUUUUCCAACUGUAAACCAUAAAGUAUUGGAUCAAGGAGACAAUGCAUGAUUUUACAUAUUAAUUUAUUAGGAGGACUGAAUUUUCCCUUCUUAAAAUAUUCAAACGAACGUGUGCAGGCAGCAGGGGCAUGUUGGUACUUACUGGGAAUUCAAAGGGCUGCAAAAUGCUUGAAAGAACAGUGCAUGGAAACAUCGGGUUGUGGCCUGGGAUUGUUGUCUUGCAAAGAGCCUAUUUACUAUGGAACAACAAGAAAAGUGAUGGAGAAGGCGAGAUGGGCAUGGGCGGAUAACAAGCAAGCAAGAUCCAUGUGCUUAGACAGCCCUGAUAAAUAUGAUUAUGGUGCAUAUAAAUGGACCGUUCAGCUGGUGACCAAUGACAGCAGAUUAGAGAAGAUACUCUUCCCUAUCUUCUGGGGCCUGAUGACUCUCAGGUAAUUUGAUCGACGGUGAUCCUCAACACGGACGCUCUGUCCGGCGGUACACCGUACACUAAACAAAACUCACGAGAAAGAAAUUCAAGAUUAACCAUCGAUCAUCGAUAGAUACUCUUCUUCUUAUUUUUCUGACAACCAUGUGUUUUCAUCACAGCACUUUUGGGAACCUGGAGAGCACAACUGAGUGGUUAGAGGUUGUUUUCAACAUCAUUGUUCUAACGAGUGGGCUGCUCUUGGUCACCAUGUUGAUUGGGAAUAUCAAGGUGAUCUCGUUUUAUUCAACUUUAUUAUUUCUCAAUGCUUCGUAGAUAGGUGACAGUGGCAGGUGCUACCCCUUGAUUAAUGGAAUAGAUUCCGUAUUUACUGUGCUUGACAAUGGCCACUCGUGGAGGGCAUUUCACCCUCACACCGUUCAAUUCUUUCAAGGAAUCCGUUUUUGGGAUAGUCCAGCAUGCAUUAUCCAGCAAAAUUAUAGAGCUAUAAAGGGGGCCCACCAAGUGUUCCCUGUUUUUCAAACCAGCACCCAUUCUUCGUCUUCUUCUUCUAAUUUAAUUCCCUUUACAGAACUUCAUUUUCAUUUGUGUUAAUCAUCGAGAGAAAGAAGAUUAUGUUUACACCAUUGUUUGUGCAUGAAGGUGUUCUUGCAUGCGACCACAUCAAAGAAGCAAGCAAUGCAAUUGAAGAUGAGGAAUAUAGAGUGGUGGAUGAGGAAAAGGCACUUGCCUACGGGGUUCCGGCAGCGAGUGCGCCACUACGAGCGGCAACGGUGGGCGGCGAUGAGGGGUGUUGAUGAAUGUGAGAUGAUCCGGAACCUCCCUGAGGGCCUUAGGAGGGACAUCAAGUACCAUCUUUGCCUGGAUUUGGUGAGACAGGUAAAUGCCAGAGUACCCAGCUAUUUUCUUUUUAAUCUUUAUUUUUUUUCCCUGUGGGUCUCAUGGGGUCCGAUACAGUUAAGAAAAACAAAAUUGUGGUUUUUAUUAUUAUUAUGAUUAUAUUGACUGUAUCUUCUUCCUAUUAUACAAUGGGCUUCUAGUCCACGCACAUUUUAAAAAGAAAAAGACUGCUGAGCUUCCAUUUAUUGGCCUGUGAUUCAAGACCAACCACCGCAUUCGUUUUCAGUCCAAUCAGAUCUGGGCUUUGCAAAUUCUCUGUUCUCAAAUUAUAAUUUUCGAGGGUUUGUUUCAAAAAUCCGUUUCAGGUACCACUGUUCCAACACAUGGAUGAUUUGGUCCUCGAGAACAUUUGUGACCGUGUGAAGUCUCUCAUCUUCACAAAGGGAGAAACAGUAAGUUCCUCUUAUGAUCCAAAGCAGAAAUUUAUUGUACGGGAAACGUUGCCAAGAGCGGGCAGAGUUGCUCACGCGUGAGUAAUAAAAUCAUUUUCUUGAACAUUCCUAAUUGCUAGAUGAAUUUCUUGUAGAUUACAAGGGAGGGAGACCCCGUCCAAAGAAUGUUAUUUGUAGUAAGGGGACAUCUCCAAAGUAGCCAAGUUCUCAGAGACGGUGUCAAAAGUUGUUGCAUGCUAGGGCCUGGGAAUUUCAGUGGUGAUGAGCUCUUAUCAUGGUGCCUGAGAAGACCUUUUAUCGAACGCUUGCCACCGUCUUCAUCGACGUUGGUGACUCUUGAAACCACCGAGGCUUUUGGCCUGGAAGCUGAAGACGUGAAAUACGUGACGCAACACUUCAGGUACACAUUCGUUAAGGAGAGAGUUAAGAGAAGCGCAAGGUAUUAUUCACCUGGAUGGAGAACUUGGGCUGCUGUGGCUAUUCAGCUGGCUUGGAGAAGGUAUAAGCAUCGGCUAACGCUUACCUCAUUGUCAUUUAUAAGGCCUAGAAGACCUUUGUCAAGGUGUUCUUCUUUGGGAGAGGAUAGGCUUCGGCUUUACACGGCUCUCUUAACUUCACCGAAGCCGAAUCAGGAUGAUUUUGACUUUUGAAAAUGAUCAAGUGCUGUAUAAUAUGGUACAUUUCGUUGUUGAAAGGCAGUUGCAUUAUAUUAUUUGGCUACUUUCUUAGUAGCUAUAAGGCCCCCGUUACUUCAAAAAAAAGAGAGAGAAUACCUGGCAGCAUGUGACCUACCAUCUCAUAAACGGAGGCCAAGUAUACCUUCGAUGCGCCAUAAGAUGGAUAUUCGUGGCGAAAAAACAUCCAUAGAAGAGAAAUAUCUUAAAAUAAAAUCAAAACUCAAAUUCAAGUGGAAUAGGAAUACAAUUAAAGGUACUUUUCAAUUAAAAUAUAUGUUUUCUUUUCUUAAAUAACCUUUUUAAAGCUUUCUCAAUAAACAGGUAUUUGAUAUUUAAUGAAUAGAAACAAGUUCCAUUUAUCUUUUUUUUUAAUAAGAUAAUCGCUCUUAUUUCAUUGAUUAGAAUAUUUUAUAAAUUCUUCACAAACUUAUAUAAAUGUUCCCUUUCAUUCUGAGUUUUUUACCUUUUAAAAAAAAUUUCUUAAAAAAAAAAACUACCAUAUAUGUCCCAUCAAUUGAUGUUGUUGUAACCUAUUUUUGGGUACCCACACAAAAAAUAAUAAAAUCAAAAAAAUAAAAAAAAAUAUUAUAAAAAAAAUAUAAUAGUGAAAAAAAAGAAGAUGACAGAGCGCCCUAAAAGUGCUAAAAAUUGAUUGAGGAUGUUCAAAAAUAUAAAAAUUAAAAUUUAACGGUAUAUCAUUGACUGAUGAGAGCCAUGUUGACAAAGAAAAUUAAAUUUGAAGAAGAAAAGUCCAAAAUCAGAAGUUUAUGGACUCAAUUAAAUUUUAUUGGAGGUUUAAUUGAAUUUAUAGAGGUUUUAAUUGCAAGAAAAUUUGAUUUUGGAGUUAAUUUGGGCUUUAAUUGGAAGAAAUUCAAGUUCUGGGGUCAAAUUAUAAUUUUUGGAAGUUAAUUUGGUCAAAUCAGGAGCUUAAUUGCAUAAAUAUUGAAGUUUAAUGGCCAAUUAGGGACUUAAUUGAAGAAAUCUGAGACCAAGGACUAAAUUGCAAAACACAAGCAAAUUGAAGGCCUGAUUUUGAAUGACGCGUUUUGGCGUCAAUUCCCAAUUAAAUGAAACAGUGCGUUUUGGGUAAAACGGCGUCGUUUCAUGCACUGUUUACAAAAAAAAAAAAAUAGGACCGAAACAGUGUCGUUUUAAACGACACCCAUGUCUUCUUCUUCCCCUGGACGCGCAAAGCAGGGGAAGAAGAAGAAGAUCUUUUUCCUCUCUUCCACUGCCAGCUCUCUCUCAAAAAGACGCCGACAACCCACUUGCUUGCCACGUGGUGGACGAAUGGAAGGGACGUACCACUUAGGCGGUUCGGGGCGGCAGCACAGUGAUCACCCCAGCCACAUCUCCCUCCCCUGUUUUUGCCUAUAAAAAUAGGGGAAGGGGAAGAAAAAAAGCAGACCGAGAGAGGGAGAAAGAGAGAGAAGGGAAGACUGAAUUAGAGAACAUACCGAGAGAGAGAGAGAGAGAGAGAGAGAAGAGAGAACAAAAAAUAGAAUAGAGAAGAGGGAGAAGAGGAGAAGAAAAUGAAAGAAAAAGAAACAGAGCAUAUCGUAGAGAAGGGAAGAAGGAGGACCGCCGCUGGAACUACCGUUCAACCGAAGGCCACCGCUGGACGAUUGAGGAGUCUCUAGGUAAACCAUCCGUCCUUUUAUCUUGGAAUUCACUUCUUCCCUCGCCAUGCAAGACAUGCACAGUGCACGUUUGCAAGCGAGGAGAAGCUGGUUACUGUGCUCAUGCACAAUAACCAGCUAAUGUGUGCUAGGCUCAUGUAUUUGGCCCAUUUCAAAAAAAAAAAUAUUACACUUGUUUCUGAAUUUUUACAAUUUUUCCGUGUAGUUUUUUAUGUCAUUUUGCUUAAUAUCGGUAUGUAUUUUAUGUCAUUAAAAAUACAAAAUCCGGUAUUAAAAUACCCGGUUUUCGUCAAAACUUCCAAAAAUACAAAAAAAAUUGAAAAAAGAGAAAAAAUGUUUCUGUGCAUCUGGCCAAGUGUCUCAAAGCUAAAAAAUCAUAUUGUAUUUUUCAUACACCAAAAAACAGUGUUUUAGCAUGUAUUUUAUUUUGUUUGAUUUUAGUAUCAGGGAUUAUGAAUUUAUACGUAAAACAUAUUCCCGAUAUUAAAAAGAUAUUUGCUUUUGACGACUUAGAAUAGUUAGGUUUUUACCCGAUAAGAUAAGGAUCUCCUUACAGAGGAGGACUUUUCUUAAACCGUAAACUGACCGAUAAUUAGAAACCACAACAAGACUUUAGAUUUUAUCAGAUAAAACAAUGCAACUUACCUUAUAUAGGGCGUAGUUGGGGUGUUAUUACCUUCCCUUUAUGCAACCAGUCUCCGUACCCGAUCUCUGAGACCAGUUAGGGUUCCUAAUGACCAGAAUACUAGAUGACGACUCCCAGUCUACAUUUUACUGAUAAGAGACAAGAAUUUCUUGUCUCUACACAUUUGCCAGGAAUAAACCAUAUUCAAUUUUUUUUUAGGGUGGACGAUCACCGCGAUGCCGCACACGUGCGACAAAUGUAUAUACUUUUUUUUCUUCUAUGUUUUUUAUGAUCAACUCAUCACAUGAAGAAGAAAAGGAAGAAGAAGAGUUCUUCCAUCUUCAUUUAAAAUAAAUUCUUCUAUAUAGAUAUAUUUUAAUUUAUCCUUUAAGAAUUAUAUAAUGCCUCAAUUUCAUUUAAAAAUUUUAGUUUAUUUUAAUCAAUCCUCAUAAGAUUCAUAAUUUCUAUAAGAUCAAUCUUUGUAAAACAAGAAAAACUAAUUGACUUUUUUCCAUCAAUUUUUUUCUAAAAUAAAAUAAUUGAUGUUGGUACUAUUAAAUAAGAAUAAAAGAUGUGAAAGAACCAUUAAAAUAUGUUCGUUGUAAUUAUAAGGAGCCAUCGACUAUAAAACAUUUUGAACAUUCAGCAAUUCAAGAAUAUGGUGAAAAUAAAAAUUCUUGAAUUCUAAAAAAGAAACUGCAACUUUAAUAGUUUAUAAUUUUUUCAAGCAUUUUAUCAAAUAAUUGGUGAGCAACUUGAAUCUAUAGCUUGCCAAUAUAUCUUUACAAACUCCAAAGCUAAUCUGCAAUGGUUCAGAUUAUAACCAAAAUAUUUUGUAACAUGAAAUCAUGGAUGAAGAAUCUGAAGUUUCAGCUGCCAUGCUCUCACCAAUAAUAGUUUAUCACUAUCAUUAUCACAACUCCACAACUGAAGAACUUUAAGACAGCGAAAAAUAAAAAUCUUAUAGAAAAACUGAAUUUCAUUCAUAUUGUUUUUUUUGUUAUAUGGCAAGGAAAGAUUCUUGCACAUAAUUUCUCCAAAUAAUCUCGCUAAGAUUACAUAUUAAUAAUAAGAGAGCAUAAUCAUAUCUAAACUAGGUACCGAAUAAAUUACAUUAGGCAAUAACAUAAUGCUAGAAUAUCUAUAGAAUCAUAUUCAUCAAUAGCUACAUCUGUAGAAUUAUUUUGUCAUCAACAGUUGCAGUAUCUUCAAUACUCCCCCUUAAGCUAGAUCGAGCGGAUUGGUAGAUCCAAGCUUGCUUAACAACCGGUGAAUUUGAGUAGAUGGCAGAGCUUUUGUGAGCACAUCAGCUAAUUGAUCAUGAGAACGUAUAUACUGAGGUUGGAUGAGUUUGGCUUCAACUUGUUGAUGUAUGUAAUGACAAUCAACUUCGAUGCACUUUGUGCGUUCAUGAAAUACCGGAUUGAACACAAUAUGCAUAACAGCUUGAUUGUCACAAAACAAUUUCAUAAGAGUAACGUUAUGAAAUCUAAAAUCAGCAAGAAGUUGUUUGAGCCAUAUCAGUUCGCAAGUAACAGAGUCCAUAACAUGAUACUCUGCUUCAACACUUGAUCGAGCUACGAUGAAAUGUUUCUUGCUUCUUCAGGACACCAAAUUGCCACCUACAAACAUACAUUAGCUGGUGGUAGAUCGACAAUCGAGAGAAUUUCAUGCUUAGUCAAAAUCAGCGUAUCACAUGAUAUGAUUAUGACCAUUACGAUUCAUAGCUAUACAACGACCAAUGGUGCCUUUCAGAUAUCGUAAGAUAUAUUUAACCAUACCAAGAUGUUGAACUGUUGUAGCAUGCAUAUAGCCACUCACAAAACUGAUAGCAAAUGUAAUAUCUGAUCAGGUGAUUGUUAAGUAAAUUAGUUUGCCAACAAUCUUCUGAUAGUAAGUGUAAGAAACAAGAGGUUUACUGGAAAAGUCCAACAUUAAUUUGUUGUCUAAAGGGUUUAUAACAGGCUUAGUGUACAAUAGAUCAACAUCCUACAAUAGAUCAACGAUGUACUUACGUUGAUUGAGAAAGAAUCCUUUACGGGAGGCUGUCAUUUCAAUGCCUAAGAAAUACUUCAAGAGGCCAGGAUCUUUAAUAAAAAAAUUAUUGCUGGAGAGAUCUUUUAAGUUGAGUUAUGGAAUCAUCAUUACUCACUGUUAUAAUGAGAUCAUCUACAUAUAUUAGCACGACUAGUUUAUGAGCAGAACCAAGUUGAAUGAACAAAGAGGAGUCUGCAAUACUUCUUGUAAAACUGAGACCUUCAAGAUUAAUACUUAAUUUAGCAUGCCAAGCAUGAGAACUUUGCUCUAGGCCAUAAAUAGAUUUGUGAAACUUGCAAACCAACAUAGAGUUUCCACUUUGAGGAUAUCCAGAAGGAAGUUUCAAGAAUACUUCUUCUUCAAGGUCACCAUGUAAAAAUGCAUUACUAACAUCCAUUUAGCAGAGAUACCACCCCUGGUUGAUGGCAACAGAAAGAAGAACUCUAACAGUAGUCAUAUUAGCCACAUGAGCAAAUGUCUCUUUGUAAUCAACACCAAACUUUUGAGUAAAACUUUGUGCAACUAGAUGAGUUUUGUGCCGAUCAACUUUCCUAUCGGAUGUAAACUGUCUUGAAUAUUCAACGACAUCCGACAACUUCCUUGCCAGUAGAUAGCGAUACUAUACUAUUAUACUUCAUGUGUGAGUUUUAGUAAGAGCCUUUAAUUCUUCAUUCAUGGCUUGCUGUCAUACUGUCUGUAAUUGAGCUUUCUUGAAGUUCUUUGGUUCAUGAACAUUUGAUAUAAAGGUAAGGAAUGCACUAUAUAUUAGAGACAGUUGAUGAUAAUACAUAAAUCUAGAAAUAGGAUGCCUCACAUUAUAGGUGAGAUAAUCUUACAUUCGAGAUAGCGAUUGACAUGUUCAAAAAGAAACUCUUCUAGUAGCUGGUAGAACAUCAAAAGAACUAGAUAGUUCUGAUUCACUAAUACAGUCAAGUCUAGGAUUGUUGGAAUCAGAGACAAACUGAAGUUUAUUAUUUUGGUCAGUUUGUGGUUGAUGUUUUCGCAGAACAUCAUUGCUAUAAAUGGAUGCAAUGGAGGACUAAGUUUGUUAGUCUGGAUUGAGAAGAAUACAAUCAGUACUGGGAAUAGUAGACAGAAGUUGAUUAGUAUUCUCGAUACUAGGCAAAGGAAAAAAAUCAGACAAGAACUCCCCCUGUUUUCCUACAAGAAAAUAUGGUGUGUUUUCAAGAAAUGUAACAUCUCUGGACACAUAUAACUUCUUCAACAACAUGUCAUAGCAUUUGUAUUCUUUUUAGGAUGUGGAGUAGCCCAAAAAAAUAGAUUUGCCUUCUUUAGGAUCUAAUUUGUCACGGUGUGUAGCUAAAAAUGCAUCCAAACACUUUAAUGUGAGAUACAUUUUGAAUUUUAUCUUGCAAAACUUCAAGAGGAGAUUUAAAUUCCAACACUCGACUAGGUAAGUGAUUUACAAGAUAAACAGCCGUAAGGACUCUAUAUGAUUAAAAAUCUUUUGGAACAUUCAUUUGAAGCAUAAUAACACGAGUUUUUUCAAGCAGAUCAUGAUUUUUGCAUUCAGAUAUUCCAUUUUAUUGAGGUGUGCCAAUAUAGCUAGUCUGAUACAGAAUUCUAUUAGAAUGUACAUAUUUUGACAUGUCUUUGGAUAUAUAUUUGGUGUCAUUAUGAUGCAACCAUAUUAUUCGAUAGUUUCACCCAUAUUUAAUUAGUGUUUUACAUAUAUUUUAUAUAUAAAAUGCCUUGAUAUUCUUUGUUUUAUGUUUUGAAGGCACUUUUGGAUGAAAGAUGCAAAAAGGAGUAAAUUAGAGGUAAUUGGCAUAUUUGACCUCCAGUCGAUGUUUUGUGCAGAGCGUGAGCUCUAAAGCUCGAAAUGAAGUGAUUCUAGUGGGAUUAAAAAGCUAACAUCCAUACCUUUCUGGACAUCUAAGGCAAGACAAUAAAAUAAGGAAGAGCAUGGAAAUCGCAGCUUUCAAAUUCAAAUCUCGCAAUCUGCCAGUGUUGACCUUCGGUCAUUCCGACUUGAAUAUCUGGAGCUACAGAAGUCCAAUUGAUGCAAACUCAAUUUUUUUGGAUUCCUGACUCAAAUUCCUAGAAACGCUCCAAAUUUUAGAAAAAAAAAAUAUUUCAUAUAAGGGAGAUAUGAUUUUUCAAAGAUGACAACUAAAUUCUGCCAGCAAACAGGUUUCGUGAAGAAACGAGUCCAAAUUACGUUCCGAAGCAUUUAAACCGAUAUCUAAGUUUUUAUUUCAGCAAUUUAGCUUCUCUAAGUCAAAGCUUAAAGAUUUCCUGCAAGACUAUUUCUUCUUUUUUAGGAAAAUAGUUAUUGAAGUAAUUAAAUGUAAACAGUCUACUUAAGAGAGGACUGUUUUGUAAAAUAGAGACUAGGGUUUCAUAGGAUAUAAAAAGAAUGAGAUUAGAGUAGGGGGGCAGCCAUCCAACAAGAGAAAAAUGCCCCCCCUACUCUAAGAAACCCUAAAUCAUGCAUUCUUCCUUGUUUUUGAUUAGUUGUUCAACAAACAUGCAAGGCUAAACUUGUUUUCUUGGUUGCAAGGACAUGGAAACCUUCGGAUUUCAAGAACUGUGAGAUUUAUUUUAUCUUUUCUUUUCAGUUUAUAUAAUGAAUAUGUUUGUUCUCCUAUGCUUAUUUUUCUUAUGAUUGUUUAUUUUAAUUGCUAGAGCGGACUCUAAGUUAUUAUUGUAGACAAUUUAUUGCUAAGUUUGAUAUCAAAACCGAAGUUGUGGUAUAUGAACUUGUGAAGUAACUGAGUUUAAUAAUUAUAGCGGAUCUACGUUAUUAAUCUUAGGGAGAAUAUUCAAUCAAAUCAAACAUAGACUGCGGACAGUUAUGUUUUCUUGAUUAAUCAACUUAUCUAGUUCUUAAGGCUGUCAUUGAAUUAAAUUACUAGUGCGGACACUGUGGUUGUUUAAUGGUUAGGGUUAGUUAUACGGCGGAUCCGUUAACUAACCAAUGUUAAGAACAGAUAAAUAUUCAGAAUAUAAAUUGAUGUUUUGUUUCCAUGAUCAGUUCUGAUUUCUAUAUGUGGAUAUGUGCUUGCGACCGAGGUUUGUUCUCUUGAUAAUUUUUUGAUUUUAUUAAAUUUCAUUUGAUAGUUUUUUUGUUUUAGCCUAGAUAACAUCCAAACCCCCCCCCCAAAUUGCAUAUCAUCUAGCAUAAAAAUCUGACUUGAAUCUUCCUCGUGGGAUUGACCCCUUGCUUGCUCUAUAUUAUCUUGUGUGUUGUGUUUAAAGCUAGGGUGACCGCGACAUCGCAACACAUUAUCAGAUCAAAAAAUUUUAUAUGAGCAGAAAAUUGAUUAAGGAUUAACAAAUAAAAAUCCUUAAAACAAUUGAAUACGUCAUGUUUAGUUUUCAGCAGGUACACCUAAUAACUUUAAAGAAAUCAUCGAUGAAUCAAUGGAAGUAUAAAAAGGAACCCAUACAUUUAAAUGAACAAGUUCAAAGGCAUAGGUGGUUUUCAACACCAAAGAAGUAAAAGGAAGUCUUAUAUAUUUCAAAAAAUGACAAAUAUCAUAAUUUAGAGGUUAAUGUGUUUGAACCAAUUUUAUUUUAGGGUGCGUUAGACGAUGAUGCCAUAAGAGCUUCUCAUGUGAAGGGUUAGUUGUUGUUUGAAAACCUCUGAAGAUUUAAGAUUUAUGAGAGAUAUAAUAAAGACCAUGUAGAAAAAAUCCUUCACCAAUCUUUUUAUUGGUGACAAAAUCUUGAAACACAACCUUGGAGAGGGUAAAAAUCACUUCACAGUUUAGAGUAGAUGUAAUUUUACUAACAAAAAGCAAUUGAAAUGGAAAAUAUGGUAAGAAAAAAAACAUUUGACUCUUUCUUAUUGGAGAGUAGGUUGAUCUUUCCCUUCCUUUUAACAUAAGCAUUUUUCCCAUUAGCAAAAGACAUAAAAGUGGGACAGAUCAACAAAUGACUUAAGAUCGUGAAUGCUAUUUAAUUUAUUUGACAUGUAACUAAUGGCACCAUAAUUAAUUAUCCAAAGAUUAUGUAAAUUUAUAAGUUCUAACACAGUCAUGAAAGCAAUCAGUUUACCUUGGCUAUUUUUCAGGUCAGUCUCCGCUAAAAAAAUCAGCAAAAUGACUAAGGAGGGCAGCUUAUUGCUUCUGGUCUUGAAUGGUUGGUUGAUCAUGUGACUUUUCUUGGCUUUGUUUGUCUCGCAAAUAAUUUGCAAAAUCAAAUAUCAAAGUUGCCGGGUUGGCAGAAAAAAUCUCGGUGGAACUGGAAUUAUUAUGUGCAAGGCAUGACUUAUGAUUAUUUGCACGUCCAGGUUGUCUUCUCAAAUCCUUUUGCAAAUUUAGGCUUGAUUUUGGGAUGCAAAAGCCAAUAGCAAUCCAUAUGAUGACCAAGAUUGUGAUAGUAUUGGCACUUCAAAUCAGUUUGUUUCCCUUUGUAAGAUUUAUUAUCAUAUAGUGAUUUGUAUUGACCAUGAUUAGUGGUUCAGAAUUCAUAUCUUGCAGCAACAACUUGGUAUGAUAUGCACGAGUAUUAGAUACUCCAACUUCACGAGUCUUUACCUUUCUGCGUAUUUCUUCACGUUGAAUAGUAGCAUAAAAUGACAGAGUAUGGCCAAAUAUACUAAUUGCCUCUUCAAACUCGAGUUACAAUUCAAUGCCUAAAUCUUCCUGCUUUCAGCUUGCAUUAGAUUACUGUGAUUAUGAUUAUGAUUAUAACUAUAAAAUAAAUUUAUUUUAUAAUUAGCACCUAUUACACUACAAGAUUUCACAGUUUUACCGACGGACAUAUUCCGUCGGUGUGUGACAGAACGUUCGUCGGUAAAUUAUUUACCGACUAUAUUACCGACGGAAUACUCCCGUCGGAAUACCUUUUGUCGGUGAUUCCACAUUCCGUCGCUAUAUCCGUCGGUAAUAAAAAAAACACAUUUACCGACGGUUUUACCGACGGCCUGUGCGCGCCAAAAAAAAAAAGUUUCCCGCUUGGAAUAUACCGACGGAAUACAUUCCGUCGGUGUUAUGUAAAUACCGACGGACUAACUCCGUCGGCAAAAGUGUCGGUGAUAUUUCAUACCGACCGAAUAAAUCCGUCUGUAAAUUCGUCGGUAUUUGUAUACCGACGGAUUAUUUCCGUCGGUGAGUAUGUCGGUGAUGGGAUGGCAUACCUCAGACACUGUCCAAUGCCGACGGAUUUAUUCCGUCGGUAAAUCCCUGUGUAAUUUUUUUUUUAAUUAUUUAGAAAAAAAUAUAAUUAAUAGUAAUACAAACCAAUUAUGCAAAUAAAAUUUAUAUUAAGCAACAAAAACUCAAAGUUAAAUAAUAUUCAUUACAAAAUGAAUGUGUUUAAAAAAAAACAAUUAAUAUAAAGGUGGAGGAGGAGGAGGAGGAGGAGGGUGGGGGUUAGGCGGCCAAAAAGGAUUAGGCGCACAUGUUCCGCCUUGUGUCAUGUUCAUGACCAUUUGACGAAGCUCUUCAUAGGCCGCUCUUUGUUGUUCAGACUCUGCUCUGCGUUGUUCGUCCGCCAAUCUGUGUUGUUCGUUCGCCAAUCUUUGCUCUUCUUUGAGUUGUGUGUACGCCUCUGAUAGGUGGUCGCACCUUUGCUGCAAGGCCACAAACUCCUUAGAUUGGGAGCUCGAUACAGAUUGGGAGCUCCCACCGGUUGAAGCAGUACCGGUCGACCGCAACUUGGCAGCGGUAGUGUUGGAGAGCCCGUAAACCCGAUUUUUAUCGGGUCCACCUGACGAUCCAGCCUCCAUCCACAAAUCCGGAUCGAAUUCCGGAUGGGUCGAAGGAUCAUCCCCGUAUCUCUCCCUCAACCGAUUAUUAUAGGUCUCCUGAAAAAAAAAAUCAUAUUCAAUUCAAUAAACAUAAUAAUAACUUACAAAAUAAAAUGGUUAAACAAACACACCACAAACUGUUGAGCACGGUUGUCAACGAACUGUUGCGUCCCCUUUUGGCGGUCAUGACUCCGCACGUGCGUCUCCACAAACAGCUCCAUAGGGCUCGGCUCACGUCCAAGAGACGUAGCCUAUAUAUAAUGAAAAAAAUGUAUUAACAACAAAUUAAUUGAACGAUAUAUUUCAUUUAAAUUAAUCUUACCAUCCGUUUCGCAUGUGCAGCAAACGGAACGGAGCCGCCGGUGUGCGUUGUAACCGAGCCAUGAAUUUGCCGAUUCCGGUUGCCGGCACCGGACUGUGAGCGUCGAGUGAACCGCUCAGACGUCACGUGCUGAAGAUAGUGCGGCCAUAUAUCUUCCGGGAUGUAUAUUGGUUUGAAAUCCCUCCAAACCGCAACAUCGUUCCAGCCUUGUAACCCCUUAUCCCUCGCUGUUUUUUUUGCUUUUUUCUGGGCGUCAUACCAAAAAUCACGCAACCUAAUUCACGCACGAAAAAAUUACAUUUCAAAACAUAAAUAAUUAUGUAAAAAAAAGUCGUAUUGUUUUCGAUGUUACCUAAUUGCCGCGUGAUUUUCCCACACCCUCCUCACAACACUGUCAUGUUCAUCGUCCCAGCAGAAUCGAUGCUGUAUAUAAAAAAAUAAUUUUUUAAAAUGUUAAUAAUUUAUUUACAAUUAUAACAUGAAUUUAUAAUUAGAAAUAAGCUGAAAAUUAUAUAUUAACACGAACCUCAAAUCUACGAAACCAUGCAUUGAUUUGAGGCAUCCAUUCAGGAUGUCUGGAUAUCUGACUCCAUUGAAACAAUGGAAUCUCCAUCGACGCUUUAAACGCCGAUGAUAUUAAUCGGGCGGCCUCAAUGUUUGUGAACCUGAAAAGAAAUGAAAUUAAUUUGUGAUUACUUCAUAAAUUAUGUUUUAAAUUUGUUUUUUUUAUAUAAAAAAAACUAAAACAUUAACAAACUUACAUUGAAAGAUCGUCCUUCCACUGUGCCUCGAACUGGCGGGUAAAUUGAUUCCGCUUCGAAGGCAUGCCGCGUCUGCGAUGUGAAACAUCGCUGGAAGAGGCAGCAUCGGUUGACGGCGCAGGUGGUGUAGGUGCCUCUUCUUGAGAGGCACCUAAGGAAACAUCAUCAUCGCUGCUAGACGAACUUGAUUCGACUGGACGACCAGCUCUGGUUUUCAUUUUGCGCAUCUAAACAAUUUUAUAUUAAUAAUUGUAAAAUAAAAUUCAAAAGUUAAAAAAAAAUCGGCAGCACCUCCCCUAUACUGGAUACUACCCAAAUCCACAAACCUGCAAAUAUUAACAAUAGCCACAACCAAUCGAACCAAUCUAUACUAAUUAUUCCAACAUAUUCAACUAUUAAUCCUAAGAUAAAUUCAACGUUAACAAUUACAAUUCACAAAUUAAUCAAUAAUUAUAUUCAAAACAAUAAAAAAUAUAACAAAAAAUAAAUUCAAUAAAUUCAACAAAUUAUACUUCAACAAAUUAACAAUUACAAUUCAACAAAUUCAAAAAAUUCAAAAAAAUUCAAAAAUUCAACUUUAACUAAUUCUAAGUUAAAUUAACUAAUAACAAUUCUAACACAACAACAAAAAAUAUUCAAUAAAUUCAACAAUUAAAUUCAAUUAUUCAACAAUUAAAUUAACAAAUAUUCAACAAAUUCAAAAAAUAUUCAAAAAAUUCAACUUUAACUAAUUCUAAGUUAAAUUAACUAAUAACAAUUCUAACAACACAACAACAAAAAAUAUUCAAUAAAUCCAACAAUUAAAUUCAAUUAUUCAACAAUUAAAUUAACAAAUAUUCAACAAAUUCAAAAAAUAUUCAAAAAAAAAGGAACGAAAUAUACAUACCUUAAUAAUGUGUCAAAUUCAAAACUUUAUCUACAUUGCAACAAAAAACACCAACACAACAAAAAUAAAAACAACUAAAAAUAAAAUAAAAUAAAAUAAAAUAAAUUAGAAAAAAAACACAUACCUUUUAAUAUAAUGAAGAUUUACAACACCAAAUCUUGCUAGAGAUUAAAGGGGAAAAUGUUUAAGGAUUGAGGGGGGAAAAAAUGAAAAAUCUAGGCUGAAAAACGCAGGAGAAGAGAAGAAGCGGCGGGAGAAGAAGAAAAAAUGAGGCGAAGCGGCGGGGUGGAACUUAUAGGUCAAUUUUACCGACGGACCCCGAUGGAAUUAACAUCCGUCGGUAACAGGUCAAAAUCCGUCGGUAAAGGUCAAAAUUCCGUCGGUAUUUUUCGAAUUUCGCCCCGAAUUUUUAAAAGCCCUCCAAAAUUUUCGCAGUCUGUCGGUAAUCUGACAAGUUCAGGGCGCAUUAAUUAACGCACUUUGGGAAACGCGCGGUCCGUCGGUAAUUCUAUCGAUAAAAGGGUAACCCGACAAAUUACCGACGGACCUACGCCGUCGGUAAUACCGUCGAUGGUGGUGUUAUGUUUUCGAGCUUACUGUGAGAUGCCGACGGAUGUUAUUCCGUCGGCAUGGCCGUCGGUGAUUGUGGCAUUUUGUUGUAAAUAUUUUCGAACUCUCUGUGAGAUACCGACGGAUGGUUGAUCCGUCGGCAUGGCCGUCGGUGAUUGUGGCAUUUUGUUGUAAAUAUUUUCGAACUCUCUGUGAGAUACCGACGGAUGGUGAUCCGUCGGUAUGGACGUCGGUAAGUUUGCAUUAUGCAGGAAAGGUUGUCUUUGUAUUGCCUGUUUACCUUCCUGCAAACUUAACUGAUAAACUGUCCAUCACAUAAAACAAUAACCACAUUGCUUAAACAGUAAAUAUUUUGUUUUACAAAAUACAUCAUCAAUAAUCUAAAUUACAUGAGACAAAUGUUUUUACAUAGGGCUUCAUUUUCAUAAUUAGUCGGAAUUUUCUUCUUCUUCCUCAUCAAUUGAAUUGUCAUCAUCUUCAUCGCAAUCUUCAAUAUGGAUAUCAUCUUCUUCAUCGACAUUUGUUGUCCGCUAGAGCUGAGAACAACAUUCAACUCCUCUCCGUCAAUAUCAACAAGACUAUCAUCGAGAACUCGAAAAUUUGAAUUUUCUUCCAAUUCAAUCGAAGGAGCAACUCGAUAUGGUUCAACCAACUCACGAACUUGAAAGACUUCAUCUCGCACACUUGUGUCUUCGUUCUCAUCCUGAACAACCUCGACACGACCCCGUGGUUUCGUUUUUAAAACGGACAACCAAUCAACUCUUGAACGAUCCUUUCUAAAUGAAGGGGUGUAUGUGUAAUAAACUUGUUGACAUUGCUUUGCGAAAACAAAGACAUCGUUUAUGUUGCGGAGUCUAGCUUUUGAGUUGAUUUCGACCAGACCAUGGUGCGGAUCAACUCUGAUUCCUCUGUCCGUCGUGUCAUACCAAUAGCAUUUGAAUAAAAACACUUUAUUCUGCUCGCUAUGAUAUUGCAGUUCGACGACCUCUUCUAAUCUACCAUAGUAGUCAACUUCUAACUGGCUACUUGUGGAUCCCUUAACACAAACACCGCAGUUGUAUGUCUUUCUUCCUUGCCCGUAUUCUUCAGUAUGGAAAACAUAUCCAUUGACAAAAUACCCGUUGUAGCACUUAACUUUUCUUUCAGGGCCGAGGCUUAGUGAAGACAAUGACUUGGGCGCACUCCUUCCCAUUUGAUAAACCUUGUAAAUAUAUGUAAUUAAAUGUACAUCAAUACACGGUAAAUGAACGAGAAUCUCGUAAUGACAUGCAUACGUUAGAAUGAGUUUGUGAUAGUGCUUACAUGUGUUCUGAACCAUGUGGCAAAUUGUUCAUCUUGUAAUUGAAAGAUCUGGGAUUCGGUCAGCUGCGAGUUAUUGGAGAGCAAAUAUUGUCGAUGUUGCCUGCAAGUGAUAAUGAGUGUAUGAUAUUACAAUAUAUAAUUAACAGUAUAUUACUGACAAAGUUUAAUUACUAUUACACAUAUAUAGACUUACUGAAUAAAUGGUCUCAGCUCAUCACAGUUAAAUAGAACAUAGUUGUGUGCUUGUUUGAAUUCUAUUUCCGACAAAUAUCUUCCUCUUACGGCAUUUUUAGGUGUGGGUCGUCCAGUAUUGGAGAAUAUUGACAAGUUCCCACUGGAAGGCACUUCACCGCCAUCGUCAUGCCGUGGAACGCGAUUGAUUCUUGUUCUCAGAUGAGGUUCGAAAUAGUACGAGAUAAAUGUUGAUAUCUCUUCAACAAUAUAGGCCUCAGAUAUCGAAGCCUCAACAUGCGCCUUGUUCUUAACCUUUUUUUUUAGAUUAAACAAGUACCUGCAUUGAAGUACAAUUCAAGUAUUUUCAAAUAAGAAAAACAUAGAAAAUACUUUAAGAUAUGAAUUCCAUUGCAACUGUAAUAUCUCACCGUUCGAAUGGGUACAUCCAUCUAUACUGGACCGGUCCUCCAGCUUUUGCCUCGAACGGUAGAUGUAUAGGGAGAUGCUCCAUUGAGUCAAAAAAUGAAGGAGGGAAUAUCAUCUCAAGUUUGCAUAGUGUCUCGAUGAUAUUCGUUUGAAGCAUCUCAAUGUGCUCAACAUUCAUCUUGCUGGAGCAUAUAUCUCUGAAGAAAUGACUGAUCUCCGUUAGUGCAUCCCAUAUUCCCUUUGGCAACAAAUCACGAAAAGCUAAUGGGAUGAGUGUUUGCAUAAACACGUGGCAGUCAUGGCUCUUCAUUCCAUACAAUCUGCAGUCCUCUAUGUUAACAAGCCUUGAUAUGUUCGAUGCAUGUCCAUCCGGGAAACGCAGACUCUUAAGCCAUUUGUAGACUAGCAGUUGUGCGUUUUUCUCUAACACGAAGCUUGCCCUUGGUUUUGCAACCCGUGACUCGUCAUAAACCAACUCCAUAUUUUUACGGUUACAGUAUAAAGCUAUAUCCAAUCUAGCCUUCAUGUUGUCCUUUGUCUUCCCCUUCACAUCCAUGACGGUGUUGAAAAUAUUCUCAAACACGUUCUUUUCGAUGUGCAUGACGUCAAGGUUAUGGCGGAGAAGAUUAGUCUUCCAAUACGGAAGCUCCCAAAAGAUACUUCGCUUUACCCAAUUAUGGGUCAAACCAAAACCAGGAAACUUUUGCUUACCUGAUUGAAGGCCAAACACAAUGUCACCGUACUCUGAUACAACAUGAUGCAAUUCUUCACCAGAAAGACGCGGGGAUGCAACAUCUUUUUCAACUCUACCAACAAAGAAAUCUUUUCUGUUCUUUCUGAACCUGUGAUUAAGUGGCAAGAAGCGACGGUGACAGAAAAAAAGAAAGCUUUACCUCCGUUUGCUAGCGUGAAUGCCUUGUUGUUUUCCAUGCAGUAUGGACAUGCGAGUUUCCCAUGCGUGCUCCAACCAGAAAGCAUUCCAUAAGCUGGAAAAUCACUGAUAGUCCACAUCAAAGCCGCCCUCAUAAGGAAAUUUUGUUUCCUAGAUAUAUCAUAAGUCAGAGAUCCGGAGGACCACAACUGCGCCAGCUCAUCUAUCAACGGUCGAAGACAAACAUCUAUAUUCCGCCCCGGGCUGCUUGGACCGGGUAUGACAGUAGAUAGAAACAUGAACUCCGGCCUCAUACACAUUCCCGGUGGCAAGUUAUAAACUGUGAGAAUGACCGGCCAACAAGAAUAGGGAGCAGCAAAUGACCCAAAUGGGUUGAACCCGUCUGUACACAACCCAAGUCGAACAUUCCUUGAUUCAGCAGAAAAGUCAGGAUGAACACUGUUAAAGCGUUUCCACGCUUCGCCGUCAGAAGGAUGCACCAUCACACCAUCAACGACAUCGUGUGUUUGGUGCCAUGUCAUGUGCUCAGCAGUCCUUGGUGACAUAAAUAACCUCUGCAGUCUAGGUGUGAUCGGGAAAUAUCUAAGUUUUUUAUAUGCCACUAGAGUCUUCCCCCUGCCAGUUCUGGGUUUGUAACGGGAAUGCCCGCAUGUCAUGCACUCGGUCAUCACAGCAUUUUCAAGGUAGUAUAACAUGCAGAAGUUAGGGCACAUGUCAAUUUUCUGGUAUCCUAAACCGAGGGGUUUCAUCAUGGACUUCGCAGCAUAGAAGUUCUCUUUGAGCCUGUUCCCUUCUGGUAAAAUGCUUCUUGCCCAAUCAAUAAUUUUGUCAUACCCGGCCUCACUCAACCCGUGAUCUGACUUGAUGGUGAACACCUGUGCCACAGCCGAUAAUUUACUGUGGUUUGUGCAGCCAUCCCAUAAUGGUUCGUCAGAAUCUUUCAACAAAUCAAAAAACCUAGCUGCCUCUGCAUUAGGUUCUUCUUCUACGAUUGGACAUUGAUUGACAUUAUCUUGAUUCAUUCUCAUUGCAUCCAUAACCAUGUUUCUGUAAGGAUUAGUGUUGUCAUUUGCCGCUUCAUGCACGUUGCUAGCACUAGAAGUUGACCCAACCACCGUUUCUCCCAUUCUCCUAUUACUAACAAAUACCUCUCCAUGUGCAUACCAACACUCGUAAUCCUCCACAAACCCUUUGUGUAGAAGAUGCAUCAUUACAACAUCUGGAUGCAGAUACUUUUUAUUUUGACACUUCCUGCAUGGACACCUAAUACCGCCUCCAGUAAAAUUUCUGGGAAUAGAUGUUGCGAAAUUAAUAAAACCCUGAACCCCGUUACAAUAAUCCAUCCUCCGCAAUCCUUGGGGUGAAUCUAGAUACAUCCAUGAACGAUCAUCCAUGACUUCUAUCGAACCUCUAUAAAAAGGACCCAUUAAUUAAGCAAGCUCUUAAUUAUUUCAAAACAACAUGUAAUUCGGUAAUUCUACAAAUUAAAUUUUUAACAAUUUUCAAACAAAUACAAUCUUACAAAAUCUAAAACAAACCAUAACAAGUAUAAAAUUAUACAUUCAUAUACUACAAGUUUGUUUGAGAAAUAACAAUAAAACAUGUACAUCUACUAAAAAAAAUACAUAUACUAAAAAAACAAUAAAAUUAACAUUUAAAUGUUAAAAUUUUAAAAGAUAGAAUUACUUACAAAAAAUGAUAAAAUCCGUCGGUAAAUCAGAACACGGAUGCUGUGACCACAAAACAAAUACAACUUGUUGUGCUGAGAUGAGAAGAUUUUUGUUUUGGGGCGAGGGGGGGCUGGUUAUUUUGCAGAUGGGGAGGGUUAGGAUUAGGAAGAAGAAGGAGAAAUGGGGGAGAGAGUGUCGGCAGAGGGCCAUAUAUUCACUUUUGCCGACGGACUUACCGACGGUUUAUUCCGUCGGUGAAUCCGUCGGCAAAACCGUCGGUAAUUCUGACGGGCAAUCGACACGUCACCGCACGGACCUGCUAUUCAAAUCCCUCGGUGAUUCCGUCGGUAUUUUUAACGGUGCCCGUCACGUCACCGGUACGGAUCUGGCAUUUCAAAUCCGUCGGUGAUUCCGUCGGUAUUUUUGACGGUGAAUAGGUCCCAUCACGCGUACGGGCCCCAGUUUUUAAUUCCGUCGGUGAUUCCGUCGGAAAUAUCACCCGCCAAAACCUCCGCGCUACUGCCCGCCCUUUUUUCAUUAAUUCUGAAUUUUCGGUCGGUAAUUCGGUCAGUAAUUACCGACGGAAAUAGUCCGUCGGUAAUUACCGACCUAAUUACCGACGAAUAUUGUCCAUCGGUGAUUUCGGCCGAAAAAUACCGACAGAAAAAAUUCCGUCGGUAUGUCCGUUGGUAUUUAGCGAUUUUCUGGUAGUGUUACAACUCUCUAUGUAAACCUGAAAUCUUGUGCAGGCAAACCAAAUUAAGUAGAACCAAACAUAAGAGACGAAGCAACCGCAAUAACAUUUACAAAAUCCCUAAAAGCAAUGGAUCCUUUUUUUUCAUUUUCUUUACCACAGAAGGCAGGUUACAAGAAAAGUAGAACUUGAAAUGAAAUAUUUAGUCUUUAUGCUAUCCUAGUAAAGAAGAGAAGUUCUCGAGAUAUCUAUAGUGAACCGAAUGUUGCUUAGAUUGUUUCCAAGGUCUCUAAGGAUUCCAAGGCUUCAAACUGGUUUUCCUCUGGUUCUGGAUAGCCAGCAGAGCCCCUGAAGAGCAAAAUUGAAAGGCUUCCAAUCUGAAAAUAUAUGAAACAUCCAAAGCAGUGAGUCACAAAUGAGCCAAAAUCUCUUCCCACAAUGCAUUGCCACCCUGGUCCAUACAUCCUAUCAAAUUCCUGCAUUAAACACAAGUACAAAACCAUUUCAAUAUGCCUGGAAUUCAACUUUGACAUUCUAAUUGCAGAACUUGGACAUUUAAAGUAUUAUUGGCCCUUGCAUGCAUAUAUAUAUCCAAAUAAGUUCUUUGCUUAGUCUAUAUAUAUUCAUUUUCCACAUAUAUACAUAUUAUGUAUAGCUCACCUUCUUAAUAAGACGAGCUAUGUCAGUGGAGUCAGUGACAUCAAAGAAGUCGAGGGCUUUGGCUGCAAGAUCAAGUGCAUCUUGUUGCAUUGUUUGAAGCAUAUCGGUCUCACCAAUAACUGCCUUGCCUUCUAGCAUGGCUGAUAUGAUUGUAGUUCAAUACAAGGCUUUCCUGCGAAGAAAAAUGUGAGAGCUAGAGAUGGUGGUAACUAAGAAUUGAAGCAAAAUGGACUAAUUUUGGAUUUUGGACUAAGUUCUGGAUGAAGUAAGUACUAGAGGUGGUGGUGAUGGGGAUUUAUGCUGAGUUGAGGAAUAAAGGGGUGGUGCUAGUGGAUCAGCCACGUAUAGGAUCCUUUCUUUGUGGUCAGUAAGUAAUGAUGUGGAAUUAUGCUAUUGGUUCAUAUCAUCCUGAUGAGCUUAAUGGACCCUUUAAUUUUGGCAAAUGGCUCAAACUAGAUUCUGGAAAUGCAGGGGGUUGAUAAAAGACGGAAUUCAUGCAAGGUUACAAAAAUUUUAGGCCCCUUUCUAUCUCUGACAGGUGGGCGGUUGUUUGUGGCCUGUCAAUGGGAAAUUGCAACGUGUCUUCCGACAAGAUGUUAGCUCAUGGUGAUUUUGUCUAGUUCUCCCGUAGUCUAAUUCUCCAGGACGGAAGGAUGAGAUUGAUUGUUAAUUUGUGUUGCUCGUAAAACUCAUGCUAGGGUCGUGUUAAAUAUGAUUUAACUAACCAAGAACAAGAAGCUUUGAGAAGAUAAAUUCACGUUUUAAAGAAUAUAAUAGAACUAAUAUUAAGGUGUGUUUGGAAUUAUAGUUAUAGUAGCGAUUGAAAGUGUUUUUCGCUUGGAAAUAGAUUAAAAUCAUUUUUUUUUAUUUUUUAAAAAUCAUUUUUUAUAUCAAUAUAUCAAAACGAUAUGAAAAUAUAAAAAAAUUAUUUUAAAUAAAAUAAAUAUAUUUGAUGAACGUGGUUUGUACCACUUUUCCAAACAUAACCUAAAAAGUCAAGAAUUAAUUACGAUCAAGAACAAAUGAAAAGUCUAAUCAAAGAAUAUUAUUAAGGAAAAUAAUAUAAUAUUUGUUUUUUAAUUCUCCUAAUAUAUUUUUUAGGUAAAUAUAUUUGGUAUAUGUUAGAAAUAUUUGUUGGAGAAAAGAGAAGCAUUGUGAUAACUAAAAACAUAUUUCAUUCAUGUAAUACAACUUUUCUAGGAUAGAAAAUAACAUUGUAUUUCGAUUUAAAUUACAAUACUCAACAUAAAUAUUUAUAUUAACGUAGAGAUAAUUAAGAUAUUCUAGAAAUAAAUACAUCACUACAUAAACCUAGAAAAACUAAAAAACCAUUUAAAAUGUAAAUUUUAGAAUUUACUCUAAUACUCCUUUUUAAUUUUAAAAGUCUCAAAACUCUUGAAAUUUAUAGUAUCUUACAGGAGAAUCUUAUCAUGACUUGUUAAUGGCAUCUCAUUAUCAUCUUUUCAAUUUUCCUUUUUUUAACGAUUGUUUUUGUUUAAACAUGACUACUUCUAAAUAUUUUUCUUUUUUUAUAAAAGUCAUAAUAUUUCUCUAGUCAAAUAUCUUUUUUUUCAAGAUUUGAUUUUUUAACUAACCAUUAUAUUUUGGCUCACUCUUCAUCGUAUUCUUGUUGUCAUAGCUCAUUGGUCAUUUUUCAUCUUCUUUUGUAGAAAAAGCUCUUUCUUCUUGUUCAUGUGAGGUCUUUCUUGUACCAUAUCUCAUCUCUUGUGCAACAAGUUGUUAACUUAUAUUAGGUCUCAUUUUAAGGCUACGCUUUUAUUUUUCUGGAUAUAAGGUCUCAAUUCUUUUGUUAGACACCGUCAUCUUGCACCUCUAAUUUUAUUUUUAUUUUUAAAAAUAUUACUUGUUCAUCCACUCUUUUUUCGGACAUGUUUUAAUUUCUCAAAAACCUCACUAGAUUGAACUAGUUUUGAUACCCUAUAUUUUAGGAGAAAGUUUCUAUACACUUGAACUUGAAUUACAAUACUCAAUAUAAAUAUUUAUACUAGUAUAAAAUAAAUCAAGAGACUCAAGAAAUAAAUACAUCACUAAUAGUUGUAUACACACCUAGAAAACACCUAAAAGAACUAAACAAAACAAUUUAAAUGUAGACUUUAAAAUUAACUCUAACAAUAUAUAAAAAAUUAUCUAUGGAUCAAUUCAAUUGUAUACUAUUUUAUUUUAGUACUUUGUGUAUACAUAACCUAAAAAGUCAAGAAUUAAUUACGAUCAAGAACAAAUAAAAAGUCUAAUCAAAGAAUAUUAUUAAGGAAAAUAAUAUAAUAUUUGUUUUUUAAUUCUCCUAAUAUAUUUUUUAGGUAAAUAUAUUUGGUAUAUGUUAGAAAUAUUUGUUGGAGAAAAGAGAAGUAUUGUGAUAACUAAAAACAUGUUUCAUUCAUAUAAUACAACUUUUCUAGUAUAAAAAGUAGCGUUGUAUUUCGAUUUAAAUUACAAUACUCAGCAUAAAUAUUUAUAUUAACGUAGGGAUAAUCAAGAGAUUCUAGAAAUAAAUACAUCACUACAUAAACCUAGAAAAACUAAAACAAUAUUUAAAAUGUAAAUUUUAUAAUUAACUCUAAUACUCCUUUUUAAUUUUAAAAGUCUCAAAACUCUUGAAAUUUAGAGUGUAUUACAAGAUAAUUUUAUCUUGUUAAUGGCAUCUUGUUAUCAUCUUUUCAACUUUCCUCUUCUUAUUGAUUGUUUUUGUUUAAACAUGACUACUUCUAAAUAUUUUUCUUUUCUUAAGAAAAUCAUCAUAUUUCUCUAGUUAAAUUUUUUUUUUUCAAGAUUCGGCUUUUUAACUAACCAUUAGAUUUUGGCUCACUCUUCAUCAUGUCUUCUUCUUGUCAUGGCUAGCUCAUUGGUCACAUUUCAUCUUUUUUUGUAGAAAAAGCUUUUUUUUCUUGUUUAUAUAUGGUUUUUCUUAUAUCAUAUCUCAUCUCUUGUGUAACAAGUUGUUAACUUGUAUUAAGUCUCAUUUUAAGGCUUCUUUUAUUUUUCUUGAUGUAAGGUCUCAAUUUUAUUGGACACUAUCAUCUUGCACUUUUAAUUUUAUUUUUAUUUUUAAAAAUAUUACUUGUUUAUCCGAGAAAGUUUCUAUAGACUUUAACUUGAAUUACAAUACUCAAUAUAAAUAUUUAUACUAGUAUAAGAAUAAAUCAAGAGACUCAAGAAAUAAAUACAUCACUAAUAGUUGUAUACACACCUAGAAAACAGAGAACUGAACUAAAAAAACAAUUUAAAUGUAGACUUUAAAAUUAACUCUAACAAUAUAUAAAAAUUUAUCUAUGGAUCAAUACAAUUGUAUACUAUUUUAUUUUAGUACUUUGUGUAUACAUGCAACUAGGCCAUAAAGCUAUGAAAAACACAUCCACGGCUUCUAAAUUUUCUUUGUUUGGAAUUAUAGUAGUGUUGACGGUUUAAAAUAUUUUUACUUAAAAAUACAUUAAAAUAAAAAUUAUUUUAUUUUUUAAAAAAUAAUUUUUUAUAUCACCACAUCAAAAAAAUAUAAAAACAUUUAAAAAUUUUAUUUUAAAUAAAAAAAAUUAAAAUUUUUUAAAAUAUAAUUUACACAACAUUUUCAGUUUUCAAAGACACCCGAGCUCCCGUCCCCAAUGCAUAAUGCAAUGAGUGUUUUUCUAGUGAGAAAAUUUGCUGAAAACACAGAAAAUUUUGGGAAAAGAAGCUACAAAGAGAAGGCAACGUAGAAUUCGCUGAAGCAGUAUAGGUUGCUAGUAACGGACCAAAUGUCAAGUGAAGAGUGUUAGUUAUGGUUGGGUAAGAAAAAUAUCCAGGCCCAAUGAUCCUGGUGCACUCAAGUCUUGUCAUGAGAUGAGCAAUAUUCAAAAGAAUCAAUAUGCAAUGUGAUGAAUCAUGCCACACAGUUCUGUCACUUUAGAGUUGGCAACAUUUGACUUCUUCAUAUGUCGCCAUGUCUAGUUGUUUAACAAACUUUAAACAAGUUAUUAUAGACGGCAGUGGUUGGUGACCACCAAACUUACAUUUCUUUUUGUUAAGGCAAACCGGGAUUGUUGUGCUUGAAAUGCCUGUUAUUGUUUUGGCUUUUCAUGUUGAUUACUGGGAUUAUAUGGGUUGGAAAGAUCCCUAUGGGGGUAGUCAGUGGACAGUUAGACAAAAGGCUUAUGUUGAGUCUUUGAAGCUUGAUACUAUGUUUACACCACAGAUUGUUGUUCAAGGGAGAACUCAGUGCGUGGGAAAUGAAGAGGAGGCUUUGAUGUCUUCCAUUGUCAAUGCACCAAGGUUUCCUGCUCCUACUUUUCAGGUUAGAUUUUUAACUCUUUUCCUCUCUCUUUGCUUUUUAUUUUUAUUAUUAUUAUUAUUAUUUAGGCCUGUAGGGAUGGAUCUUGUAAUUUCGAUGCAAUGGGGUAAACUGAUAGCUAUUGCAUUAUAGAGACAGAAACUAGACGUCAAAAGUCGGAGAAAACAAAUUUUCAAACGCAAAAAAAAAAUUUAUGGUAUUACUAAAAUAUAUACUGAAAGAAAGUAGUUUUUAAUUAUAAAUUUAAAAUAAGUUGCAUAUUAAAUUAUAAUUUUAUUUAAUAUUAAAACGUGUGAUCUACGUGAGUCAACUUAAGUGUAUAUUCAAAAUUAGCAAGAAUAAUUUUAAAAAAAAUAAUUGGAAAUUCCAAUCUCUAAUUAAUUUAAUGUUAAAAGAUAAUAAUAAAUAUAAAUAAAUACUCAAUUAAAAAAAAACUCAAGUAAACUUGAGUAAGUAAACAAAAUUCAUUAUGUCAGUCUUGUACAUGAUUAGAUUCAAUAUUUUUUUUUAAUCUUGGAUAUUACUGUUCAUUUAAUAGAUUUAUAUAACAAUAAAACACAUAAAAAAAAUUUGUGUGAAUUAAUUUUUAAAAAAAAAAUUACAUGACAUGUUACAUGUAAAUAAGAUAGAAAAAUUAGAUAAUUGAUAAUAAAAGGUGAAAUUACUUCUUUUUUUUAGUUUUAAGUUAAAUAAAAUAAUAUAUCAUUAAUAAAAAAACGAUUAGAUUUGAUUUUAAAAAAAAUUGAGGGAUUAGAAAUGCAUAAAUUAUAAUAAUAAAAAAAUAAACAACAACAACAACAACUACGAUGCUAUGGCGUAACUCAUCAAAAAAUUGCGAUUCGGGUCAUGUAUUUAACCAAGUUCAAUAAUUUUUUCAUAAAUCUAUAUUUAACCUAAAUAUAAAAUAAAUAAAUAAAGACCAAAAAAUGAUCAAUCGCUCCGGCUUACAUGCAUGGGCCUAUUUGUUUUCCUUUUAAAGGGGCAAAUACAUUUAUUUAAAAAAAAAUAGCUAACUAGCAUAUUGCUUACUAUGACAAAUGACAUGUCAUCUAUUAACCCAAAUUCUAACCACUAUUUUAGUAGCUAAAAAAUUGGGACAGUGGGUUUUUUACUCAAAAAAUUUAUUUUAACCCAAAACACUCUACAAACACUCUUAAAGCAUCUAGAAACUAACUUAUCAACCAAAAAACUAGAAAAAAGGGUCAAAAUUAGAAAAUCAAACCAAACAAAAUUUAUUAUUCUCAACUUAGAUAUGUUUUUUUAGGUAAUAUUAAGGUUUAGAACAACCAAUUAAUAAGACUUUCUUCAUUGAAUGGAACUUAUUAACACCAAUUUCAAUAUUUUAGUGGUCAAAAUAGUUGUAAACGAUAACUUUUUAUCUCUAUAGUAUCAAAAUCUGAAAACUCUUUCUUUCCUCAAACAAACCAAAAUCUAAAAAAUAAGAAAAAUAAAGUUGUUCUAAAAUUGAAUUUCCAACAACUAAAGGAUUGAUUACCUAUUAACUCAAGAAAAAAAAAGAAUUGAAAUGAACUUUUUGUAUGAAAAUCGAAGUUGCCAACUAUUUUCCUUAUUUUUUUCAUUUUAGUUCUCUGUUUUUUAAUUCAAUCUUAAAAAAAGAAAAAGCAAUUGGGUACUAAUUUAGGCUAAAAAAGGUCCAAUUAUACAAAAACAUAAUUUGAGGACUAAUACAAUUUUUCCAUUAAAUUAAAAAAAUAAAAACUUAGCCAUGACUUUCAUCGUUUCUCAUUAGUGGAAUCUAGAUAGUGACAUGACAUAUAGCUACAAUCAGUCAAAAAAAUAAACAUUAAAAAAAAACAUAGAAUUGUAACUAGAUUUGGUCGGUGCCCAUUGUUUAGACUUAGAAACAAAGUCCAGAAAUUGAAAAGUUGUACACAACUAGUCAAGAAACAAACAUUAAAAAUCAAAUUCAUAGUUGCAAACACUCUCAAUGCUCUUAAAUUGAAACAUUGAAGACAGCUAGUUAAGAAACAAACAUUAAAAAAAUCAAAUCUACAAUUACUAACAACCCAAUGGAUCCCCCAUGUUGACUUAGCCUUUAACUUCCUUUCUCUUGAAAUUAAAAAAUUGCAGCAACUAGUCAAGAAACAAACAUUUUUUAAAAAAAAAAAAAAACCUCGAGCUUGGUAGCUUCAACAGUCUAAGCAUGCCAAAUCUGUUUAUAACCCGUAAGCAUACCUGUAUGGAAAAAAAAAAAAAAAAAAAAAAAAAAAAAAAAAAAAAACCUUGAUAUCCUCUCUUUGUUAAUAAAACAUCAACCAACUAAGAGUAACCUUGUCAGAUAAUGGUAUAUUAUCUUAUCUAGUUCUCUUGAUUUUGUGUUUGAUUUUGUGAUUCGUGUUUAAAAAGAUAGAGAAAAAAUGAUGUGUGUAAGAGAGAGAAAUUAUGACUUGAAGAAAGAAAAGAUAAGAAGUGUUGUUUGGUUGAUUUUUUAAUUUAAUAUAUAUAAGGGUAAUUUGAUUAUUUUAUUAUAUUUAAAAAUUUGUGUUGACCAAGAAUAUAAACUAUAGUUUUUCCAAACUAAAUAGACCAGUGCAACUUCUAACAAAUGAUAGGAUGUUAGGGGUAAUUUUUUAUAUAUAUAAUUUAUUAAUCUUGUUUAAAAUUGCCGGGCAAAUCUUGCGUUUUUACAUGAGUAAAGUGGCCUUGUUUAGCAUCCCCUUUUAUACUUGCUUAUAAAAAAUAAAAUAAAAAGAAUAGAAAAUCAUUGUACACGUACACUUUUAUUACCAUUCAUUAUUAUUUUUUCUUUUUAAAAAAAUCAAUUGCCUUGAUAUUGAGGUAUUUAGAUCUUUUCACAAGCCCAUUGACCAUUAAAGAAUUGAUGACGGUAGGGUUUUUUUUUUUUUAAUUACAAUAAAAUAAAUAAAUUAUCUUUUAUACCAAAAAAAUUAGAUAUGAGAAAUAAAGGUUUUUUUUUCUUUUUACUUCUUGAAAUACAAUAAAAUUACAACUUUACCCUUUUGAAAAAAAUAAACCUUUUAUUAAGAGGCUUUUUCAUAUUUUCAUUUUGGUUUUUUUGUUAUUACUAAGUAAAUCAAGGACAAUUUGAUCUUUUAAUAUACAUUGAAUAUUAUUUAAAUUGAAAAGGUUGGGUGUGAAAUUAAGCCACCAUCACACUUCAGGUCACGCAUGAGAGCCAAAUGGACACUUCGAGUGAUCAAAAAUGUACUUUCAUUUUGUUGUUUGAUUCGUCAUUGCGUCCUUUUUCUAUUGAGGUGAUGUGUGUCAAUUGUAGUGGGCGGUUUCUUGUUAACAAGGCUUUCUUAAUUUUUUUAUUUUUUCUCUCUCUUCUUUCCUUAAAAAUUUUAGAAUGGUACUUUUUGUUGUUAGUAUUACAAUUUCAGUUCUUAUUUUUUUUAUUUAUAAUUUUUUAUCUUGAUUUUUUAAUAAAAAAAAAUUUAAUUUCAUGUUUCAAUCUUAAUUUCUCAUAUAUUAUUUUUUUUUUUUUUCAAUUCAGACCUUUUUUUAAUUCUUUUCUUGAUCUUUUUGUAAAAAAAUUAUUUGUUUUUAAUUUAUUCCUUCAAUCCAAAUUUAUGCUAUAUUAUUUUAUUGUAUUUUUUGUACUUAUUCUUUUGAUUUUUUUGUCUUGUUGUUAAAGUUAUUUUUUUCUUUUCAAUUUCACAUUUCAAUGGAAAAUUUAUAGUUUUCCUAUAAUUUAUUUUUUAUUUUGGUUUUAUGCUUAUUCGUUUAAUUUUUAUUUUUGGUUUUGGAUCCUUUUGUAUAAUUGUUUUUUUUUCCUCGAUUUUAUCCUUUAGAUUUGUUAAGGAUUAGACUUCAUGGCUUUUUCAUGUAUGGUGUUUCUGGUCUAAUAACACGGGUCGAGAGUUUGUUGAAUUAACAUGAUUUGGCGUUCUUCUUUUUUUUUACUUAUUUUUUUUUCCGAUUUCAUCAUUUGAUAUUAUUUAAAAAAAAAAACAGCUUUGUGGUUUUCUUUGAAUUUUUUUCUAUCAGGUUAUCAUAAUUUCAUAACAUGAGUCUGGGUACGACAAUUUAACUCGAGUUGGCUUACCUCUUAUUACUCAAGUUACAUGUCUAUCAUGUUAACAUUAGUUGACUCAGAUAAGUUUUUUUUUUGUCAAUAUUUUAUUUAAUUUUAUCUUUUUAUAUUUAAUUAGCUAAAAAUUAAGUUACAUCAUUCUUUUCCUUUUGAAAAUUUUUUUUUCCUAAGUUAUCAUUAUUAUUUUUUUAUUAUAUUUUGUUUAUUAUCAAUUGUCUGUUUUUAUCAUUUAAUUAGAAUAAAACCAACUUAUUUGACCUACAGCACGUUUGCUAUCAACUUCUUUAAAACACACUUGAAAAAUUAUAAUACAGCCCACGACAUUGUGCAGCACACGUCUAUUGCCAACUAAAUGUUUAAACCUGAUUCAAGAUAAGGAGGUAUUAUUUUGGUGAUUUAGCAUUAAACAGUAUUCUAGACCAAGAUUUUACAACUAAUUUAGUGACGACGAAGGAGGAAAUGUCAGAGUCAUCUUUCCUUUAAAACAUAAACCCGUGUAAAUAUAAUCAAUGAAUGUUGACAUGUUUCAUUAAGUAAAUAAAGCCUUAAACAAAUUAAGGGGAAAACGUAAAUAAAACCUCAAAUAGAAAAAAGUUGAAACUACAAAUUUUUGUAACCUUAGACACUUAUGUUGUAACAGGCAACAUUUCAGAGGCCGACUCCAGAUUGCUUACAAGUCUCUUUAUCAGGAGCCUUGAGAACUAAAGCUGACAGUGAUGGUGUCAACGUCAUGGUAGCUCUCUAUGACAGUGGAUUAUUGACUGAUUGUCCUCGGGAGAGAGAACAAAGGGCGUGUCCUAUCAAAUGACUAUGUUGUUAGAAAGCUUGAAAAACUCAGCAAAUGUGGUCUUGCUGUCUUUGUUGAAGACAACUCCCAUCAGAUUUUUGGGUCGCAGAGCAUUCAGUUCCCGGAUGCUAUAUGAGACAUUCAGAUUGAAACAAAGACUAAAUAUUGGCUUUGAUCGAUAUGACACUUGUGUACAGGAUGUGCUGGAUAAUAAUUUCUUUUCCUUCAUUUUUUGGUCUUAAUUUCUAAUUAUUUUUGUUCAGUUUUUAUAAAGAAGAUAACUAGAGACAUUUUCGUGGUUUGAUGGCAUAGAUUGAGUUUAGAGAUUUGGAUUUCACUUUCUUGAUAUCUUUGUUUUGCGGGGAAAUGGAAUUGGAAAUUUAGAACAAGUUGGUUGCUUUUUUAUGAUGUUUCAAAAUUCAAUAUACUUAGAAAAGAGAUUAUUUGGUGUUUGGAUGGAGAUUAAUCACGUGUUCAUGUUAAUAUUCUCUUUUCCAGCGCUCACAAAGUAGAUGGUUAGUGGUAGAAGGCUCAAUGCCUAUAAAACAGUUCUUUUUUACAGGGUUUAUGAAUACUCGGAUGAUAAAAUCAAUGACUUUUAGUAAGAAAUUAUAAUAAAUGCUAGAAUGAACUUUAAAUUCUAAGAAGAAGUAUGUUUGUUCUUGUUUUGUAUGGUAAAUGCUUUAAAAAUAAGAGUACAAAUACUCAAGAGAAUAAAAAUUGUAAACCCUUACUUAAAUGGUUAAAUGAGUAUAUAUAGCUCCUAAACCUUGUCAUAUUGUGAAUGAGUUGGAGUGUCAUUUCCUUCUUAUAGCAUUAAUAAGGGACAUAUAUCUUUUACAUAAUAUUAAUAUUAAUGGAAUAUAGUAGGCUCUUUAGAUAACUUUUAUACACUCACGGGUGUAGAGGAAUAAUUAUUCUUGACUUUUAAUAUUUUAUGUUAAAAACCAUAACAAUGAACAAACAAAACAUCAUCACCCAACAUAAGGCCCAUACCCACUUGGACUUGGAAUGAUGUUAAGCCCAGGGGUGAUGGGUCUAGCAGUUUGCCAGAUUCACAUACAAACUCAUGUAUGUUUGAGUUCAGUGUAUAAUUGAGCUUAAAGAUGUGGGUUUGACAAAUUGCAAGACACAUAUUUGUUUGGGCUCAGCGUAUGGCUGAGCUCAAAGGCGUUGGGUCUAGUAGAUCUCUAGACCCACGACUAUUUGGGCUCAGCACGUGGUUGAACCUAUAGAUGCUAGAUCUACCCACUUGCUAGAAUAGUUUAGGCUUAAUGCAUGGCUAACCCCAAGGAUGCUAGGCCUAACAACUUACUAGACUCAUGUUUAUUUGGGCUCGGUGUGUGGCUGAAUCCAAGAAUGUUAAGUAUGGCAACUCAUCAGAACCAUAUAUGUGUGGGUUUGUUGCUACCCAAUUUUUAACUUAUUUUUUAAGUAUUUUCGAUAAAAAAAAAACCAAAAAAUAGCAAAAAACAACAAAAACCUAAAAAAAUAUGUUCUUGAUGUAUUUGUGUCAUUUUCAACAUCGUCUCAAAAGGAUUCAAAUUUCAAAUGUCUUUUCAACGUAUUCGGCUUUUAACGCAUCAUUUUCAAAAUUAUUAAUUUUUUUCUUUGAGUCAACGUUGAUGUUGUUCUUUUUCAAAAAAAAAAAACAAAAUAUAAAUGUUGGACCAAGCAAUUAGGGAAGAAGACAAACUUUUCCACCUAUAUUGAUUUUUUACCAUUGAUAGUGAUUAGAGUUUUCAAAAACCAAUUUAGGAAAAACAAUUGAUAGUUUUUUUAUCAGGUUCUCAUAGACAAUGCUAAUUGAUGAUGUUCCGAAAUCUAAUAUGCAUACAAAUGAGGUUUUUUAGUGUUUGUAUAGUGAUUAAUCAUAUGUUCAGGUCAAUAUUCUCUUCUUCAAAGCUCAUAAAAUAGAUGGUUGGUGGUAAAAGGCCUAACAGCUGCAAAACAGUUCUUUUAUGUGAGUUUUAUAGACCCUCCGAUGAUAAAGUCAAUGACUUUUAGUAAGAGAUUAUAAUAAAUGUUAGAAUGAUCUUUAAAUUCUAAGAAAAAGUAUGUUUGUUUUUAUUUUGGUAUGGUGAAUGCUCUAAAAAUAAAAGUAUGAAUACUUAAGAAAAUAAAAAUUAUGAACCAUUCACUCAAGUGGUUAAGAGGGAUUAUAUAGCCUUUGAACCUUGUCAUGUUGCUUGAAUGGAUGGGUUGAAGAGUCAUCUCCUCUUAAUUUAUAUUUACCAUAGCAUUAAUGAAAGAUAAAUAUCUUUUAUAUAAUAUUAAUGAGGGAUAGAUUCUCUUACACAAUAUUAAUGUUGAUAGAAAUAUGAUGAGUUCCUUAGAAGAUCUCUAUACACCUGGGUGCAGAAGAAUAAUUAUUCUUGAUUUUUAAUAUUUUACAUUAAAAGCCAUCAAAAUAAACAAACAAAAUUGUGUCACCUAACAUGACGUGCAUACCCACUUAGACUUUGAAUAAUACCAAACCGAAAGGUGUUGGGUCUAGCAAAUCAAUAAAACUCAUGUCUGUUUAGGCUCAGCAUGUAGUUGAAUCCAAGAAUAUUAAGUAUGGCAACUUGUCAGACCCAUAUUAGUUUGGGCAUCAACAUGUUGCUAAACCCAAAGAUGCUGGAUCUAGAAACUUUGCAAACCCACGUCAGUUUCGGCUCAGCACCUGGUUGAACCCAAGGACGUUAGAUCUAGCAACUUUGCAGUCCUACAUCGAUUUGGGCUUUGUAUGUGGCUGAACUAAAAAACCUUAGGUCUGAAAAGUUGUUAAACUCAUAUCAAUUUAGGUUAAGCACGUGGUUGAGCCAAAUGGCAUUGAGCUUGACAACUUGCUAGGUGGGUCUGUUUAUGCUGAGUGCAUGGCUGAACCCAAUAAUGUUAGGCUGGCAAUUCAUCAAACCCAUAUGUAUUUGGACUCAACAUGUAAUUGAUCUCAAUAAUAUUAGAUUUGGCAACUCACCGGACUCAUAUGUACUCGAGCUCAGCAUGUAGCUGAAUCUAAAGAUAUUAAGUCUGGCAACUCACCAAACCCAUAUGUAUUUGGCCUCAACACGUGGUUGAGCCUAAGAAAACUGCCAGAAACAUGUUUGUUUGGGCUCAGCACGUAGCUGAAACCAAGAACAUUGGGUCUGGCACCUCGCUAGACCCAUAUGUACUUGGACUCGGCACAUAGCUAAAUCUAAUGAUAUUGGGUGUGGCAGCUCGUUAAACCCAUAUGUAUUUAGACUCGACACAUAGUUAAAUCUAAUAUUAUUGGGUGUUGUAGCUUGUCAAAUCCACAUGCAUUUAGGCUCAGCACAUAGUUAAGUUCAAAAAUAUUAAGCCGGAAAAAUAAAAACAAGUCAGAUCCAUAUCAUCUAGGCUUAGCCUUUUUCCCACCCUAAGUCCAUUAGAUUGUCACCAUGUCUUGACCCUUUUAAACAUGACUUUAAACAAAAAGAAAAAUAUAUAAAAUAUAUUGAUACACCACAUUUUCCUUGUUAUUUGAUUACUUUCAAGUAGUAACAUAGAUAAUAGCAUCACAAGCUUGUUGUUUCUUGGUAGGAAUCACCCAUAGGACGCGUGUAACGGCCUCGAAUUGCAGGGCUAGAAAUAUAUGUACAUGCAAUGAACUCAAUACAAUUUUUAUUUUCAGGUUCUUGAACACCAUCAAGAUCACUAGUUUCUUUACAGAGAGAUUGUUCAGUGCUUGUCUGAAUUUGGAUGUUCCCUUAAAGGGCUUAAAUUUACAUAGAAGUCCGCCUCCUAUGGUUUAUAGGAAUUUAUAAUUGAAUACUUAGCACAGUCAAUUAGGGCCCCAACAACUCAAAUAAAAAAUCAUCCUCAUUGAUUUCUCUGCUGCCUGAUACUUCUCAUUACAUGUUUUGCCACUUUCCCUUCUUGGAUCAAAAGAACUGGAGACGGGUUUAACUUGCAUAACCGAUGAUCCUGCUGCAGAGCUCCAUUUCUCUAGAAGAGCUGGUGAUUUGGGUAUGAUCAUAUGAUCUUUGAGCCCAAAUGCAGCUCCUAGAGAGAAAACAAUGCAAGCUUUGUUGGUAAACCUCAUUGCAAAAGUUAGGCUCUAGAUUAAGAAAGUUUGAGGCUUUAGUGUAGGGUUCUUCUGUGACUGAGAAAAAUGAAAUAUAUAGACCUGCAAUGGCAUAGUUGAGGCUCAAGUAGCAGGAAAGGUUCCUAUCCAUUUGGAUAGGAACAUAUGCUAUUCUGUGUACAUGGACUACUGCAUCAGUAUCUUCCUUCCCAUGUUGUCUUAUUCUUUUUUUCUUCUUUCCAGUUUUGACUCAACUGGUCAUAAGUACUCGUGCGCAUUUCUCACUGUUCCUUGUGUUUCUGCCCUAAAAAAAAGGGUCCUUGUAAUAUUCUCUUCGCUUAGCAGUUAAAUUCCCUUUAAAUGGAGCUUUCCUUACCUCAUUCAUGUAAGGACAGAAUAAGUUGAAAUAGAAAGCAGAUUUCUAAUUGGUUUUCUACCAAAUUGCAAUUGUCACUUGUUUCUUGCCAUUUGAAAAUAUUUAUAUAUAAAAAACUAGAAGGUCCCAAUAUUCGUUUUAAUGCAAAAUUCAUGGCCUAUAAAACUGUCACAAGAUAAAAGAAAACUAAAAAUUUCCGUUGCCGGGACUUGAACCCGGGUCUCUCGGGUGAGAGCCGAGUAUCCUAACCAACUAGACUACAACGGAUUGUUGUGAGGCAUUGAGAAUAAACAAUAUAUCAAAUAUGUCACAGAUAAGAUUUUUGUUGCUGCCUCCUAGAUUGAUGGAUAAACGAAGACGGCUAGCAUCCAUAAUCGAGGAAUCAGGAAGGUCCAGGAAACCAUGAAAAACAUGGAGAACGUAUCCACCCUCUUCAGAGAGCAGAAAAGGCGUAGGCAUAAGAUGGAAAUGACAAUGGUAGGUUAAGCAGGUGCUGUAGUGACGAUCUUGACCAUCUCUUAGCCGGAAAGUUUGUCCAAAGUUAUUGCCACGCCGUGACAAGAUAAUCUAAUGGCCCAGGAUACAGCAGUCAAUGAUCCCCCUGACAUUUGCUGUUGCGGGAAAAGCAAGAGGCAAACUUCAAGAUCCAUAUCGGGGAAAAAAAUAUAGAUUAUUUUACUAUGCAAGUCCAUGAUGAAUCAUGAUGUCCCAAGAAAUGCACGAGAAGUAAUAUACAUGUAAUAAACAAAUGAGCUACCGGCACAAAUCUGAGCACCCAUCCCUAAGGAAUACAAAAAUAUGCUUCAUUGCAAAACAAAUCCACUAUCUACAUGCAGGAGGUCAAGCCCAUCCCUAGCACCCUGAACUGACCUCCAUAGUCCAUACCAUCCAUCAAACAAAUAUGAGCAUGGUAAUAGAAUCUUCUCCUCCUGGUGCGCCUGACUGCCAACUCAACUCCACCUCCCCUUACCCGUAAGUCAAGGGGCUGAAUCAAUACAACUUGCAGCAAGAUCAAAACCACAUCUCACAACUACUGUACUGCUUCAACCUGUUGUCGAGCCAGGUACUUUUCUCGCCGCUCUUUCUGAAGAAUAAUAGUAAUGAAGGAGAAGAGAUUAUAUUCUGAUACAGAUAUUAUAAAAACUGAACAUUCAGGGAGAUCAGACGGAAUAUUUAUACCCAUUCAUCAAUAACAAGACCUUCCCCAACAACAGAGGGCCCUGUGUCUGGUGGAGGUUUCUUGCGUACUUCAAGAGCAGCUUCUGCUUCAGCCAAUUGAUGCUUCAAUUUCUCCAUUGCCUUCAGAGAAACAAUAUCAAUCUUGUUUUUAGCUGUUUAUUGUGCACAUAAUCAACAACUGAACACAGACCAAUCAAAUUUACUUACAGGACUAGGACGCUUUGCAUCUAAAAACACAACCCGCAAUACUCGCUCAACUGUUACUUGAUCCUUUUGUUCAUCAAACUGCAGAAAACAAGAUCAAUUUUGCUUCAAAUUGGUUUAUCCUCUUGACAUAAAAAACUGUACUACCUGUUGUUUCCAUGAGAAGUUGAAUAACCUUAGUUACAAAUGGCGUUAAGAAAUGGAAGUUGAGCAUGAAAUAAGUACAAAAAAAAAAUUAUCAUGUUUAAUUACACUUAAUGCAAAAGUAGACAAUUGCGAUCACAUUUUCCCUGUGAAAUGCAUAUCAAACAAUUAACAUCUUUUCAGAAAACUAGGGAAGAAACUAGAAACUUAACAAGUCAUCUCUUUUUGAUGCAUUCAUUUACGGAAUUCUUUAAAAUCCAUCCAUGACAAUACUGCACAACAAUUACAUAGUUUUCACCCAACAACCAUAACAAACCUAACAAAUAAGGCUUAUGCAGGACCUUGAUUCAACAUCAAAGUAUGAAUGAAGACUAUUUAAAAAUCAUUAUCUCCAAUGAAACUGAGCUGUCCAAAUAAAUAAGCAGUAUACACUUACUAAAAUAGUUAGAAAAUUAAACUCCUGUCCAGUACACUACUUGACUACCAUGCUCAUAGCUAAAACCUUUCUUUCUUUCUUUUUGGAAUUAUGUUCCUUGAUCUUUGCCACAAUCAUUUGGCAUAUUCAAGUAUGAAAUGGAAUAUAGAACCUUAAUGUGCUGCUUCUAUCUCUCUGUUGUUAGUUUCAUUUCCAUGAAUUGAAAAAAAAUCAAAUCAUUAAUAUAACCCGGUACCAUGGAAUUAAAGUUCACUCAACAUCUUUGAAUCCCACAAGCUCAUGAGCAUAUCUGAAAACCUAUUAAGUGCCACAAAUGCAAUAAACAAAGUUUCUCGAUGCUAAAACUUCCAAAAUGAACCCUGAAAAUGUUUAUCCAUGGACAUUACAGCAACAACCAAAGAUUAACAUUUCUCAAAAAAAAACACAAUCAUCAGAUUUUUCAUUUCAAUUUAUUUCAAAAUUCAAAAGUGAAACAAAAACUAUCAAUGUGAACAACUAUUCCUCAACACCAGCUAUAAUGUAGAGAAGGAGAGUGAUAUGAAAAGCACAAGUCAAAAUGACUUACCAGUUCAGGCACAUACUCCAAUCCUUCCUUCACUUUCAAACUCACAAUCUUGAAUUUAGCCUUGCUCUUCUGGUCCAAUUGUUUUUCAUUGUUCUCCGGUGGAUCCACAAACUUGAAAACUGUCGAUCAAAAUAUAAAAAUUCAAAACAACAAAUAAAAAACACAAGUCACACAAUUAAUACAAACACGAGCUAACAAAUACAUCACCCCUAAAAAAAAGACAGAAUCAUCAUGACUAAAUUACCCGUCGCAAUAAGGCUCUCUCCUGGAGCAAGAAUACCACCGGGCGGACGCAUAUAACAGCUCUUCGGUGCAGUUGUUUGAAACUAUAACAUCACAUAAAGAAACCAGUUCGGAAGUUCGAUAAGAUUGCUUUCAAUGAUCACAAGUCACAACACUAACAAGCAUAAAUACAGGGUUUUUUUUUAACAAUCAGAUAAAAAAUAAAAAUAUCCACAAUUAUUUUAUAACAAAUACUAGAAAAACAACUCAUAACAACAAAUUAGUACAGGUAGGACAACAACAGCAAAGGCAUCAUCCAGUGUACUUACUAAAUAUUUAAAACAGGAAAAAAAAAAUAAUGGUGUAAUAUUAACAUUAAAAUAACAAUCCCCUUAACACCUAAAAUGCAAACCACUAACAUAAAUGCCGUUCAUAUUAUUAAAUAAUGUAAUUAGCCUCUGUGUUAUUACGAAUUCUAAACAAAAAGUAUAAAAUAGAAAUUAAACAAAUAAUUAUACCUUAAAAGCAACAUGAGACUUGCUUGUGUUUUUUAACCUUACUGCGCUUUUUACUUGCUUCCCAGGUUCGUCUAAGAAAAAAUUAAAACGACAAUAAUAAUAGCUAAAAAAAGGAGUUGACCAAGGUGAAGAGUCAACGGGGAGAAAAUUAAAAACGACAACGUACAAGGGAAGUAGAGAUUAUUAGAAGGAUCAAGCCGGAGCCUUCGCCGAGUGGGUAAAAGCGAUCGUGCAACAGAAGAAACUGUCGUUGACUUCAAACCGCUACUAUUAACCGCCGCGCUUCGGCUACUGUUGCUGCCACCGUUAUGACUGUUGUUAAGGUUUUGUGUAGACGACGAAGAGGAAGAGUUAGUUGCCGCUUGCCAGAAAGGACAGAGCCUAAACAGCUUCAUGCUGUGGUCGCCGUUGGUUUUAUGUCGGUCAGAUAUUGCCAUCUCUUACCGGGAAUUCCACGUUGCCGGUAAGUAAAAAGAUUAGCAUCAGUUAGUUAUGUUGUUGCUUUGUAAGAGAGGAAAACACGUCUGGUCACGAGAUUUAAAUAUGGUUGUCGGAUUUGAAAUGGUUUUGUGGAUUUCAUAUAUUAGUUUUGGAGUCCGUGCUUGGCAGGGCUGUACUUAAGGGUAAAUCUGGGAUAAAAUAAAAAUGAAGGGUAUUUUGGUACAGAAAAUACUAGGUGAUGAGAAUUGAUGAAGGGAAACCUAAAUAGUACGUAAGGGUUAAUGUCAUGGCAUUUACAGCUGUCGGCUAAGUUUGUUGGUGUGUGGAAGGGUUAGUUGGGAAUUAAUUGGCCAAUUAAUUGUUGAAUAAUGAGUUAAUGACAUUCUUCUUUUGUGUAUAUAAUUUUAAAUAUUUUAUGGCUUGUACAGUUAAAAAUGAUAUUAUGAUUUAUUUAUUGCAGAACUUUAUUCUAUAAAAAAAGAAUAUUAUCCUGACAGGAUGAGAUUUGUCUAGACUUGAAAGAAUUGUUAUGGGUGAUUUGUGGCUGAGGUCAAAAGUAAAAGAGUUUAACUAAUACUCUGCCGUUUUAUUUAACAGCAAAGUCAACGACGACUUUAGAUGUAUCCAUAAAGAAAAGCAUGGUUUUAUUCUUUAGAUGUAUUCAUAAAGAAUAACUUUUGUUUUCUUUUCUAUUUUGUAAGGAAACUUGUGGUUAAGAUGUCUAAGGUUCCGGUCUUGAUGAUUUGGUCAUUUAUUGUUUGGAAUUUGGAUAUUACGGUUUACGAGGUUAAUAAAAAAAAAUGGAUGCUUUUGUUGGAAUUGCAAAAUUUGCAAGAGAGAUUUAAAUGUUGCUAUUAUAGUUUAUUGUGUUGUUUUAAAGAUUGUCAAUUACAGAUUUAACAACAAUAGAUGAUCUACAUCCUUAUUUAUCAUAAAUAUUUAUAACACUUAUAUUUAUAUUGGUUUUUAUAAUUAUCAACAUUGACUUGGUAAUGAAAUUAAAGUCAAUUUAAUGGUGCCAUCGCAAAACCAAUAGAUUUUGACAUGUGUAUGUCUUUUUCAAUUUUAAAAUCUCAAAUAAAUCAACAUUUAGUAAUACCCUCCACAUAAAUACCAUAAAUAUCAAGAAUUCAUAAUUAUCAAGAUGCUAGUUGUAUUAUAACUGGACAUAAGUUUUAGACCUUGUAUUGAAUUGAAUUUUUAAUAUACAACUACUUAAUUGUGAUAAUAUUUUUAGAUUUUUCUUUGAGUUUUUGUCCAACCUCCAAUUCAUCGCGUGAUAAGCCUAGAUUUCUAUGAUUCAAAGAAUUGGUUUAAUAGCUCAACUAACUCAACAUCCUCAUUUUUCUCAACCCUAUUAAUAUAAUGAUCAUUUUUGUCAUUACUUGAUUUAGAUUCUCCAUAGAAAAUACAAAGCAAAUGUUAUACACAACCAAGCUUACAUAUCUACAAUGUCUUACUUUGAUGUUAAGUUCCUUGCAUUACCACCUAAAUCAAAGUAACCAAUUAUCUGUGAUGCGUGUGUGGUUUUGAGGUAACUUGGUACCCAAGUAAACUUUAUAUUAGGAGAGUUUUCAUGUCUAGGUCUAUAAUUCAAUUAUACCUCUAGAAUAUGCAACUCAUUAUUAUUGACAAAUCCACACAUUGAAUUCAUACUUUCAUCACUACAAAUACAUAAACCAACAUAAUGAGUUAGACUUUUGUCCAUGUAAAAUAUGGAGCACAUGGCAUACAUAACCGAGCUUACAUAUAUAUAUAUAUUGUAUUGCUUGACGUUAGGUUCCUUGCAUUACCACUUAAACAAACAUAUAUGAUGUUUGUGUGGUCUUUUAAGUGUAAUUUAGCACCCGAUUAAAUUUUAUAUUAGAGGAGUUUUUUCGUUUAGAUCUACUAUUUAAGUAUAGCUCUAGAAUAUGCAAUUUAUUGUUGUUGGCAAACUCAAACAUUAAAUUCACACUUUCAUCACUAUAAAUAGGUACAAUAACAUAACAAGUUAAAUUUACCAUAGUUUGCAUCCUCCAAAUAAAUUCAAUUUCAAUUUCAAAUUCAAAUAGAUUCUAGCUGAUUUGAUCGCAUAACAUUCUAAAUAGCUUGGUAAGAAAUAUAUCUAAAGUGAAAGUUAGAAACUCAUUAAUUUCACUAAGAGAUAUUUCGUCAAACAAAAUAAUAAAAUUCAAGCUUAAUUUAUUAAUAUCUCCAAUUAAUUACCGUAUAUAAUUUUGACAAAAGUUUAUUCAAUGAAACUUUAACCAUAGCAUAAUUGGGAAAAAAAAUCUAAAUUCAUCAAUCUUUUCUAUAAAAUAACGAUAUUAUUAUCUAAAUUGAUGUAUUUCAUUGAUAAUUAAUAUAUUUUUACCUAAUUCGGUAAAAUCUUCUAAUUUAAUAAAUUUAUAAUUUUUUUUAGAUUUGUGUAAAAUAAAAAAGACAUUGAAACACAUGUAAAAGACACCAAUCCAAUCUGUUUGAAAUAAUUUUUCAUCCUUCUAAUUUAAGAUUCUGUUAAAAAGUUAAUUCUAUAGUACUGUCAACCCAAUUUGUAUUAAUUUCCCCUUUUUUUUGUUGUGCUAAAUCCAAAAAAGAACUCGAUGAAUCCCAUAGCUGUUGAUUGAUAAAAAAAACUCAACAAAUGAUGUACGAACCACCUACUACAAAUCAAAUCAUAAAGAAAUAUUGAUAGUCGGCAUAACGCCAAAGCUGAAAUUUUUUUUUUCAGAGGAAGCUAAAACCAUAGUCUAGUCAGUCCAUUUAAAACUAAAAUCAGACUGUGCUGAAAAAAAAAAAAAAUAUAACCCCAUAAAAUCUAAUAAAAAACUUAAUUAUAAUCUGUUAAUUUUUUUUACUAAAAUAAUAUCAUUUUAAUUUUUUUAAAAAAAUAAAAUUAAAUCAAACGAUCUAGUAAUCUGAUUAAAAUCUAGAAUCCAAGCCUUGAAUCGAGCCAGCUACGAACCGGGUCUAAAAAGUAUGGCUAAAACUGCCGUCGGCCGCUAACCACUGAAAUGAUGAAGGGAAAAUUUGAUGAUUUUUCCAGCUUUGAGAAAGUGUGAUGGUUUUGAGAAUACUGGGAUUUAACUAUGGGCUUUUAAGGCUUUCAGCUCCCAGUUUGUGGGUAGUGGUUUUAAGAUUCCAAGGGGUGAGGGACUGCGGGUGGCUCAUUUGUUGCUUUCGGUUGAAAAGUUUCUUCAUUGGUCUCUUCGUUUCGUUUCGUAUAAUUUGUAAGGUAAGCACGUGUUGCAGUAACAGUUAGUUUCUAGUUGACGUUGUAAUAAUUUUUAUUGUGGUGGGUCGAUCAACUAUUAUGGCUAAGUUUUUUAUUCUAAAUAUAAAUUUAAAAAUAUUUAGUUAAUUAAAGCAUAUUAUAAUGUUACAUAAAUUUCUAUUAAAAUCAUGAUUAAAAAAACUAGAAUUUCUAAUUUUAUAAAUCUAAUUUUUUUCAAAUUAAAAUUAUAAUUACGACUAAAAAUACCAAAAACACUAAACUUGAAAUCUCAUUUAAUACUACUAACUGAUCGCUUAAUAUUAUAUAUAUAAUUAACCUAAAUUUUUUUAAAAAUCAAAAUAAUAUAAUUUUGGAAAAAAAUUCAAUUAGUUUUGUCUGCUUAUAAAUUGAUCAGCAAAUUUGAAAAAAAUAAAAAGUUUUGUCUAGUUAUAAAUUGAUCAGCCAAGUUGAAAGGAAUCAACUUUCCCGAGCUAGGAGGCGGGUUGGCUGGUCGACUUGUCCUAGCCAUACCUGUAUAAUUUCAUGAAAGAAUUUACAAAUCAUCCCAUUCCUUGUACCUUUAAAUCAUUUUCAAAUAAGUUCCAGGAAUCUAAAAAUCAUUUUAUCUGUUGACGAAAUUUUAGAUAUACGCAAUUCCUCAUAAAAUUUUGUUCAAAUACUAUUCAAAUAUCAAGAUGAUUUUGAAAUCAAAUCAAAUUAAAUCUUCUCACUUCUAUUUGGAUAGAAUUGUUGAUCUAACCAAUAUACUUUCCAGCCACCGGACUUCAAUUUCCUUUCCCUGAACAAACAUUAAUUCCCAAUAAAAAUAUAACAAUGCUGUAAUUAUUUUAGAUUUAACAAUUUUUCAGUUCUAGUUACAACAAAUUCUACGAAUUUCUAAAUUUUGGAUGGAACUAGUUUACUCUCUUUCAUGUUUAUUUUCCCUGUUCCGUCCCUGUUUUGACCCAUGAGCUGCAAAAGCAUGCUCCGUCGGGAUGAUUAGAAGGGGCAAGACAGGGAGAAAGAGAGCUACAAUUUUGGGUCUCAGAAAUCAUACAGUAACAAUUCAUUCCACCAUGGAUUAGCAAGCUUCUAAUCUCUGAACUUCAUCAAACAUUAGACAUACUCAUAGCAAAAAUAAUGGCAUGGCUAUUACACUUUGGAAACCUAAAAUCUAGUAGUACUGGGACCCCAGCAGCUCAGAUUCAUGCUUCUCUCCAAGGAAAUCUUCCUCUUCAUACUGGCUUUUCUGAUCUCAUUAGACACUGCUGCUGCUGCAGAUGAUGAAGAACUAGAAUAAGAAGAAGAGGCCAUGAUCUUGGAUUGAGUAAAUGAUCUGAUAUUGCUCUUGGCAUGCUGUUGUAGCAACCUUAUAGUGUAAUUCCACCUGCAAAUUGUUGGAAUUAUUGACUUGGUCGUUAUUGAUUUGGUCUACAACGUAAUAACUGAAUAAUAGGCAGGAAUUGUUGACUAACCUGUCAAGUAAGCUAGUUUGUAGGAGUUGAUCAGUUCAAUUCUGUUUUGAUUUGUUUUCCCUUGUAUUUCGAUUUUUCUGUUUUGUAAGGCUUUAUAAAAGCCACAUCUAUCUUUGCAUUUAAAUAAUAAUAAGAAGUAUCAGUUUCCUUUAUUUGGUAUCAGAGCGUACACGGACCUGAUAAAGGAACAAUUUGAGUGUUUGAGAGGAAAAACACUAAACAGAAAAUGGCAACUGAUUCAGGAAGCUUCACAACACCAUGUGUUCCAAAAUUCGACGGAGACUAUGAUCACUGGAGCUUGAUCAUGGAAAAUCUCCUGCGUUCUAAGGAGUAUUGGAGCGUUAUUCAAUCUGGUUUUGAAGAACCACAGGGAAAUGAAGUCAUAGACGCAACACAACAAAAAGCAAUCGACGAUGCAAGACUCAAGGAUCUUAAAGCAAAGAAUUAUCUAUUUCAAUCCAUAGAUAAGAGCAUAUUGAAAACCAUCACUCAGAAGGAGACUGCCAAGCAAUUGUGGGAUUCCAUGAAAGUCAAGUGUCAGGGAAGUGCUAGAGUGAAGCGAGCUCAGCUGCAGCGACUUCGCAGAACAUUUGAGACUCUAGAAAUGAAGUCAGGAGAAGGUGUGUCUGGGUAUUUUGCAAGAGUUAUGACUAUUGCUAAUGACAUGAGGAAUUGCGGGGAAGAUAUGCCCGAUGUCAAAAUCGUUGAGAAAAUACUUCGAAGUCUCACAGAAAAAUUCAACUUCGUAGUAUGCUCAAUUGAGGAAUCAAAAGACAUUGACAAGCUCACAGUAGAUGAAUUACAAGCAUCUCUGCUUGUACAUGAACAAAAGGUGGUUGAGAAGAGGAGUGAAGAGCAAGUUCUACAGGUGAUGAACGAGCCAAGGAAUGCACAAGGAAGAGGCAGAGGGAUAUUUCAGAGAGGAAGAAUUCACUCUAGAGGACGGGGAAGAGCUAGACCUUUUGUCAACAGGUCAGCCAUUAAUUGCUUUCGAUGUGGAAAGCAAGGACAUUAUCAAUUUGAAUGCUCGAGCUCAGAAAAGGGAGUAGUCAACUAUGCUGAAUUUGACGAGGAGGAAGAACUACUCUUAAUGGCGCACACAGAAAUGAGCAAAGCUGAAGGAGUCAUCAACUAUGCUGAAUUUGACGAAGAAGAAGAACUACUCCUGAUGGAGUACACAGAAGCCAGUAAAGCUGAAGAAGCUGAAGAAAACUAUGCUGCAUUUGAUGAGGAGGAAGAACUACUUUUGAUGGCACACACAGAAGCUAGCAAAGCUGAAGGGAAGGGCAUUUGGUUCCUUGAUUCCGGGUGCUCAAACCAUAUGACAGGAGAUAAAACUUGGUUUAUUGAGCUUGAUGAAAAGUUCAAACACUCUGUCAGAUUGGGAAAUAGUUCAAAAAUGGCAGUUGAAGGAAAAGGCAAUGUCAGAUUUGAGGUGGAAGGUAUCACACAAACCGUGUCAAAUGUAUAUUUUGUCCCCAAUCUCACCAACAAUUUGCUUAGCAUUGGCCAGCUACAGGAGAAGCGCUUGGUGAUCUUAAUCAAAGAAGGAACUUGCAGAAUUUAUCAUCAACAAAGGGGCUUGAUAAUAAAUACACAAAUGACUGCAAAUCGCAUGUUCCUGGUUUAUGCGAAGAUGAAGCCACUGCCUGGUAACUGUUUGAAGAUGGAAGAAGAAGACUUGGAGAUUCUCUGGCACAGGAGAUAUGGGCACCUAAACAACAAGUCUAUUCAAAUUAUGCAGCAGAAACAAAUGGUGAAAGGACUGCCAAAAUUCAAAGGAGCAGCAGACAAUGUUUGCAAAAUAUGCAAUGUGGGAAAGCAACAACGUCAAGAAUUUCCAAAGAAAAGCAAAUGGAGAGCAUCGAAUAAAUUGGAAUUAAUUCAUGGAGAUCUUUGUGGACCAAUCACCCCAAUCUCCCACAGUGGCAAGAGGUAUUUGUUGGUGCUGGUAGAUGAUUUCUCUCGAAAAACAUGGAUUUAUUUUCUUGCAGAUAAAUCAGAAACUUUUGAGACAUUCAAAAUUUUCAAACGUUUUGUUGAAAAAGAAGCAAAAACAGCCAUUUGUGGUUUCAGAACUGACAGGGGAGGAGAAUUCACAUCAAAUGAAUUCAAUAAAUUCUGCCAAGACAAUGGCAUAAGACGACAACUAACAGCAGCUUACACUCCCCAGCAAAAUGGAGUUGCGGAACGAAGGAAUCGGACCAUUAUGAACAUGGUACGAUGCUUGUUGUCUGAGAAGGAGAUGCCGAAAUCUUUAUGGCCAGAAGCAGCUAGAUGGACAGCCCAUGUUUUAAAUCGCAGUUACACAAAGGCAGUCAAAGACAUGGUACCUGAGGAGAGGUGGACAGGAGUAAAACCAGAUGUAGAAUACUUCAGAGUAUUCGGUUCUAUUGCACAUGUACAUGUCCCUGAACAAAAGAGAACUAAGCUUGAUGAUCGCAGUCACAAAUGCAUCUUACUUGGAGUCAGUGACGAAUCUAAGGCCUAUCGUUUGUAUGAUCCAGUGACAAAGAAAAUAAUCAUAAGCAGAGAUGUCAUAUUCGAAGAAGGUGGAAAAUGGGAGUGGAACCUGAGUACAACAGAAUCAGAGCAGAAUGAGUUAGCUUGGGGAGAUGAUGAUGAUGAUAUUACCACAGAAGAGUCUGAAGGUGAAGAAACUGAUGGAGAAUUUAAUGAAGCAGAAGACAGCAAUUUAGAAGUAAUUCCAGAAAUUGGGGAGUCUUCAAAUUCUGGAAUUCCACAACAGACAAGAAGAAGAAGAGAGCCUGUUUGGAUGCGUGAUUAUGAAAGUGGUAAUCGCUUUCCUGAAGAAGAAGAAUCAGACGAAAGCCUAGCCUUUCACAUCUCCAACGAUGAUCCAAUACAUUUUGAUGAAGCGAUGAAAGAAAAGAAGUGGCAGGAGGCCAUGAAGCUUGAAAUAGAAGCUAUUGAAAGAAAUCAGACCUGGGAGCUUGUGUCACUGCCACAUCAAGCAAGGAAAAUUGGUGUCAAAUGGGUUUUCAAAACAAAGUUCAAUGAAGAAGGCAAAGUAGAUAAAUGUAAAGCUAGACUCGUCGCCAAAGGAUACUCACAGAAAGCAGGAAUUGACUACAAUGAAGUGUAUGCGCCAGUAGCCCGAUGGGAUACAAUCAGAAUUCUGUUGGCACUAGCAGCUCAACGUGGAUGGUGCAUCUUUCAACUUGACGUAAAGAGUGCUUUCUUGUAUGGUGAAUUGAAAGAGGAGGUUUAUGUUGAUCAGCCGGAAGGAUUUGUCAUAAGAGGACAGGAAAAUAAGGUGUAUCGACUAAAAAAGGCUCUCUACGGUUUAAAGCAAGCUCCAAGGGCCUGGUUUAGCAGAAUUGAGAGCUACUUUAAGAAGGAAGGAUUUGAGAAAAGCAAUUAUGAUCACACCUUGUUCCUGAAGAAAAAUGGAGAUAAAUUGUUGUUGGUAAGUCUUUAUGUAGAUGACUUGAUUUACACAGGAGAUGAUGAGCAUAUGUGCACAAAUUUUAAGUCGUCCAUGCAGAAGGAGUUUGAGAUGACAGACUUGGGAAAAAUGAAGUUUUUCCUUGGAGUUGAAGUCUAUCAAAACAAGGAAGGAAUUCAUCUAUGCCAAAAGAAGUAUGCUAAGGAAGUCUUGGAAAGGUUUAAUAUGUGGAACUGCAAUGCUGUAAAGAAUCCAAUAGUUCCUGGCACUGUCUUGUCAAAAUUAGGCAGCAAAAAUGUUGAUGCAACACCGUAUAAACAGCUGAUAGGUUGCCUAAUGUACCUAACGGUAACUCGUCCUGAUUUAAUGUUUGUGGUAUGUUUGAUUUCUCGUUAUAUGGCUGAUCCUAAAGAAGAACAUAUGAUGAUUGCUAAGAGGGUACUAAGAUAUCUAAAAGGAACUUUAGAUUUCGGAGUCUACUACAAAAGGAGCACAGAUGCAAAUUUGCUGGGAUACACAGACAGCCACUAUAUAGGAGAUGAUAGAAGUCUGCUGGGAUACACAGACAGCGACUAUGCGCGAGAUGUAGAUGAUAGAAAAAGCACUUCAGGCUAUGUUUUUCUUCUAAGUGGAGCAGCAAUAUGUUGGAGUUCAAGGAAGCAAGGAAUUGUCACUCUAUCAUCCACAGAAGCUGAAUAUGUGGCUGCCACUGCAUGUGCAUGUCAUGGAGUUUGGCUUAGAGGAAUUCUGCAGGAGCUAGGCGUCAAAAACUGUGAGUGCGUCAAUAUCAUGUGUGAUAAUAGUUCAGCCAUUAAGUUGUCAAAGAAUCCAGUUAUGCAUCGAAGAACAAAACACAUUGAUGUUAGAUAUCAUUACUUGCGCAACCUGUCAACUGAAGGAGCUGUGAGGUUGAGUUUUGUUGGAACUAAAGAUCAAGUGGCAGAUAUAAUGACUAAACCAAUUAAGUUGGACCAAUUUGUGCAACUCAGAAGUUGGCUUGGCGUUCGACGACUUGAAGAAGUAAACUGAUGCAUUUUCAGUUUACGGGGAGGAAUUUGUUGGAAUUAUUGACUUGGUCGUUAUUGAUUUGGUCUACAACGUAAUAACUGAAUAAUAGGCAGGAAUUGUUGACUAACCUGUCAAGUAAGCUAGUUUGUAGGAGUUGAUCAGUUCAAUUCUGUUUUGAUUUGUUUUCCCUUGUAUUUCGAUUUUUCUGUUUUGUAAGGCUUUAUAAAAGCCACAUCUAUCUUUGCAUUUAAUAAUAAUAAGAAGUAUCAGUUUCCUUUACAAAUACCUUGGUCCUUUAGUGCCUCCACUGCACCAAUACUAGCUGCAACAAUCCAAGCUUUGCUUGCUGAAGAACACAUUUUCUUAUUGUUUAAAGGUUUUGGUUUCUUGGGUGAGUGGUGGUGUAAAGAAGGUAUUUCUUAAGAGAGAGUUGCGGAUUGAGAGGGCGAUGAUUACCAAGUUCUAGCG